This 98077-nucleotide long non-coding RNA is filed under the name Coffea arabica (coffee). RNAcentral's name for it is "long non-coding RNA (CARA_LNC003881)". Lineage: Eukaryota; Viridiplantae; Streptophyta; Magnoliopsida; Gentianales; Rubiaceae. The record is from RNAcentral.
UUUUUUUUUUUUUUUUUUUUUUUUUGAGGUUAAUGAAAGAUUUCAAGUCUCACGACGACGAGAAAGAAAAAGGGGAGAACUUGAGAAUUGAACUAGGUAACUCGGAACCUUAAUAUCACUGAACAAAAUGCCACUGCCAUCUAAAUUAAGUCUUCAGGAGGCGUUGCAACAUUUUUGAUAAGAGCCAAAUUUAGCAUAAUAAGUAGUACUUAGCAAGCAAGCUAGCACUUGAUUCAGUAAUUUCUUGGUAGCUUUCUAUGCCAAUUUGUUCCAAUAAAUUGAUACAACAAAUUUUGAUGCUACAACACAUAGUUUGAAAUAACAUAUAAUAAGUACUCAAACCCCAAAAUAAUAGUAUUCAAAUCGUAUGAUCUUUUGAGAGCAUUCACAGCGUAGUGUAAUGGGGGGCUUCGCUCCAUGACACAGUAUUGAAGCCGUGUCAUGGAGAUUACACGCAUAAUGGAUUGACACGGUAUUGGAGCCGUGUCAUGGAGAUUACACCCAUAAUAUCCACUAUGCGUGUAAUCCAUGAUGCUGUGGGACCCAAAUAAUUUAUUUUUAAAAGCAAUCAUUUUUAUGUAAUAUUAUUUGAGGUAUUCAUUUAAAACUAGUAUUCAUUUUGUUAUUAUUUGUAUUUUAUUUGAUUUAAAUUAUGUAAUAUUAUGUUAUGGAGUUCAACUAAUUACAUUUCGAAUUAUUAAUUAAGUAUGGAUUAUUAUGAUAUCUUCGCAUUCGAGGUAUCAAAUAUUUGUUUAAUUUUUUGCAUAAUUAUUUUUGAAAAAAUAACAAUAUAUUAUUUUUGAGAGAUAGAAAAAGAUAUAUUAUUCAAACUUAAAAAUUAAUAAUAUCAUUUUUAGAAAAUAAAAAAUUCAAAAGGUAAAAAAUUUAAUGAAAGUUAGUACUUUAUUUUUUAAAAGUAACAAAAUUAUUUUUAAAAAUUACUUUAUAUAUUUAUGAGAUAUGGGUUAUGCAUUAUUAAAAUAAAUAUUUAAUUUAAUUGUGGACCCAUGCUAUUACACCUUAUGGAGUGUAAUUCAUUGUGAGUGAAAGUGUAAUAAAAGAGGAGAAAGUGGAAUGCUGACGUGACAUAUGAAUUACACUCCACAAGGUGUAAUAGCAUUGUGGAUACCCUAAUAGCAACAUGCACUAUGGUGACUGUGACUGCAACAUCCAUUUCCCUCCUCCCUCAUGCUAAAAUGAUGAACUAGAAAAUACAGCAAUUCUUUUGUGAUUUGUUUCUAUCUUUUGUACAUUUUCAUAAGAAAAGACGAGGAAAAAAAUGAUGGUACCUAGUAACCUCAAAUGCAUGGAUACUCGAACUUUUUUUUUAUCCUUAAGGAUCUUACUUUGAUUUGAAACCAAAAAAAAAAUAAAAAAUCUUACUUAAGGAUCUUUUUUGAUUUGAACCAAAAAAAAAAAUUUCUUACUUUGAUGCAUGAUGCAUUGGACGGACUCUAGAAGAAACAGGCAGGAUGGAAAGAAUAGAUAGACCCAAAAACUCAAUGGAAAAUGGCCUGCAGAAUUGCCGCCAGAAAAGGAGAAGGCAGCAAGUGUUCCGUGCCAAAUGACAAAAAAACGGACUGAUCCGAUGUUUUACUCCUUGCGUCGAAUACAUCGAACGCCUAGAAUGUAGUUUCAUCUUUCACAUUUUCUACAGAUUUUUGCUUUGAAAACCAACUUUUUAAGCACCUCUAUUUUCGUACAACAACCGCCUUUGCCACGAAAACUACGCUUUAAGCAUCAAAAAGACUUCUAAAAAAAGAAAAGAUUUAAUUUUGAUGAGAAAGUAGGAAGAAAAUAACAAAGUCUUAUCAAAUUUUGGUUUUUGAUGGUUUUGCUGACUGGCCAAUCAAAAGUUUUUUCCCAUUAUUUGACAUUGAACAGACAUGCAGCAGUUGUUGACUUCAUUAAGGUGUGAUUCCCAUUAAUUGUUGUUACUGUAGUUUCUCUGCAUCUGUCUCUAUCAAUCCAGGCAUUUUCUUAAGUUUUAAGUAUGAGGACCAUCGGUUUUCAUGUGUAAUUUCCUGGUGACUAGUAGUGUGGAUAUUCUUUCGUAGACUUUGGUAUUUUCUAUUGAUUCUUGGCAAUUUCUGAUACCAUUUGUAUCGGAGUGAUGGUCAAAGGAUUUUCAUAAUUUAUGGGGUUGUGCAGAUCUCUUGCUGGAUUUGGUGAAUUGGGUUGUGGAACAGUUAUGCUCAUGUAUGGAGAUGGGACAGUGUUGGUUUUAUGAUCAGCCUGGCAAGGACAGCAAUAGAGGAAGAUGGCUGAUCAGAACUCAUCUAUGUCAGGGGUCAAUUCCCACCUUGAGGUGAGUUUCUUUCAUCUUGACUUUUAUUUUGCAUAUUUAUACGUGUCUAUUUAUAAGUCUCAAGGAGAAAAUGAUCUUAUGAAUUGUCCUACUUGCAUGCAAUCUUUGAUUACUCUGUUAGCAUUGCCACAAUUUGGGAGAGUGGUGUAGGAAAGAGAAAGAUAGUAAACAUAGGAAGAGUAAACAUGGGAAGUAAAAAUAAAAAACAUCUGUUUUGUCCUUUAAUCACUGCACUGUUAUUCUUAAAAUUCACAAACUUCCUUAGGAAUUUUUAGUUGUUUACUUGAUGAAAAAGAUAAAAAUUUUUCUGUUGUGUCUAGCUCUCAAUUCUUUCCACCAAGCAGAAGGUAAAUUUAGAGUUUGUGAUUAUAACAAUUAAUCUCAAUCAAGUGAAUCUAGAGGAAUUAAUGGGUUUGAUAGUGGAAGAACUACCAAUUGCCACUCCCAAAUUGAAUAUCGGAUGAGUUCUCAGGUCAGUGAAACAAGGGGGAAGGGGCUUGCGCAACUUUAUUUUGGAUUGCUGCUGCUUCUGCUAACAUCAGGCUUCCUUCAUGCUUACCAAAGUAUGCAUGCCCCAUGUUUAACAGGCAGUAAAAGUCGACAUUUUAUUUAUUUUUCUAGCAAAUUUCUAAUAAGCUGUGUUGUAUCAUACUGACUUGAGGCCAAAGGCUGAAGAAAGAACGGAUGAGCUCUAUAGCUAUUUUGACAGAGCUUCUGUGACAGUAUCUAACAAAAGCAUAUUGAUUCAUCAGAUGGGAUCUCUAGAGGGAAGAUCGGUUCUUGAGCUUGAGGAUGAGAGUCUCAGCAGCCCGAGGAUGAUUUCUAUAAAGACAUCUUCUCUUGAUGCUGCUCCUCGCAGAUAUUUUUGUGAUGUAGAAGAGAUUAGUUGUAGAUGUAUACUUAGACGGGCAUUCAACAGCAUUAGAAUUGUUCUCUUAUCUGAUAAGCUAAAUAUACUUGUCCUUUGUGGGCCUUUAGCAAUACUGGUUGACAAAUUGACAAGCCAUCAUGUAAGUCUGUCUCUUGCUCUCCCACCAUUUACCAAACUAAUUUCUGUAAGUUUUCCCAUUCACCUGAUCUUGUAAACUCUUUUUCAGGGAUGGGUAUUCCUUUUGAGCUUACUAGGCAUCAUACCUCUGGCAGAGCGACUGGGUUGGGCGACAGAGUAAUGCUCACUACAAACCUAUGACUAUGUUAACUUUUUUUUUUUGGGGGGUGUUAAUAUGCGAAUCACAUGAAUGAGGCAGAUCAUCAUUAGCUUGACCUUUGGACUGAAUACAAUGUGCUCCUGUAUCAUUGGCCAUUUGGCCUGAGAAGAAAAUCACAUAGUGCUCUAUAGCAGAGAGGAAGAUUUUGUGCAAAUCCAUACUUCUGUUUUAUUCCUACAUACAGGACCUGUUUUAUAGUAACCAACUACAAAGAAUUUUCAAAUUUGACAUCAAGUCCAUGUAACAUAGGCUCUUGUUCAUUUUGUCAGCCUCUGACAAAUUUUCAGUGCCUGACAAUUGUUAGCUUAAUUUUUAUGUAGGCAGCUGGCUUUCUUCACCGGACCUACAGGUUCUUCUCCCAACUGCUCACAUUAUCCUUUGCUAUCUGUUUAGUUGGUUCUCUAUUAGUUGUUAGCGGUCCUCUAUGUCAGGAUAGAUGGCCACUUUUUCCUUUUCACGUCAUGCCAAAAAUAACCAGUUUUGCUCAAGAAUUCUAGUUUUGAAAUGUUUCUUACCAUGUAGAAAGGAUCUGUAGAAAGGAAAGGUACAAGCUUCACAACUUAUUUCCCUUCUCUUUAAUAAGCUACUAUUGUUGUGCCUUAUAUGUUACUAUUUUCCUUUAUGUGUAUGAUAUUGUAUGAAGACUUUCUUCACUAGCCUGAUCAAAGAUAAUGACGUUGCCAUCAUUUAUACGCCAUCUGCCUUCUAGAUUCAUCCUCUUCAUCUUUGUAAUCUAUGUGGAUGAGGUGGAAUUCUUGUCUUCAAUAGAAUAACGGUUGGCAUUUGUGUUUUUAAGAUGAUGUGAUGUGAGAGUGAGACACACAAACAGAGGCAUAACUGGCUCAACGGACAACAGUAACUCAUUAUCCUGCAGUUCCACUUCAACCAACCACAUCAACUUGUUGGAUGGCAUGUCUCCUCGGUCUUGAUGGAUAAUUCAGACUAAUACAAUGUUUUUUGCCUUCCAGCAUGUUUUGCAUAUUGUGUUGCACUGCAUCCCCCUUCUUGAAUGUGGUUUGGCCGCAUUUUUAUUGCUUUUCCCAUGGUUAAAACAAGAAAUUUGUACCCAUAAACUCAUAUAGCCAUUUUCAUAUCUGUUUUGUCCAGCUUUACUAGCUCUUGAAAGUUAUGAACCGACUUGUGUGCUAUUACUGAUUUCUCAAAUUGUUUUGUUCAAAUAUUGCGAGAAGUCUCUACUACCUGAAUGUGUUUUGGGUACCUAUGGAUGUUGGCAAUGUCAAUUUUGUAUUCUCCAUUAAAUGCUUUCAGUUCCUGUGCAAUGUUUAUUAGCGUUUUAAUCAGCAAAAACUUUGGUCCAUAUUUUGCAGUGGGAGGUCUUCUAAAUGCUACGUUUGGAAAUGCAACGGAGCUAAUAAUAUCAAUGUAUGCACUGAGAAGUGGCAUGAUACGCGUUGUUCAGCAGUCACUUUUGGGCUCAAUUCUGUCAAAUAUGUUGCUUGUGCUCGGCUGUGCAUUUUUUGGUGGUGGAAUUGUUCAUUCUAACAAGGAGCAAGUGUUUGACAAGGUUGGACAACUACUUGAUUUUACGUGUUGUAAUAUCCCUUUAGGGAUGCUGUUCCAUGGCUGCCUGAACAGUUGAAAAUUUCCAAAUUUUACUUGAUAGGCAAAUGCAGUGAUGAAUUCGGGGUUGCUCUUGAUGGCAGUAAUGGGCCUGUUGUUCCCAGCUGUCCUCCAUUUCACACGAACUGAGUUACAUUUUGGGAAGUCAGAGUUGGCCCUUUCAAGGUUUAGCAGCUGUGUUAUGCUUGCUGCAUAUGGUGCUUAUCUUUUUUUCCAGCUGACAAGCCAAAAGAACAUGUAUUCUCCAAUUAAUGAGGUUAUUGCUGUUUUUGUUCAAUAAUAAUAUAUUGUUUCUUCCAUCUUGCACCAUUAGGCACCUUUCUUGACUUUCAUGCUACUAGGCAUGGACCAUGCAAUAAUGUUGCUAUGUCCUCCCUCCUCCCCUCCCCAGCCCAAGAACCAGAAUGCACAAGAUAUGUGAAUUAGGUGCCUAAUUGUUAAACUCUGCCUGGGAAGGAAUGGUCAUUGGGUUAAAUUGACGGUUCACUAGAGUAUAGAACUUUAGACAAAUAUCUUCUCUUCAGAAUUAUAGAUAAUACUGUUAUUUAUAGUACUGUAUAUGAAGUUAUUUUACAAGUUUCCAAAGGUAUUCUCUUGGAUUAUCUUUCUUAAUUUAUCCUUCUCCAAUUUUGUGCUGGCAAGUUUUCUGAUUUACAUGGGAUGUGUAUUUAGUGGAAUUUCAGAGUCAAUGCUGGAGAUUUACUCGAUAUAGUAACAUGCAUUACAUAUGACUCUACUUCUCUUCUUAUUGUUUGGAGAGCAAAGUGUUGAUUCUAAGACGUUAUGUUCAUUCAGGGAGAGAGUCAGGAUGAUAGCAAUUCAGAUGAUGAAGAAGCCCCUCAGAUUUCGAAAUGGGAAUCAAUUAGCUGGCUAUCAAUUUUGACUAUAUGGAUAUCAGUCCUAUCCGAGUACCUAGUUAAUGCAAUAGAGGUUAAUACAUGUUUACAGUCUUUAUACAGUUCAAGUUUUACAAAUUUAUUGUGGUUUUUCCUGGUACAUUGCAUACAUGUCCUUUGAUUUGAUGAGACAUAAAUGGCACAAGAAACACACACAGUAUUUGCCCUAUUAAAAUACCUGCCAUAUUAUCUUGCUUCGUCUUUUGUAAGGCAUCCUUACAUAGUCAGUUUCCAGGGCGCAUCUGUUGCAAUGAAUAUUCCGGUGGCCUUUAUAAGUGUCAUCCUGCUUCCCAUUGUUGGUAAUGCAGCAGAACAUGCAGGAGCUGUAAUGUUUGCAGUAAAAGACAAACUUGUGAGUUCUUGACUUGUUUACGUUUACUUGACAUAGGUUCAGAUUGGCAUUAAAGUUGCUAAUGUACCCGCAAAAUUCCUGCAGGACAUCUCACUAGGAGUAGCCAUAGGCUCCUCGACACAGAUUUCCAUGUUUGGGGUAGGUGGUUAAUUUAUAAGAUUGUUUGUAAACUCAUUGGUGAACUGCUAAAUGUAAGAGCAUUGUAAUAUUUGCUGCAAUGAUUGCAGAUCCCCUUCUGUGUAGUAGUUGGGUGGAUAAUGGGGCGUCCUAUGGAUCUGAACUUUCAGCUGUUUGAGACAGCCACACUCUUUAUGACUGUGCUUGUAGUAGCCUUCAUGCUGCAGGCAUUCUUCUUUGAACUAUUGCUUGGGUGUUUUUUCCUUGAUUAAUAUUUCAAUACUUAAUAUCUAAUAUGUGCUUGCAUGCAGGAGGGAACAUCUAAUUACUUUAAAGGGUUGAUGCUCCUUCUCUGCUAUCUGAUAGUUGCUGCAAGUUUCUUUGUGCAUAUAGACCCCAAAUCCAUACGUAAGUUGUCUCUCUUUACAAUGGGGUGGGGGUGUUGGGAGGCUGGCUUUGCUAAAGGCUUUCUUGAUGAUGCUCGAAAUAUGACACAAUAUAAUUAUUCUGCAGAGGACAAACCCAAAAAGACAUAAUAAGUCUACACAACAUAGCAUAUUCAUGGUCACAAGAAGGCUGGAUUACAGAUUCUGAUCCUACAACAGAAGAUUCCUACUUGAAUUCAUAUGAGUUAUGAUGAUUGAUGAACCAUUCUUUGCUGUCAGUUUUUACUUCUAGAUAUCGAUGAGGUUUUUGCAUCUCUUUUAAGGCAGCUAGCAGCUGGGUGAUUUUAUUGCCCUGUGGAAGGAUGCUGGAUGUUGAGAAUGGUGUUUUUCAUAGAAGUUAGAUAACAGUGUAAACUGAAUGUAUACAUAGUUUAAUGAAGUAGAUUGAAAUUAAGGAUUAAAUGGAGUUGAGGCAAUCCAAGAAUGUACGGAUGAGCUUCAUUGACAAUUUGAUUACUUACCAGAAAAAAAAAUGUUGAAGGGAUCAAUUGUGUAGAAGUGGGAAGUAUUUUUUUUUUUUUUAACGUAUCUUCUAACUAAUUGUAUGUAGUGGAAAGCAAGAAUAUAUCUGAUUCUGUAAAAUUAGAAAGACAAUUAGUAAUUGUGUUUUCCUGCUAUUUUUGAAUAAAAAUACUAGCUUACUUUGGGCGAAGCACUGAGGUGGAGAAAAAUAUCACUACUAAUAAAAGCAAAAGCAAAAUUAAUACAAGGAAUUAUAAUACUUUAUGUAUACCUUUUUCGAACCAUGCAAAUACCGAGCAAAAUAGGGUAAGGAGGGCAAAAUGUUGUUUCUUAACCUAUGUAACAUGUUGCGAUUAUUUAGCUACUAUGUUCACAGAAACAAUAGCUGUAAAUGGAUCUGAAUAAUUAGGAAAUAUUCAAGUACCUAAAAGAGCUAGCUAUAUCCAAGUUAUUUGGUUGGAGUUGAGUCGUAUAACUUCCCAUUUGUUAUGGCUUAGUCCCUUCAUGAAAGAUAUUGGCGCUUAUACCCUCUUCUUCUAUAUUUUUGAGAAAGAGAAUUGAUAUAUGACAUAUUCGAAACUGUUAUCGAUAUGUAAAUAAUGCUUUAAUAAGACACGAUGAUGGACAAAAUGAGAUACCGUACUCGAAUACGAUAUCUUUCAUUUACACUCUCUCCUUCUGGACCGCCGAAUUCAUCCAUCCUCUAAGACACACAAUUGUUGUCAUUGUAGACAUAUUUGGCUAAGAAGCAACUAAGUUAUUGUCGUCCUUAAGUUUUGACAACUCAAUUAUGGUUCACAAAUAGUAGCUCUUAAUUAUUUUCUACAUUUCAUUGAAUUAGAAAAGAAACUUUGUACGAUAUCAAAUUUAUGCUCUGUAGGAUACAGUAGCAUUUCUAACCCAAUAAAAAAUGCAAUUUUUUGUUAUUUUUACUCGUAUAGUCUGACACUUUUCAUCUCACUUUCAAAAUGAUUUUACUUCUGAUAAUCAAAAUGACUUGAUUUUAUUCACAUCUUGUAUUCUGACCCUUUCCAUCUCACUGUCAAAGUGGCUAAUUUGGUAUCAAACCACAAUUGUAAUCACAUAUCUUCCCAAUGUCGUCAUGGAAUCACUGCGUGAUGAUCUUUUAUUGAGGGGAGGGGAAAUGGUCAAACCUGACAUAUGUUUGAUUUAUACCCACAACCCAAGUCAUUUAUUUCCUUUAUUAAAACCUAUCCCACUUGUUAAGGAUUUAUUAGCCUGAAAAUACUGGAAAGAAAAUCAAUACAGAUGGUUGAAUAACGUUAUAACUCUCAAAAAAUUCAUUCAGAAAUGUAGGACCCAAAUUUUAGAGUUCUAAUAAUAAUCAAUCCGUGCAAGGUUAUAUAGAAUUGGAGGGAUAAAACAAACACUCAAAAUAUAUGUGGAAGAGAAGAAAAUAAUAAACUCAACUCACAAUAUUAUUGAAAUCUCAAAUAAUGAAGAAAGUCACAUCACGAUAGAAAAUCGGAUAAAUUCUUCUAUACUCUCUCGAGAAAAUAGUCUAAAUUAAUGUCCUAUUUAUAACCUACCAGACUUGUUGUAAGAGAAAUCAUUUACACAAGAAAUUACCAAAUGAAACACAAAUUCUUUAAUCAUACAACUACUAAAAACCUGAUUCCAAUAAAACUAAUAAAUAAAUAAAUAAAUAUUUUUAGACUUGGUUUAGUAUGCCAACAAGAAAGAAAUGAGAUGAUGUCUCAUAUCUUGUUAUUUGAGUCUGUAUACUAAUCCUGCCGGCGCAUACUGUUGCUACUUUAGAACAUGCUCUACUGUUGUCAUUGACAAUUUUGGAGGUUCAUGUCCAUGCAUGACUCCAAAUCUAGAGGAAAAAAGAAAAAAUGGAAUGAAAAUAUGCCGCCGGUGUGUCUCAUGGGCAUUGUCCGUUACUUUUGCGAUCAAUGGAUUCGUACUCGAUCAGUAUCAGCUGAGUCACGCUGAGUUAUAUCUGAAACGAGUCCACCGAUGACCGGGAGGGUCCGUUCAGGUUAGGAAUCAAUAUGGUGGACACUUCGUACAGAAUGCCUUUACUGCAAUAUGACUUCUUACAGAAUGCUUCCCAUCUAACCAUGUAAACGAUCCAAACACAUAUUCUCUGGCUGCACCAGCCUUUGUAGCUGUAAUUGUGACAUUGAAGCUUUUCUGUUCACCAAUUGUUGCAAAAGCAAGUGUUUUUGGUUGAACAUCAACCGAUAAUCCAGCAGGGUUGCGAACAUGGACGGUGUAAGUUGCUGGGGAGGAACCAACAUUCUUCACGGUCCUAGUAACUGUGACUGAAUCAUUAAAAUUAUGAACAGCUAUUGCAGGGUAAUUGAAGUUGUAGAGCUUAAUUGGUGGCGGGCACGUGGCUGAGGCGUUUACUAGGAACGCAAAUUGGGAUUGAUUAUAGCCCAUUGAACAUAGAAAGGUGAAGUAAUCUUGGUCUGUUAGAUCAUAAACCAAUCCAGGAUCCAUAGCACGGCUAGGACGGAUAAGUCCUGCUCCGUAGGCAAAAGGUGUGCCCUUUGGAUGAAGUUGAUCAUCUAACACUGUAAUUGGCUUUCCAGUGUUAUCCUGAGUGCUUGCUGUGAAGUGAUUUCGAAACCAAAUGUCAAAAUGCUGAUCAAUAAUAAAAUUGCGUGUAGGGAGUGAAAGUUUAGACAGGGUUUUUCUCCAAUUUGGAUGGAGAGUUCAAUAGUAUAAUGGUUUUUUUUUUUAAGUUCAUGGGUUGUGAGGACUUGCCAGUGGUCAUAAUAGCUGAUUUGAUUGCUGCCGGACUCCAAUCUGGAUGGAGAGUUUUGAGGAGGCCGACAACACCAGCAACAUGAGGGCAUGCCAUCGAAGUUCCUGUUUGUGCAAAAUAGGGGACUCUUCGCUUAUCGAAACCAUGGCCAUCAGAUGCUGGCCCAUGUGCUUCAGUGUAAGCAGCAAUCACACUUACUCCGGGUGCAAUGAUAUCAGGCUGAUAAGCGUUGAAAAUAGGAAUGUAUUAGAAAGAUAUCAGGGAGUAUGGCAUGACAAAGUAAUCUAGCGGCUCAAUUGACUAACCUUGAGGAUGUCUCGAGCGACACCGGCAGGUCCCCUUCCUGAAAACCUUGCCACGGCUGGUGCUGGCUUUAUACCCAGUUCAGUUGUUGGGGGAGUAAUAUAAGCAGUAGGAUUUCUGCCAAAACAUUUCAAUAUUCAGAAAAGAAAAAGGAAAUGGAGAACAGAUAUAUUUUGGUAAAUUUUCUAGAAUGAAAAAGAACAGGUUAUUUUUGAAUUGUGAGUAAUUUCAAGCUAUAUGUUACUGUUGGAUUGUUCCUCUUCAGUUGCUUGACACGAUAAUGUUAUUGGAUGCCAUCUUACCUCGUGGAAUUAAUAUAAGCGUUAACUGCUUCUGCACCAUCGUAAGAGAUUUCCAAAGCAGGAAGAACAUGAGCAUCACUGAUAACUUCAUUCAAGCCCUGGUAAUCGGCAACAACCAAUCCUACAGCACCAGCCAUAGCAGCAGUUACGCCUUUGUCCAGCCUUCCAAUUCCCCCACCUCGUAGGCAAACCAAGAUCUUUCCCUUUGCUAGAGUAGGAUCCAGUGCUCCAUCCUUACAUAUAUCACUGCAAGAAAAGGGAAAUAUCAAAUAUAUUGCAGGUUAUGAGGGAAUCAAAUCACAUUUAGGAGUCCUAACAGAUUCAAAAGCUUACGCGUCUGGAUCUGAUGCAUUGGCAGCUUUAACAGAUCUGGCAGGAACAAUUGGAAAGAACGUGUUGUUUGGUAAUACUUUAUCCGAGAAGCUUUCUCCCUUUAGAGAAUAAUUUCUAAUCAACAAAUGCAUCAUGCAAGCUAAUGCCUAUAAAGAUUACUGACAGUUACAAAAGAACAGAAAAGAGAAAAAGAAAAAAAAAACACUAACUCUGAUUCGCAAGUUGUUGCCAAGGACAAGAUAACUAGGAAACUGUCGAUCCAUGGUGCUUGCCCCAACUGUGAUUUGCCAGGGUGCAUCAUUGUCUAGUGUAUCAGGAUUAGGACCAUCAUUACCGGCUGCAGCAACAACUACAAUGCCACGCUUAAUAGCAUGAAGCGAGGCAAUGGCAAUGCCUCUAGUAUAAUCAGGGAUUAUUCCCCCUCCAACUGACAUUGAAAUCACAUCGACACCAUCGUCGAUAGCCAUGUCGAAAGCAGCCAAAAUAUCCGCCAUUUGGCAGCCUUCACUUUGGCAAGCCCUGUAAGCUGCUACUCGAGCUCUCGGUGAUCCACCUUUUGCUGUUCCAUUUCCUAACCCAAAUAAAUUUGCUCCGGCUACAAAAUUACCACCAGCUGUGGAUAAGGUAUGGGUUCCAUGGCCUGCAACGUCUCGUGGUGAGUUAAAAACACUUCUAUUUGCAUUUGGUGUCAGCAUGCUAAAAAAUCCUUCGCUGAAGUAUCUUGCUCCGAUGAGUUUCCUUCAUACAUAGUUGGCAACAAUGUCAACCAGAGCAUAUUAUGUGGAAGUUAAUUUUGACUUCAAGUAGGCUGAGGCCUAUGAGAUUAGCUUUCGUGAAAGCAUAAAAAUUUUUAUUAAAGUUGAAUGCGUUAUUUCUUAACUCCGAACUUCUUUUAGUUGUUUGAGUCCGAUAUGGAAGUUCAGUUCCCAAAUUUUAGUGCAAAGAAAGGAAACCAAUUCCUUUGAAGAAAACCAGAAUAUUUACAUUGGCAAUUCCUUGAAUCUUCACUAAUUGUGCAUGAUAAAAAUAGGUAAUGGUCAAAUUUUGAGGUACCAGUUGUCUGAUAGAGAAAAAACAAAUAUUUAGAUUUUUAAGCAAUCUUAGUGGAGGAUCCUUUUAGGAAUUAUCUGUUUAGGAGGAAACCAUAUGGUUCAACUUGAAGAUGACUUUCGGUAAGAGUAGAGACUAACUGACUUUACAAUUUACUAUGAUUUCUGUUAAAGAUUGAAACUUUUUUAUGGUCUUGUAGUAAUUAUUUCAAUUAAUCGAGACCAAAACACAUUGUCAUUCAAGUAUAAGCAUCACACAGAUGUAUAGAUAUCGAGACUUCAGGCAAUAAAGUUACUCCUUUUCAAGUGAAGGAUCAAUUGUAGUUCAAACCAAGAGUCUUCUAGAACUCGGAGAAAAUCUAGUUCUCUUCAACUUCCUAUAAUGUGUUUUACAGAGGAUCUGCAACUAAUAAGAAAUGAAAACUUUUUUAAAUUUUCAAAGGAUAUGAAAUAAAUAAUUUCUCUGGAUCUUUAAAGGAAAAAAGAAUUGUACUGUGAUGCUUUGAUAGAUACAAAGUAAUUAAUGAAAGUUAACAGAUAAAGAGAUCAAGGUGAAAAGAGAAAUCUGACCUAUUGCACUUAAAGGUUGAAUCAUUCUCAUUUUGACAAAUUCCUCUCCACCUUGCUGGAAUCGGUCCGUAUCCUUCAUCACUGAAGCUUUCUGAUUCUGGCCAGACACCUGUUUGAAUCCCCGUAAAAGGAAGAAUAAGGGUGGACAAAGCCAGUAAGAGAUAGCAAUUGCUAAACGGAAAUGAAGAAAAAAGUAAGAAGAAAGAAAUCUGAUCCUUCUUUCUGGUUUGGCUCUAUCGCCAAUUAAGUUAUCUUUGAUUUCAUCCCAUCUUGUUGAGGCCUGUGAGCUAAUGUCUUGUACUCUUGCCAUUUUUCAACUUAUGAUCAUAUUAAUCCAGCCAAUUAGCUAUGCAAAUGCACAAAUGCGGACGCUAUGAUCCAUCAAAAGGUUUGUUUGAGAUGAAACUUUAGACUUUGUGACCUGCAGGUACCGUUCCAAACUGAAAAUGUUGCAUCUGAGGUAGUCAAAUUGUUUUCUACCCAAGUAUGAGGAUGAUAGAACAAUGCGCCGAGCCAGUCACAGAUGCACAUGCUGGAUACUCUUUUAUUUUUAGAGAUUUUCAAUGUUCAUCUCUGAUGGCCUCAACUAUUUACACUUCACACCAAAUUAUUAAGGGUACAAAAAACUAGGUAGGGAAAUCUGAACCAGUCACAGCUAAACAACCGGGCUACUUCUGCUACGAGCUUCCAAAUUGUCACUGCCAAAUCUCCUCCUGUUGUGUCCCUAUGGUAAUGCAGAAUGCGACUUCAAUUUUUAGAAGGGGUUACAGUGCCAAUUGCAUUUCUCAAACAAGCAAAUUUGUAGUGACUGCACAGUCAACCAUGCCUGACGAUGACUACCUCGAUUAGAUGGUUGGUCAUUCCAGCACCAUAAACAAGAUUCAGAAAAAUGAAAAUCAUAUACGGUUGACGAUUAUUAUGAGUACCCUUUUGGCGUGCAUCUUUGGCAAAAAUGAGAUAAACGUAAGGAGUAAUUCUGUUGUAUCAUCAAGUGAAUGUUCUACGUGCAAGUUAUUAGUUGCAUACUCUGAUUGCACAAGGAAAAAGACAACACAAGAAUCUUGAGAAAAAUUUCUGCUUAUUAACUACACAUCAGGCUGCUGAUUUGGAUACAUCUAUUGAUCAAUUGGUAAGAUACAUGACUUGCAUUCUUCCAGAACUAGAUAGUUUUUCCAUUUUAGUAUUCCCAGAUGAAUUAUGAAUAAACUCACGUUCAAUGACGAAGUCAUCAAGAAUGCAUUUUGCUGAAACGAAUUUUUAAUAAAUCCAAGGGAGCUAAUCAACUCACCAGAGUCAAUAUUGGCAAUGAUGGUGUCUUCACCAAAUCUUGCCUGAGCCCAUGAUGGCUGGAUUUGGCCAUUUUGCUCAAGCCCCAGAAACCCCCACGACCUGGUUGUGUAUAAUUUGACUUGUUCGCUCAAGAAAACUGAUAGAACAUCCCGAUGUUCUGAAUUGUCAUGAAAGACAGGUCAACCUUUAUGCACAAAAAGUAGAAUAAAAACAGCUAUCCAAUAAACAAUAGCUUAAGAAGAAGCACUUCCAAAUUUCGUACUUGAUAUCUCAGCAGCUUCUGCCUCAUCAAGUAUUGCAGCAAAGCCAUUAAUAUGUCUUGUAUAAGAGUAGAAAAUUGCGUCUUUUGCCUUUUCGCUGCUGUUAUUAGUGGAAGUUCAAACAUAAAAAGCUAGACAUUAGACAUUGAAUUAAGGGGGAAAAAAGAAAAACAAAGGACUUCAGCUUCUUCAUGAGAAAUACACACUUCCAUACCUCCCCAAGAAUGAUCCAAGAAGCGAAUAAUGGGAUUCUCUUGUUCUAUCAUAUUCAACGGCUGAGACUUCUACAUUUUGAUCACGUGAAUGAGAUCCCAAGUAGACUAUGUAAGGCUGCGAAACAUAAAUUAAAAAGAAGAAAAUUAUUUUGUUCAAUUCAACAAAAUAAUUCUAACUGAGUUAUAUAUUUAAGGCAAACAAAUAUUGAUUUUUUUAUUUACCUUUUUUGUAGCAAAAGAGGGACUGAUUAAUGCUGAAAAAAGAAGGGGAAGUAAGAAAAGGGUUGAAGCAAUAGUUCUCAUUGCUUCCUUUUUUUCGAAACCUUAAUUUCCUCCUCCUUUUUAGUGCGCUCCCACAAGAAAGAAUUGUUCAGGGAUGCUCCAGUCCGGACAAAUGUAGCUAUUUAUAGUGUUUCAGUUAUUAUGUGGCCGUUAUUAUAGUUAUUUGUUUUAUAGAGAAAAUGGAGGAGGAAACAAUCGAUUAUAACUGUCCUGUCCUGAUCUAUGUAUCUUCUUAAGAGAAAAUGAAGGAGAAAUCAACCAAUUAGGAUUCUUCUACUUGUGUAAUAUCUUGGAAGACAGAGUUGUUUAUUUUUCCCCAUUUCCUGAUAAUUAAGAUAUGGAAUCUUAUUUAGCAUGCAACUUUCAAGCUCGAAUUUUCGCAUUAUAAAGUAUAUGUGGUGGUCCAUCAGUCUUAUCCAUCUAAUUUCCAAAUUUAUCUAAACUAUGAAUAAGUCAUUGCUUCACGCUUAACCCUGCCAAGAUUUACACUGCUGAAAGAUCCAAAACAAGAUUUCAAGGUCUUCGAAAUUAGGCCCCGUAGAAGAACAGUCUCAUUCAAGUGUCCUGAAACAACUUUGUCACUAAAUCCAGAAGUGUAGUACUUGUUCAAAAUGAAGCAUCAUGAUUUGAAAUGCCCCUGGACACACACAGGCCACAAUAUUGACUCAAUGAAUCUUUUCCUCAUCUCAAUUUUACCGGUUGAUUACAGCAAUACACGAACUGAAAUGGCAACAAGUAAAUGUGGUGUAGAUAGAGAAAAAAUCUGGUGCCAAUUUUGUAAUUGUUUCUACGUCAAAAUUGUUAUUUUAUCGUAGAGAUAUGCAAAAGAUUCUUGCUUGUAUCGAUUGCAAUAUGCAAGUGAUUAAACUAAUGAGAAAAUGCAACUUAAUUGGAACUGUGAUUUUUAUACAUCUUAUUUACAGACACUAUUUAUAACCCAUAAUAUUACAAACCUAUGUGACAGUAACAAGUCAAUCACAGGGAAACAAAUACAAGACUCCAAAUAGAGAUAAAACUAAAACAAAAAAAAAAAGCAGAAGAGGUUUAGGGGUCUAUCUUGAUCAUCAAAUCCCAUCCUUAAAAGCCAUAUUAAGAUAACUCAAGAUGCCUUCAUAGAAUUCGAUGUCCUAAUGUGGUACUACAGCUAUCCUGACACUUUCGAAUGUCAAGAAAAGGAAUUUUUAUUGGUAGACGGGAUGCUAUAACAACAUAGAUUUCCUGACACUUUUGAAUGCUACGAGCCUAUCCCAUAUUGGAGGGGAUGACACUCGUCCGAAGUGUGAGGAAAGCUAAAGUGUUAAUUUAGAUUAUCUAUACUGACAACUGUAAAUGCCGUUAAAGGUCAUUUUUGUUGUAGUGCAUGUUCAAGUCCAAGAAAGUCCCAUGACCUGGUUGUGUGUAACUUUCUUGGUUGUUAAGAACACUGAUAAAACAUCCGGAUGUUCUGAAUUGGAAUGAAAAUAUUAAAUCCAGAGUUGUGCACAUUAUUGAAUUUAAAAAGCAGCCCACACAGAAGACAAGAUGCAGCACUGCAAACUGCUCACUAGAUAUCUGGUCAACUUCUGCCUCAUCAAGCCAUCAAUAUGUCUUGUUAAUUGCUUCUUUAAGAGCAUGGACAUAAGAAACGUACCUUCCCAAGAAUGAUCCAAGAAGCACGUAAUGGGAAUCUCUUGCUUUCUCAUAUUCAAUAGCUGAGACUUCUAAUGGUGAAUCACGGGCAUCAGAUCCUAAGUACACCACAUAAGACUAGUACACAUAAACAGCCACAUCAUUUAACUUAGCAAAUCAUCUUUGAUCAAUUUGCUAAAGCAGUUGUUGAAGGCAGACAAAGUAACAAGAAUACAAAGGUAUCUAUGAUCACCUGCUUCUUAGCAUAAGUGCGACUAAGUAAUAAUGAUGCUAGAAGGAAGACGAAGCAAAUGACUGAAGCACUAGUUUUCAUGGUAUCUCCUUUUGGUAUUUGCUCCUUUUCUUGAAAAAGGGAACUCCUUGCUUCCCUCCCCUUCUUCCGAGUUCUCUCACACCCAAAAAAAAAAUAGAAUGAUUUUUAGAAAAAUAUAGGAUUCUCCCAUGCAGACUUAACAUUUUAAUUAAUGGUAACUUUGUUUCGAAAGAAUAUGAAGGGGGAACGAUCACUUAUAACUGUCCACAGUAUCUAUUUUUAUCUUUCAAAGUUAAAAUGAAGGAGUUGAGCAAUGGUAUUCGUCCUCCUGAUUGAACUUUUAGGACUUUACAUAUGUGUGGAAGUAGAACGCGCCCUUUAUGUCGCAAUUUUGUCCUAGAGGACUCCCCAAUCCAAGAUGUAACCAGGAUUUCCUUACAGGCGAACAAACUAAUGAAUAUGGACAGUAACAUAUUGUUAAUGUCGGUUUGAAGUGGUCUAGAUUUUCCUUGAAAAAGGAACCUGAUUACUCUAAAGAAUCUUGCUGGAAAUGGCCGAGCUAGAAUCUUUUUGAACAUAUUGUCUAAACAUUCAGGUCUUAGUAUCUGUUACAUGUCUAAGAGGAAUAUGAUCCAACUAGUGCUAAUUGGUAUUAGAAUGUAGUAAUUAAAGAAAAUGUAAAUUAUCUUUUAGCUCAAUCAUGCUUUAGCAUUUUUUCACUCAAUUCUCUUGUACAUUCAAUAAAAACGGCACUAAAAAAUUAAAAUUGCGCCCCCUUCUUUGGACUAAAGUUGCACUGUUUUUUUUUUUGAUAAAAUUAACAAUAAAAGGUAGAUUUGGUAUUUGAUUUUUUUCCCCUUUUUUGACUUUUAAAAUUUGUUUUGUACAUGUUUUCUCAAGUCAAAUUGCUAGAUUUUUACAAAAAAAAAAAUGAAUGGGUCAGUUAGAUUCUUCAAAAGUUACCGGGUCAAGGUGAUACCUUUCAACAACUUCCAUCUCACCCAAGCUCCCCUCGUUCUCUCUCUUCACCUUCCUCGUCUAUUUUUCUCUGAAUUCUUCACUUGCUUUUCACCCUCUCUCCUACCUUAUCAAGAAUAAUUGAUGGUCAGAUGGUAAGGAUAGAGUGAAAUUACUCUGAAAAGAAUGUAAUGUGUGGGAUUGAGGAAAAGGAUGGAAAACAAAGGAUUUGAUGAGGAGAAAGAGUUCAUAGAUCAAUUGUCUGGGAAUUUUUCAAGGAAAGAAAGGAAGGCAAAUGGGAAAAUCUUAAAUACAACAUUUGUCCCUUAAACAUAUUUCGAAAAGAUUAAAAAAAAAAAGGAAAGGACAUAUAAAGUCCAACAUCAAUGACAUUUUCUAUCUGCAAAACACUUGAGAAAACUUGGAGAGAAACCCUCCUCUUCCUUCCUAUCCUUAUCAUUUACAAAGGAAUGUAUUGUAACGAUGAUAUUCCAUAAUCUAGGCAUCAUUACCUCAUUCCUGUAAAAUAAUGAUUUCUGAUAGUCUCGACUCUUAAUCAUUGUUCUUGUAAUGGGAUUCUUUUUCCUUACUGGACUUGUGAUGAAUCUGCAAAAGUUUUUGUUGAAUUCAACAGCAUAGAAGCUUAAUUAGGGUACACGUUGGAGGUCUUUCCUCAUCCUGGAUAUUUGCCCAAAUUCAUAUCACGAGCGGGAUCAUAGAUUAUCUUGUGUUCGGUUGUCCAUGUUUUGAACUUCUAAACGUUGAAGUAGGUUUACAAGUCUCUAUAUAAAAGAGCCCCGCCUAUUCGUGUUACGACCUCCAAAAUGGUUCAUGGUUUUACAUAAGAAAAAGACUUGCUCAGGGUCGAUGCAUGAAACGCCUUAACUUACUAGGUAGCACCUCCCAAUUCCCAAAAGGCCCAACUUUCAUAUCAAGAAUUAAACAAGCUCAUCGUUAACGAUGGGAGAUCGGUCACCUUAAGCGAGACCUCCUAAAACACCAAAAGUAAUGCUACAGAACAAACUCUUUUUUUUCUUUUGUUCACACGGAAAAAGAAUACUUGAGCAAUGAAGAGCGAAUAUAGACAGAAAUUUCCCAUUAAAGACUGAGCUUUCACUGAGGACUAUGCUCCGAAUUUAAUGUUGCUGUUUAAUUUCGAAGCUUGACAAAUUUACGCUUCUAUUAUUGGUGGCCUUAGAGACUACUAUUGUCCACCUGUUUUACUAUCAUUGGUUCUUCCUUCUGAUCAAACCUUGUCAUAAAAUAUCUCAAGUAUCCAUUGCUGAGUUACGCUAUAUGUGCCACUAGUGCCAGGAUAUGACAAUAACCCCUGAAGACUAAGAAGUGGUUUAAGAUUUGUGGAGUAGAUAUUGUUGCAAUGAAAGAAGAUGCAAUUUCUUAGAAAAUGUAGCUACCCUUUUCAGAAGAAUAUUCAAACCGGCCAAGAGAAGCAACUGUGUAGUUUAUCCAUUAUUACAAUAUCAUAAACCAAAAGAUUACGUCCAUGCUUACAAUAUCAUAAACCAAAAGAUUACGUCCAUGCUUACAAUAUCAUAAACCAAAAGAUUACGUUUCUUAGAAGUAAGGUUGACUCUUCAUAACUGACAGUGAAAACAAAGGCUCACUUUGACAUCGUAUAUAAGGAUGCAUAUUUUAGUUGUUUCACGGGAUAAACAAAGAAACAUAAAAAAAAUUGAAAAUGGCUAGACACUUGUUUAUGACUAGUAUUGGCAGUGCAGCUAGUCAAGUUUCUCUGAUGCAGCAUGAGGGUUCAGGGCUCAUGGUCAUGCUCGGCAUGAUUGUUAUGUCUGUUUCAAUUUUCUUCUCUUUUUUUUUCAUUUCUAAAUUCUAUAGAUAUCCAUUAAAAUACUAUUUUCUAAUAUAGUUUUCUAUAAUAUCACGCCAUAGACACUUCUCAACUAUUAAAAUAUUUCAAAAGUUCUUUAAAAAAUCAGGGAAAAUAUAUAAACUACAAUAACGAUAACAGCAAUCAAAUCAAAUGGGAUUAGUAAAAUGCAAACAUUCUUCUGAUCACACGAUCCGAAAACUAGACGUUGCGGCCUCGGCCUUCAUUGAGAUCUGGGCCAAUUGCCAAUGAAAUGCUCCCUUUGGGCUUGAUUGGGCUAUCCGCUCUUGGCCUAUUUCCAAUGAGAUUUAGGUUUUUAAAGUUUUUGCUUACGAAACAAGCAAGUUGGCCUGGUCCAAUAGUCUUCUUCACUGUCUCUUCUUCCUCCCCUAGCCUCGCUCUUCCUCUGUUUCCAACUUUCCACCACCACAUACCCCCCUUCGGCGGCCGGGGCCCUGUAUGUUUCCCGACCUUCACUUCCCUACUGCUUCUCCCUUUUAUGAUCGUCUACCAUUCUGUACUUGAAUAAAAUUGGCCAUUUUUCCUAGUGUUUGUUUGGUGCGGAUCUUUUAAGGAAAUUCUUGUUAAUUUUUUAUCCAUGUGUGAACCCGGUUAAACUUGCUAUUUCGUUUUAAAAACGGUAAGACCUUGUCCGCUGUGGUAUGGUCCCGCUCGUGAUUACCACCUGUUAGAUGAUAUUGAUGAAUGUCCAUGUGUGUUGUAUAUGACGUGAUGAUCAUGUGCAUGAAAGUUUUUUGUUGAUACUCCGAACAAUUUUGGAUGAAUUAGUAUUCUUUUGAACCUUUAAAGUGUCCAAAAUGAAAACUUGGUGUAAAAAACUUAAGGGGUCAAAGUGGAAUAAAUACUUCCUUUUUUUGAGAAAGAGAAUUGAUAUAUGACAUAUUCGAAACUGUUAUCGAUAUGUAAAUAAUGCUUUAAUAAGACACGAUGAUGGACAAAAUGAGAUACCGUACUCGAAUACGAUAUCUUUCAUUUACACUCUCUCCUUCUGGACCGCCGAAUUCAUCCAUCCUCUAAGACACACAAUUGUUGUCAUUGUAGACAUAUUUGGCUAAGAAGCAACUAAGUUAUUGUCGUCCUUAAGUUUUGACAACUCAAUUAUGGUUCACAAAUAGUAGCUCUUAAUUAUUUUCUACAUUUCAUUGAAUUAGAAAAGAAACUUUGUACGAUAUCAAAUUUAUGCUCUGUAGGAUACAGUAGCAUUUCUAACCCAAUAAAAAAUGCAAUUUUUUGUUAUUUUUACUCGUAUAGUCUGACACUUUUCAUCUCACUUUCAAAAUGAUUUUACUUCUGAUAAUCAAAAUGACUUGAUUUUAUUCACAUCUUGUAUUCUGACCCUUUCCAUCUCACUGUCAAAGUGGCUAAUUUGGUAUCAAACCACAAUUGUAAUCACAUAUCUUCCCAAUGUCGUCAUGGAAUCACUGCGUGAUGAUCUUUUAUUGAGGGGAGGGGAAAUGGUCAAACCUGACAUAUGUUUGAUUUAUACCCACAACCCAAGUCAUUUAUUUCCUUUAUUAAAACCUAUCCCACUUGUUAAGGAUUUAUUAGCCUGAAAAUACUGGAAAGAAAAUCAAUACAGAUGGUUGAAUAACGUUAUAACUCUCAAAAAAUUCAUUCAGAAAUGUAGGACCCAAAUUUUAGAGUUCUAAUAAUAAUCAAUCCGUGCAAGGUUAUAUAGAAUUGGAGGGAUAAAACAAACACUCAAAAUAUAUGUGGAAGAGAAGAAAAUAAUAAACUCAACUCACAAUAUUAUUGAAAUCUCAAAUAAUGAAGAAAGUCACAUCACGAUAGAAAAUCGGAUAAAUUCUUCUAUACUCUCUCGAGAAAAUAGUCUAAAUUAAUGUCCUAUUUAUAACCUACCAGACUUGUUGUAAGAGAAAUCAUUUACACAAGAAAUUACCAAAUGAAACACAAAUUCUUUAAUCAUACCACUACUAAAAACCUGAUUCCAAUAAAACUAAUAAAUAAAUAAAUAAAUAUUUUUAGACUUGGUUUAGUAUGCCAACAAGAAAGAAAUGAGAUGAUGUCUCAUAUCUUGUUAUUUGAGUCUGUAUACUAAUCCUGCCGGCGCAUACUGUUGCUACUUUAGAACAUGCUCUACUGUUGUCAUUGACAAUUUUGGAGGUUCAUGUCCAUGCAUGACUCCAAAUCUAGAGGAAAAAAGAAAAAAUGGAAUGAAAAUAUGCCGCCGGUGUGUCUCAUGGGCAUUGUCCGUUACUUUUGCGAUCAAUGGAUUCGUACUCGAUCAGUAUCAGCUGAGUCACGCUGAGUUAUAUCUGAAACGAGUCCACCGAUGACCGGGAGGGUCCGUUCAGGUUAGGAAUCAAUAUGGUGGACACUUCGUACAGAAUGCCUUUACUGCAAUAUGACUUCUUACAGAAUGCUUCCCAUCUAACCAUGUAAACGAUCCAAACACAUAUUCUCUGGCUGCACCAGCCUUUGUAGCUGUAAUUGUGACAUUAAAGCUUUUCUGUUCACCAAUUGUUGCAAAAGCAAGUGUUUUUGGUUGAACAUCAACCGAUAAUCCAGCAGGGUUGCGAACAUGGACGGUGUAAGUUGCUGGGGAGGAACCAACAUUCUUCACGGUCCUAGUAACUGUGACUGAAUCAUUAAAAUUAUGAACAGCUAUUGCAGGGUAAUUGAAGUUGUAGAGCUUAAUUGGUAGCGGGCACGUGGCUGAGGCGUUUACUAGGAACGCAAAUUGGGAUUGAUUAUAGCCCAUUGAACAUAGAAAGGUGAAGUAAUCUUGGUCUGUUAGAUCAUAAACCAAUCCAGGAUCCAUAGCACGGCUAGGACGGAUAAGUCCUGCUCCGUAGGCAAAAGGUGUGCCCUUUGGAUGAAGUUGAUCAUCUAACACUGUAAUUGGCUUUCCAGUGUUAUCCUGAGUGCUUGCUGUGAAGUGAUUUCGAAACCAAAUGUCAAAAUGCUGAUCAAUAAUAAAAUUACGUGUAGGGAGUGAAAGUUUAGACAGGGUUUUUCUCCAAUUUGGAUGGAGAGUUCAAUAGUAUAAUGGUUUUUUUUUUUUAAGUUCAUGGGUUGUGAGGACUUGCCAGUGGUCAUAAUAGCUGAUUUGAUUGCUGCCGGACUCCAAUCUGGAUGGAGAGUUUUGAGGAGGCCGACAACACCAGCAACAUGAGGGCAUGCCAUCGAAGUUCCUGUUUGUGCAAAAUAGGGGACUCUUCGCUUAUCGAAACCAUGGCCAUCAGAUGCUGGCCCAUGUGCUUCAGUGUAAGCAGCAAUCACACUUACUCCGGGUGCAAUGAUAUCAGGCUGAUAAGCAUUGAAAAUAGGAAUGUAUUAGAAAGAUAUCAGGGAGUAUGGCAUGACAAAGUAAUCUAGCGGCUCAAUUGACUAACCUUGAGGAUGUCUCGAGCGACACCGGCAGGUCCCCUUCCUGAAAACCUUGCCACGGCUGGUGCUGGCUUUAUACCCAGUUCAGUUGUUGGGGGAGUAAUAUAAGCAGUAGGAUUUCUGCCAAAACAUUUCAAUAUUCAGAAAAGAAAAAGGAAAUGGAGAACAGAUAUAUUUUGGUAAAUUUUCUAGAAUGAAAAAGAACAGGUUAUUUUUGAAUUGUGAGUAAUUUCAAGCUAUAUGUUACUGUUGGAUUGUUCCUCUUCAGUUGCUUGACACGAUAAUGUUAUUGGAUGCCAUCUUACCUCGUGGAAUUAAUAUAAGCGUUAACUGCUUCUGCACCAUCGUAAGAGAUUUCCAAAGCAGGAAGAACAUGAGCAUCACUGAUAACUUCAUUCAAGCCCUGGUAAUCGGCAACAACCAAUCCUACAGCACCAGCCAUAGCAGCAGUUACGCCUUUGUCCAGCCUUCCAAUUCCCCCACCUCGUAGGCAAACCAAGAUCUUUCCCUUUGCUAGAGUAGGAUCCAGUGCUCCAUCCUUACAUAUAUCACUGCAAGAAAAGGGAAAUAUCAAAUAUAUUGCAGGUUAUGAGGGAAUCAAAUCACAUUUAGGAGUCCUAACAGAUUCAAAAGCUUACGCGUCUGGAUCUGAUGCAUUGGCAGCUUUAACAGAUCUGGCAGGAACAAUUGGAAAGAACGUGUUGUUUGGUAAUACUUUAUCCGAGAAGCUUUCUCCCUUUAGAGAAUAAUUUCUGAUCAACAAAUGCAUCAUGCAAGCUAAUGCCUAUAAAGAUUACUGACAGUUACAAAAGAACAGAAAAGAGAAAAAGAAAAAAAAACACUAACUCUGAUUCGCAAGUUGUUGCCAAGGACAAGAUAACUAGGAAACUGUCGAUCCAUGGUGCUUGCCCCAACUGUGAUUUGCCAGGGUGCAUCAUUGUCUAGUGUAUCAGGAUUAGGACCAUCAUUACCGGCUGCAGCAACAACUACAAUGCCACGCUUAAUAGCAUGAAGCGAGGCAAUGGCAAUGCCUCUAGUAUAAUCAGGGAUUAUUCCCCCUCCAACUGACAUUGAAAUCACAUCGACACCAUCGUCGAUAGCCAUGUCGAAAGCAGCCAAAAUAUCCGCCAUUUGGCAGCCUUCACUUUGGCAAGCCCUGUAAGCUGCUACUCGAGCUCUCGGUGAUCCACCUUUUGCUGUUCCAUUUCCUAACCCAAAUAAAUUUGCUCCGGCUACAAAAUUACCACCAGCUGUGGAUAAGGUAUGGGUUCCAUGGCCUGCAACGUCUCGUGGUGAGUUAAAAACACUUCUAUUUGCAUUUGGUGUCAGCAUGCUAAAAAAUCCUUCGCUGAAGUAUCUUGCUCCGAUGAGUUUCCUUCAUACAUAGUUGGCAACAAUGUCAACCAGAGCAUAUUAUGUGGAAGUUAAUUUUGACUUCAAGUAGGCUGAGGCCUAUGAGAUUAGCUUUCGUGAAAGCAUAAAAAUUUUUAUUAAAGUUGAAUGCGUUAUUUCUUAACUCCGAACUUCUUUUAGUUGUUUGAGUCCGAUAUGGAAGUUCAGUUCCCAAAUUUUAGUGCAAAGAAAGGAAACCAAUUCCUUUGAAGAAAACCAGAAUAUUUACAUUGGCAAUUCCUUGAAUCUUCACUAAUUGUGCAUGAUAAAAAUAGGUAAUGGUCAAAUUUUGAGGUACCAGUUGUCUGAUAGAGAAAAAACAAAUAUUUAGAUUUUUAAGCAAUCUUAGUGGAGGAUCCUUUUAGGAAUUAUCUGUUUAGGAGGAAACCAUAUGGUUCAACUUGAAGAUGACUUUCGGUAAGAGUAGAGACUAACUGACUUUACAAUUUACUAUGAUUUCUGUUAAAGAUUGAAACUUUUUUAUGGUCUUGUAGUAAUUAUUUCAAUUAAUCGAGACCAAAACACAUUGUCAUUCAAGUAUAAGCAUCACACAGAUGUAUAGAUAUCGAGACUUCAGGCAAUAAAGUUACUCCUUUUCAAGUGAAGGAUCAAUUGUAGUUCAAACCAAGAGUCUUCUAGAACUCGGAGAAAAUCUAGUUCUCUUCAACUUCCUAUAAUGUGUUUUACAGAGGAUCUGCAACUAAUAAGAAAUGAAAACUUUUUUAAAUUUUCAAAGGAUAUGAAAUAAAUAAUUUCUCUGGAUCUUUAAAGGAAAAAAGAAUUGUACUGUGAUGCUUUGAUAGAUACAAAGUAAUUAAUGAAAGUUAACAGAUAAAGAGAUCAAGGUGAAAAGAGAAAUCUGACCUAUUGCACUUAAAGGUUGAAUCAUUCUCAUUUUGACAAAUUCCUCUCCACCUUGCUGGAAUCGGUCCGUAUCCUUCAUCACUGAAGCUUUCUGAUUCUGGCCAGACACCUGUUUGAAUCCCCGUAAAAGGAAGAAUAAGGGUGGACAAAGCCAGUAAGAGAUAGCAAUUGCUAAACGGAAAUGAAGAAAAAAGUAAGAAGAAAGAAAUCUGAUCCUUCUUUCUGGUUUGGCUCUAUCGCCAAUUAAGUUAUCUUUGAUUUCAUCCCAUCUUGUUGAGGCCUGUGAGCUAAUGUCUUGUACUCUUGCCAUUUUUCAACUUAUGAUCAUAUUAAUCCAGCCAAUUAGCUAUGCAAAUGCACAAAUGCGGACGCUAUGAUCCAUCAAAAGGUUUGUUUGAGAUGAAACUUUAGACUUUGUGACCUGCAGGUACCGUUCCAAACUGAAAAUGUUGCAUCUGAGGUAGUCAAAUUGUUUUCUACCCAAGUAUGAGGAUGAUAGAACAAUGCGCCGAGCCAGUCACAGAUGCACAUGCUGGAUACUCUUUUAUUUUUAGAGAUUUUCAAUGUUCAUCUCUGAUGGCCUCAACUAUUUACACUUCACACCAAAUUAUUAAGGGUACAAAAAACUAGGUAGGGAAAUCUGAACCAGUCACAGCUAAACAACCGGGCUACUUCUGCUACGAGCUUCCAAAUUGUCACUGCCAAAUCUCCUCCUGUUGUGUCCCUAUGGUAAUGCAGAAUGCGACUUCAAUUUUUAGAAGGGGUUACAGUGCCAAUUGCAUUUCUCAAACAAGCAAAUUUGUAGUGACUGCACAGUCAACCAUGCCUGACGAUGACUACCUCGAUUAGAUGGUUGGUCAUUCCAGCACCAUAAACAAGAUUCAGAAAAAUGAAAAUCAUAUACGGUUGACGAUUAUUAUGAGUACCCUUUUGGCGUGCAUCUUUGGCAAAAAUGAGAUAAACGUAAGGAGUAAUUCUGUUGUAUCAUCAAGUGAAUGUUCUACGUGCAAGUUAUUAGUUGCAUACUCUGAUUGCACAAGGAAAAAGACAACACAAGAAUCUUGAGAAAAAUUUCUGCUUAUUAACUACACAUCAGGCUGCUGAUUUGGAUACAUCUAUUGAUCAAUUGGUAAGAUACAUGACUUGCAUUCUUCCAGAACUAGAUAGUUUUUCCAUUUUAGUAUUCCCAGAUGAAUUAUGAAUAAACUCACGUUCAAUGACGAAGUCAUCAAGAAUGCAUUUUGCUGAAACGAAUUUUUAAUAAAUCCAAGGGAGCUAAUCAACUCACCAGAGUCAAUAUUGGCAAUGAUGGUGUCUUCACCAAAUCUUGCCUGAGCCCAUGAUGGCUGGAUUUGGCCAUUUUGCUCAAGCCCCAGAAACCCCCACGACCUGGUUGUGUAUAAUUUGACUUGUUCGCUCAAGAAAACUGAUAGAACAUCCCGAUGUUCUGAAUUGUCAUGAAAGACAGGUCAACCUUUAUGCACAAAAAGUAGAAUAAAAACAGCUAUCCAAUAAACAAUAGCUUAAGAAGAAGCACUUCCAAAUUUCGUACUUGAUAUCUCAGCAGCUUCUGCCUCAUCAAGUAUUGCAGCAAAGCCAUUAAUAUGUCUUGUAUAAGAGUAGAAAAUUGCGUCUUUUGCCUUUUCGCUGCUGUUAUUAGUGGAAGUUCAAACAUAAAAAGCUAGACAUUAGACAUUGAAUUAAGGGGGAAAAAAGAAAAACAAAGGACUUCAGCUUCUUCAUGAGAAAUACACACUUCCAUACCUCCCCAAGAAUGAUCCAAGAAGCGAAUAAUGGGAUUCUCUUGUUCUAUCAUAUUCAACGGCUGAGACUUCUACAUUUUGAUCACGUGAAUGAGAUCCCAAGUAGACUAUGUAAGGCUGCGAAACAUAAAUUAAAAAGAAGAAAAUUAUUUUGUUCAAUUCAACAAAAUAAUUCUAACUGAGUUAUAUAUUUAAGGCAAACAAAUAUUGAUUUUUUUAUUUACCUUUUUUGUAGCAAAAGAGGGACUGAUUAAUGCUGAAAAAAGAAGGGGAAGUAAGAAAAGGGUUGAAGCAAUAGUUCUCAUUGCUUCCUUUUUUUCGAAACCUUAAUUUCCUCCUCCUUUUUAGUGCGCUCCCACAAGAAAGAAUUGUUCAGGGAUGCUCCAGUCCGGACAAAUGUAGCUAUUUAUAGUGUUUCAGUUAUUAUGUGGCCGUUAUUAUAGUUAUUUGUUUUAUAGAGAAAAUGGAGGAGGAAACAAUCGAUUAUAACUGUCCUGUCCUGAUCUAUGUAUCUUCUUAAGAGAAAAUGAAGGAGAAAUCAACCAAUUAGGAUUCUCCUACUUGUGUAAUAUCUUGGAAGACAGAGUUGUUUAUUUUUCCCCAUUUCCUGAUAAUUAAGAUAUGGAAUCUUAUUUAGCAUGCAACUUUCAAGCUCGAAUUUUCGCAUUAUAAAGUAUAUGUGGUGGUCCAUCAGUCUUAUCCAUCUAAUUUCCAAAUUUAUCUAAACUAUGAAUAAGUCAUUGCUUCACGCUUAACCCUGCCAAGAUUUACACUGCUGAAAGAUCCAAAACAAGAUUUCAAGGUCUUCGAAAUUAGGCCCCGUAGAAGAACAGUCUCAUUCAAGUGUCCUGAAACAACUUUGUCACUAAAUCCAGAAGUGUAGUACUUGUUCAAAAUGAAGCAUCAUGAUUUGAAAUGCCCCUGGACACACACAGGCCACAAUAUUGACUCAAUGAAUCUUUUCCUCAUCUCAAUUUUACCGGUUGAUUACAGCAAUACACGAACUGAAAUGGCAACAAGUAAAUGUGGUGUAGAUAGAGAAAAAAUCUGGUGCCAAUUUUGUAAUUGUUUCUACGUCAAAAUUGUUAUUUUAUCGUAGAGAUAUGCAAAAGAUUCUUGCUUGUAUCGAUUGCAAUAUGCAAGUGAUUAAACUAAUGAGAAAAUGCAACUUAAUUGGAACUGUGAUUUUUAUACAUCUUAUUUACAGACACUAUUUAUAACCCAUAAUAUUACAAACCUAUGUGACAGUAACAAGUCAAUCACAGGGAAACAAAUACAAGACUCCAAAUAGAGAUAAAACUAAAACAAAAAAAAAAGCAGAAGAGGUUUAGGGGUCUAUCUUGAUCAUCAAAUCCCAUCCUUAAAAGCCAUAUUAAGAUAACUCAAGAUGCCUUCAUAGAAUUCGAUAUCCUAAUGUGGUACUACAGCUAUCCUGACACUUUCGAAUGUCAAGAAAAGGAAUUUUUAUUGGUAGACGGGAUGCUAUAACAACAUAGAUUUCCUGACACUUUUGAAUGCUACGAGCCUAUCCCAUAUUGGAGGGGAUGACACUCGUCCGAAGUGUGAGGAAAGCUAAAGUGUUAAUUUAGAUUAUCUAUACUGACAACUGUAAAUGCCGUUAAAGGUCAUUUUUGUUGUAGUGCAUGUUCACGUCCAAGAAAGUCCCAUGACCUGGUUGUGUGUAACUUUCUUGGUUGUUAAGAACACUGAUAAAACAUCCGGAUGUUCUGAAUUGGAAUGAAAAUAUUAAAUCCAGAGUUGUGCACAUUAUUGAAUUUAAAAAGCAGCCCACACAGAAGACAAGAUGCAGCACUGCAAACUGCUCACUAGAUAUCUGGUCAACUUCUGCCUCAUCAAGCCAUCAAUAUGUCUUGUUAAUUGCUUCUUUAAGAGCAUGGACAUAAGAAACGUACCUUCCCAAGAAUGAUCCAAGAAGCACGUAAUGGGAAUCUCUUGCUUUCUCAUAUUCAAUAGCUGAGACUUCUAAUGGUGAAUCACGGGCAUCAGAUCCUAAGUACACCACAUAAGACUAGUACACAUAAACAGCCACAUCAUUUAACUUAGCAAAUCAUCUUUGAUCAAUUUGCUAAAGCAGUUGUUGAAGGCAGACAAAGUAACAAGAAUACAAAGGUAUCUAUGAUCACCUGCUUCUUAGCAUAAGUGCGACUAAGUAAUAAUGAUGCUAGAAGGAAGACGAAGCAAAUGACUGAAGCACUAGUUUUCAUGGUAUCUCCUUUUGGUAUUUGCUCCUUUUCUUGAAAAAGGGAACUCCUUGCUUCCCUCCCCUUCUUCCGAGUUCUCUCACACCCAAAAAAAAAAUAGAAUGAUUUUUAGAAAAAUAUAGGAUUCUCCCAUGCAGACUUAACAUUUUAAUUAAUGGUAACUUUGUUUCGAAAGAAUAUGAAGGGGGAACGAUCACUUAUAACUGUCCACAGUAUCUAUUUUUAUCUUUCAAAGUUAAAAUGAAGGAGUUGAGCAAUGGUAUUCGUCCUCCUGAUUGAACUUUUAGGACUUUACAUAUGUGUGGAAGUAGAACGCGCCCUUUAUGUCGCAAUUUUGUCCUAGAGGACUCCCCAAUCCAAGAUGUAACCAGGAUUUCCUUACAGGCGAACAAACUAAUGAAUAUGGACAGUAACAUAUUGUUAAUGUCGGUUUGAAGUGGUCUAGAUUUUCCUUGAAAAAGGAACCUGAUUACUCUAAAGAAUCUUGCUGGAAAUGGCCGAGCUAGAAUCUUUUUGAACAUAUUGUCUAAACAUUCAGGUCUUAGUAUCUGUUACAUGUCUAAGAGGAAUAUGAUCCAACUAGUGCUAAUUGGUAUUAGAAUGUAGUAAUUAAAGAAAAUGUAAAUUAUCUUUUAGCUCAAUCAUGCUUUAGCAUUUUUUCACUCAAUUCUCUUGUACAUUCAAUAAAAACGGCACUAAAAAAUUAAAAUUGCGCCCCCUUCUUUGGACUAAAGUUGCACUGUUUUUUUUUUUGAUAAAAUUAACAAUAAAAGGUAGAUUUGGUAUUUGAUUUUUUUCCCCUUUUUUGACUUUUAAAAUUUGUUUUGUACAUGUUUUCUCAAGUCAAAUUGCUAGAUUUUUACAAAAAAAAAAAAAAUGAAUGGGUCAGUUAGAUUCUUCAAAAGUUACCGGGUCAAGGUGAUACCUUUCAACAACUUCCAUCUCACCCAAGCUCCCCUCGUUCUCUCUCUUCACCUUCCUCGUCUAUUUUUCUCUGAAUUCUUCACUUGCUUUUCACCCUCUCUCCUACCUUAUCAAGAAUAAUUGAUGGUCAGAUGGUAAGGAUAGAGUGAAAUUACUCUGAAAAGAAUGUAAUGUGUGGGAUUGAGGAAAAGGAUGGAAAACAAAGGAUUUGAUGAGGAGAAAGAGUUCAUAGAUCAAUUGUCUGGGAAUUUUUCAAGGAAAGAAAGGAAGGCAAAUGGGAAAAUCUUAAAUACAACAUUUGUCCCUUAAACAUAUUUCGAAAAGAUUAAAAAAAAAAAGGAAAGGACAUAUAAAGUCCAACAUCAAUGACAUUUUCUAUCUGCAAAACACUUGAGAAAACUUGGAGAGAAACCCUCCUCUUCCUUCCUAUCCUUAUCAUUUACAAAGGAAUGUAUUGUAACGAUGAUAUUCCAUAAUCUAGGCAUCAUUACCUCAUUCCUGUAAAAUAAUGAUUUCUGAUAGUCUCGACUCUUAAUCAUUGUUCUUGUAAUGGGAUUCUUUUUCCUUACUGGACUUGUGAUGAAUCUGCAAAAGUUUUUGUUGAAUUCAACAGCAUAGAAGCUUAAUUAGGGUACACGUUGGAGGUCUUUCCUCAUCCUGGAUAUUUGCCCAAAUUCAUAUCACGAGCGGGAUCAUAGAUUAUCUUGUGUUCGGUUGUCCAUGUUUUGAACUUCUAAACGUUGAAGUAGGUUUACAAGUCUCUAUAUAAAAGAGCCCCGCCUAUUCGUGUUACGACCUCCAAAAUGGUUCAUGGUUUUACAUAAGAAAAAGACUUGCUCAGGGUCGAUGCAUGAAACGCCUUAACUUACUAGGUAGCACCUCCCAAUUCCCAAAAGGCCCAACUUUCAUAUCAAGAAUUAAACAAGCUCAUCGUUAACGAUGGGAGAUCGGUCACCUUAAGCGAGACCUCCUAAAACACCAAAAGUAAUGCUACAGAACAAACUCUUUUUUUUCUUUUGUUCACACGGAAAAAGAAUACUUGAGCAAUGAAGAGCGAAUAUAGACAGAAAUUUCCCAUUAAAGACUGAGCUUUCACUGAGGACUAUGCUCCGAAUUUAAUGUUGCUGUUUAAUUUCGAAGCUUGACAAAUUUACGCUUCUAUUAUUGGUGGCCUUAGAGACUACUAUUGUCCACCUGUUUUACUAUCAUUGGUUCUUCCUUCUGAUCAAACCUUGUCAUAAAAUAUCUCAAGUAUCCAUUGCUGAGUUACGCUAUAUGUGCCACUAGUGCCAGGAUAUGACAAUAACCCCUGAAGACUAAGAAGUGGUUUAAGAUUUGUGGAGUAGAUAUUGUUGCAAUGAAAGAAGAUGCAAUUUCUUAGAAAAUGUAGCUACCCUUUUCAGAAGAAUAUUCAAACCGGCCAAGAGAAGCAACUGUGUAGUUUAUCCAUUAUUACAAUAUCAUAAACCAAAAGAUUACGUCCAUGCUUACAAUAUCAUAAACCAAAAGAUUACGUCCAUGCUUACAAUAUCAUAAACCAAAAGAUUACGUUUCUUAGAAGUAAGGUUGACUCUUCAUAACUGACAGUGAAAACAAAGGCUCACUUUGACAUCGUAUAUAAGGAUGCAUAUUUUAGUUGUUUCACGGGAUAAACAAAGAAACAUAAAAAAAAUUGAAAAUGGCUAGACACUUGUUUAUGACUAGUAUUGGCAGUGCAGCUAGUCAAGUUUCUCUGAUGCAGCAUGAGGGUUCAGGGCUCAUGGUCAUGCUCGGCAUGAUUGUUAUGUCUGUUUCAAUUUUCUUCUCUUUUUUUUUCAUUUCUAAAUUCUAUAGAUAUCCAUUAAAAUACUAUUUUCUAAUAUAGUUUUCUAUAAUAUCACGCCAUAGACACUUCUCAACUAUUAAAAUAUUUCAAAAGUUCUUUAAAAAAUCAGGGAAAAUAUAUAAACUACAAUAACGAUAACAGCAAUCAAAUCAAAUGGGAUUAGUAAAAUGCAAACAUUCUUCUGAUCACACGAUCCGAAAACUAGACGUUGCGGCCUCGGCCUUCAUUGAGAUCUGGGCCAAUUGCCAAUGAAAUGCUCCAUUUGGGCUUGAUUGGGCUAUCCGCUCUUGGCCUAUUUCCAAUGAGAUUUAGGUUUUUAAAGUUUUUGCUUACGAAACAAGCAAGUUGGCCUGGUCCAAUAGUCUUCUUCACUGUCUCUUCUUCCUCCCCUAGCCUCGCUCUUCCUCUGUUUCCAACUUUCCACCACCACAUACCCCCCUUCGGCGGCCGGGGCCCUGUAUGUUUCCCGACCUUCACUUCCCUACUGCUUCUCCCUUUUAUGAUCGUCUACCAUUCUGUACUUGAAUAAAAUUGGCCAUUUUUCCUAGUGUUUGUUUGGUGCGGAUCUUUUAAGGAAAUUCUUGUUAAUUUUUUAUCCAUGUGUGAACCCGGUUAAACUUGCUAUUUCGUUUUAAAAACGGUAAGACCUUGUCCGCUGUGCUAUGGUCCCGCUCGUGAUUACCACCUGUUAGAUGAUAUUGAUGAAUGUCCAUGUGUGUUGUAUAUGACGUGAUGAUCAUGUGCAUGAAAGUUUUUUGUUGAUACUCCGAACAAUUUUGGAUGAAUUAGUAUUCUUUUGAACCUUUAAAGUGUCCAAAAUGAAAACUUGGUGUAAAAAACUUAAGGGGUCAAAGUGGAAUAAAUACUUCCUUUUUUUGAGAAAGAGAAUUGAUAUAUGACAUAUUCGAAACUGUUAUCGAUAUGUAAAUAAUGCUUUAAUAAGACACGAUGAUGGACAAAAUGAGAUACCGUACUCGAAUACGAUAUCUUUCAUUUACACUCUCUCCUUCUGGACCGCCGAAUUCAUCCAUCCUCUAAGACACACAAUUGUUGUCAUUGUAGACAUAUUUGGCUAAGAAGCAACUAAGUUAUUGUCGUCCUUAAGUUUUGACAACUCAAUUAUGGUUCACAAAUAGUAGCUCUUAAUUAUUUUCUACAUUUCAUUGAAUUAGAAAAGAAACUUUGUACGAUAUCAAAUUUAUGCUCUGUAGGAUACAGUAGCAUUUCUAACCCAAUAAAAAAUGCAAUUUUUUGUUAUUUUUACUCGUAUAGUCUGACACUUUUCAUCUCACUUUCAAAAUGAUUUUACUUCUGAUAAUCAAAAUGACUUGAUUUUAUUCACAUCUUGUAUUCUGACCCUUUCCAUCUCACUGUCAAAGUGGCUAAUUUGGUAUCAAACCACAAUUGUAAUCACAUAUCUUCCCAAUGUCGUCAUGGAAUCACUGCGUGAUGAUCUUUUAUUGAGGGGAGGGGAAAUGGUCAAACCUGACAUAUGUUUGAUUUAUACCCACAACCCAAGUCAUUUAUUUCCUUUAUUAAAACCUAUCCCACUUGUUAAGGAUUUAUUAGCCUGAAAAUACUGGAAAGAAAAUCAAUACAGAUGGUUGAAUAACGUUAUAACUCUCAAAAAAUUCAUUCAGAAAUGUAGGACCCAAAUUUUAGAGUUCUAAUAAUAAUCAAUCCGUGCAAGGUUAUAUAGAAUUGGAGGGAUAAAACAAACACUCAAAAUAUAUGUGGAAGAGAAGAAAAUAAUAAACUCAACUCACAAUAUUAUUGAAAUCUCAAAUAAUGAAGAAAGUCACAUCACGAUAGAAAAUCGGAUAAAUUCUUCUAUACUCUCUCGAGAAAAUAGUCUAAAUUAAUGUCCUAUUUAUAACCUACCAGACUUGUUGUAAGAGAAAUCAUUUACACAAGAAAUUACCAAAUGAAACACAAAUUCUUUAAUCAUACCACUACUAAAAACCUGAUUCCAAUAAAACUAAUAAAUAAAUAAAUAAAUAUUUUUAGACUUGGUUUAGUAUGCCAACAAGAAAGAAAUGAGAUGAUGUCUCAUAUCUUGUUAUUUGAGUCUGUAUACUAAUCCUGCCGGCGCAUACUGUUGCUACUUUAGAACAUGCUCUACUGUUGUCAUUGACAAUUUUGGAGGUUCAUGUCCAUGCAUGACUCCAAAUCUAGAGGAAAAAAGAAAAAAUGGAAUGAAAAUAUGCCGCCGGUGUGUCUCAUGGGCAUUGUCCGUUACUUUUGCGAUCAAUGGAUUCGUACUCGAUCAGUAUCAGCUGAGUCACGCUGAGUUAUAUCUGAAACGAGUCCACCGAUGACCGGGAGGGUCCGUUCAGGUUAGGAAUCAAUAUGGUGGACACUUCGUACAGAAUGCCUUUACUGCAAUAUGACUUCUUACAGAAUGCUUCCCAUCUAACCAUGUAAACGAUCCAAACACAUAUUCUCUGGCUGCACCAGCCUUUGUAGCUGUAAUUGUGACAUUGAAGCUUUUCUGUUCACCAAUUGUUGCAAAAGCAAGUGUUUUUGGUUGAACAUCAACCGAUAAUCCAGCAGGGUUGCGAACAUGGACGGUGUAAGUUGCUGGGGAGGAACCAACAUUCUUCACGGUCCUAGUAACUGUGACUGAAUCAUUAAAAUUAUGAACAGCUAUUGCAGGGUAAUUGAAGUUGUAGAGCUUAAUUGGUAGCGGGCACGUGGCUGAGGCGUUUACUAGGAACGCAAAUUGGGAUUGAUUAUAGCCCAUUGAACAUAGAAAGGUGAAGUAAUCUUGGUCUGUUAGAUCAUAAACCAAUCCAGGAUCCAUAGCACGGCUAGGACGGAUAAGUCCUGCUCCGUAGGCAAAAGGUGUGCCCUUUGGAUGAAGUUGAUCAUCUAACACUGUAAUUGGCUUUCCAGUGUUAUCCUGAGUGCUUGCUGUGAAGUGAUUUCGAAACCAAAUGUCAAAAUGCUGAUCAAUAAUAAAAUUACGUGUAGGGAGUGAAAGUUUAGACAGGGUUUUUCUCCAAUUUGGAUGGAGAGUUCAAUAGUAUAAUGGUUUUUUUUUUUUAAGUUCAUGGGUUGUGAGGACUUGCCAGUGGUCAUAAUAGCUGAUUUGAUUGCUGCCGGACUCCAAUCUGGAUGGAGAGUUUUGAGGAGGCCGACAACACCAGCAACAUGAGGGCAUGCCAUCGAAGUUCCUGUUUGUGCAAAAUAGGGGACUCUUCGCUUAUCGAAACCAUGGCCAUCAGAUGCUGGCCCAUGUGCUUCAGUGUAAGCAGCAAUCACACUUACUCCGGGUGCAAUGAUAUCAGGCUGAUAAGCAUUGAAAAUAGGAAUGUAUUAGAAAGAUAUCAGGGAGUAUGGCAUGACAAAGUAAUCUAGCGGCUCAAUUGACUAACCUUGAGGAUGUCUCGAGCGACACCGGCAGGUCCCCUUCCUGAAAACCUUGCCACGGCUGGUGCUGGCUUUAUACCCAGUUCAGUUGUUGGGGGAGUAAUAUAAGCAGUAGGAUUUCUGCCAAAACAUUUCAAUAUUCAGAAAAGAAAAAGGAAAUGGAGAACAGAUAUAUUUUGGUAAAUUUUCUAGAAUGAAAAAGAACAGGUUAUUUUUGAAUUGUGAGUAAUUUCAAGCUAUAUGUUACUGUUGGAUUGUUCCUCUUCAGUUGCUUGACACGAUAAUGUUAUUGGAUGCCAUCUUACCUCGUGGAAUUAAUAUAAGCGUUAACUGCUUCUGCACCAUCGUAAGAGAUUUCCAAAGCAGGAAGAACAUGAGCAUCACUGAUAACUUCAUUCAAGCCCUGGUAAUCGGCAACAACCAAUCCUACAGCACCAGCCAUAGCAGCAGUUACGCCUUUGUCCAGCCUUCCAAUUCCCCCACCUCGUAGGCAAACCAAGAUCUUUCCCUUUGCUAGAGUAGGAUCCAGUGCUCCAUCCUUACAUAUAUCACUGCAAGAAAAGGGAAAUAUCAAAUAUAUUGCAGGUUAUGAGGGAAUCAAAUCACAUUUAGGAGUCCUAACAGAUUCAAAAGCUUACGCGUCUGGAUCUGAUGCAUUGGCAGCUUUAACAGAUCUGGCAGGAACAAUUGGAAAGAACGUGUUGUUUGGUAAUACUUUAUCCGAGAAGCUUUCUCCCUUUAGAGAAUAAUUUCUGAUCAACAAAUGCAUCAUGCAAGCUAAUGCCUAUAAAGAUUACUGACAGUUACAAAAGAACAGAAAAGAGAAAAAGAAAAAAAAACACUAACUCUGAUUCGCAAGUUGUUGCCAAGGACAAGAUAACUAGGAAACUGUCGAUCCAUGGUGCUUGCCCCAACUGUGAUUUGCCAGGGUGCAUCAUUGUCUAGUGUAUCAGGAUUAGGACCAUCAUUACCGGCUGCAGCAACAACUACAAUGCCACGCUUAAUAGCAUGAAGCGAGGCAAUGGCAAUGCCUCUAGUAUAAUCAGGGAUUAUUCCCCCUCCAACUGACAUUGAAAUCACAUCGACACCAUCGUCGAUAGCCAUGUCGAAAGCAGCCAAAAUAUCCGCCAUUUGGCAGCCUUCACUUUGGCAAGCCCUGUAAGCUGCUACUCGAGCUCUCGGUGAUCCACCUUUUGCUGUUCCAUUUCCUAACCCAAAUAAAUUUGCUCCGGCUACAAAAUUACCACCAGCUGUGGAUAAGGUAUGGGUUCCAUGGCCUGCAACGUCUCGUGGUGAGUUAAAAACACUUCUAUUUGCAUUUGGUGUCAGCAUGCUAAAAAAUCCUUCGCUGAAGUAUCUUGCUCCGAUGAGUUUCCUUCAUACAUAGUUGGCAACAAUGUCAACCAGAGCAUAUUAUGUGGAAGUUAAUUUUGACUUCAAGUAGGCUGAGGCCUAUGAGAUUAGCUUUCGUGAAAGCAUAAAAAUUUUUAUUAAAGUUGAAUGCGUUAUUUCUUAACUCCGAACUUCUUUUAGUUGUUUGAGUCCGAUAUGGAAGUUCAGUUCCCAAAUUUUAGUGCAAAGAAAGGAAACCAAUUCCUUUGAAGAAAACCAGAAUAUUUACAUUGGCAAUUCCUUGAAUCUUCACUAAUUGUGCAUGAUAAAAAUAGGUAAUGGUCAAAUUUUGAGGUACCAGUUGUCUGAUAGAGAAAAAACAAAUAUUUAGAUUUUUAAGCAAUCUUAGUGGAGGAUCCUUUUAGGAAUUAUCUGUUUAGGAGGAAACCAUAUGGUUCAACUUGAAGAUGACUUUCGGUAAGAGUAGAGACUAACUGACUUUACAAUUUACUAUGAUUUCUGUUAAAGAUUGAAACUUUUUUAUGGUCUUGUAGUAAUUAUUUCAAUUAAUCGAGACCAAAACACAUUGUCAUUCAAGUAUAAGCAUCACACAGAUGUAUAGAUAUCGAGACUUCAGGCAAUAAAGUUACUCCUUUUCAAGUGAAGGAUCAAUUGUAGUUCAAACCAAGAGUCUUCUAGAACUCGGAGAAAAUCUAGUUCUCUUCAACUUCCUAUAAUGUGUUUUACAGAGGAUCUGCAACUAAUAAGAAAUGAAAACUUUUUUAAAUUUUCAAAGGAUAUGAAAUAAAUAAUUUCUCUGGAUCUUUAAAGGAAAAAAGAAUUGUACUGUGAUGCUUUGAUAGAUACAAAGUAAUUAAUGAAAGUUAACAGAUAAAGAGAUCAAGGUGAAAAGAGAAAUCUGACCUAUUGCACUUAAAGGUUGAAUCAUUCUCAUUUUGACAAAUUCCUCUCCACCUUGCUGGAAUCGGUCCGUAUCCUUCAUCACUGAAGCUUUCUGAUUCUGGCCAGACACCUGUUUGAAUCCCCGUAAAAGGAAGAAUAAGGGUGGACAAAGCCAGUAAGAGAUAGCAAUUGCUAAACGGAAAUGAAGAAAAAAGUAAGAAGAAAGAAAUCUGAUCCUUCUUUCUGGUUUGGCUCUAUCGCCAAUUAAGUUAUCUUUGAUUUCAUCCCAUCUUGUUGAGGCCUGUGAGCUAAUGUCUUGUACUCUUGCCAUUUUUCAACUUAUGAUCAUAUUAAUCCAGCCAAUUAGCUAUGCAAAUGCACAAAUGCGGACGCUAUGAUCCAUCAAAAGGUUUGUUUGAGAUGAAACUUUAGACUUUGUGACCUGCAGGUACCGUUCCAAACUGAAAAUGUUGCAUCUGAGGUAGUCAAAUUGUUUUCUACCCAAGUAUGAGGAUGAUAGAACAAUGCGCCGAGCCAGUCACAGAUGCACAUGCUGGAUACUCUUUUAUUUUUAGAGAUUUUCAAUGUUCAUCUCUGAUGGCCUCAACUAUUUACACUUCACACCAAAUUAUUAAGGGUACAAAAAACUAGGUAGGGAAAUCUGAACCAGUCACAGCUAAACAACCGGGCUACUUCUGCUACGAGCUUCCAAAUUGUCACUGCCAAAUCUCCUCCUGUUGUGUCCCUAUGGUAAUGCAGAAUGCGACUUCAAUUUUUAGAAGGGGUUACAGUGCCAAUUGCAUUUCUCAAACAAGCAAAUUUGUAGUGACUGCACAGUCAACCAUGCCUGACGAUGACUACCUCGAUUAGAUGGUUGGUCAUUCCAGCACCAUAAACAAGAUUCAGAAAAAUGAAAAUCAUAUACGGUUGACGAUUAUUAUGAGUACCCUUUUGGCGUGCAUCUUUGGCAAAAAUGAGAUAAACGUAAGGAGUAAUUCUGUUGUAUCAUCAAGUGAAUGUUCUACGUGCAAGUUAUUAGUUGCAUACUCUGAUUGCACAAGGAAAAAGACAACACAAGAAUCUUGAGAAAAAUUUCUGCUUAUUAACUACACAUCAGGCUGCUGAUUUGGAUACAUCUAUUGAUCAAUUGGUAAGAUACAUGACUUGCAUUCUUCCAGAACUAGAUAGUUUUUCCAUUUUAGUAUUCCCAGAUGAAUUAUGAAUAAACUCACGUUCAAUGACGAAGUCAUCAAGAAUGCAUUUUGCUGAAACGAAUUUUUAAUAAAUCCAAGGGAGCUAAUCAACUCACCAGAGUCAAUAUUGGCAAUGAUGGUGUCUUCACCAAAUCUUGCCUGAGCCCAUGAUGGCUGGAUUUGGCCAUUUUGCUCAAGCCCCAGAAACCCCCACGACCUGGUUGUGUAUAAUUUGACUUGUUCGCUCAAGAAAACUGAUAGAACAUCCCGAUGUUCUGAAUUGUCAUGAAAGACAGGUCAACCUUUAUGCACAAAAAGUAGAAUAAAAACAGCUAUCCAAUAAACAAUAGCUUAAGAAGAAGCACUUCCAAAUUUCGUACUUGAUAUCUCAGCAGCUUCUGCCUCAUCAAGUAUUGCAGCAAAGCCAUUAAUAUGUCUUGUAUAAGAGUAGAAAAUUGCGUCUUUUGCCUUUUCGCUGCUGUUAUUAGUGGAAGUUCAAACAUAAAAAGCUAGACAUUAGACAUUGAAUUAAGGGGGAAAAAAGAAAAACAAAGGACUUCAGCUUCUUCAUGAGAAAUACACACUUCCAUACCUCCCCAAGAAUGAUCCAAGAAGCGAAUAAUGGGAUUCUCUUGUUCUAUCAUAUUCAACGGCUGAGACUUCUACAUUUUGAUCACGUGAAUGAGAUCCCAAGUAGACUAUGUAAGGCUGCGAAACAUAAAUUAAAAAGAAGAAAAUUAUUUUGUUCAAUUCAACAAAAUAAUUCUAACUGAGUUAUAUAUUUAAGGCAAACAAAUAUUGAUUUUUUUAUUUACCUUUUUUGUAGCAAAAGAGGGACUGAUUAAUGCUGAAAAAAGAAGGGGAAGUAAGAAAAGGGUUGAAGCAAUAGUUCUCAUUGCUUCCUUUUUUUCGAAACCUUAAUUUCCUCCUCCUUUUUAGUGCGCUCCCACAAGAAAGAAUUGUUCAGGGAUGCUCCAGUCCGGACAAAUGUAGCUAUUUAUAGUGUUUCAGUUAUUAUGUGGCCGUUAUUAUAGUUAUUUGUUUUAUAGAGAAAAUGGAGGAGGAAACAAUCGAUUAUAACUGUCCUGUCCUGAUCUAUGUAUCUUCUUAAGAGAAAAUGAAGGAGAAAUCAACCAAUUAGGAUUCUUCUACUUGUGUAAUAUCUUGGAAGACAGAGUUGUUUAUUUUUCCCCAUUUCCUGAUAAUUAAGAUAUGGAAUCUUAUUUAGCAUGCAACUUUCAAGCUCGAAUUUUCGCAUUAUAAAGUAUAUGUGGUGGUCCAUCAGUCUUAUCCAUCUAAUUUCCAAAUUUAUCUAAACUAUGAAUAAGUCAUUGCUUCACGCUUAACCCUGCCAAGAUUUACACUGCUGAAAGAUCCAAAACAAGAUUUCAAGGUCUUCGAAAUUAGGCCCCGUAGAAGAACAGUCUCAUUCAAGUGUCCUGAAACAACUUUGUCACUAAAUCCAGAAGUGUAGUACUUGUUCAAAAUGAAGCAUCAUGAUUUGAAAUGCCCCUGGACACACACAGGCCACAAUAUUGACUCAAUGAAUCUUUUCCUCAUCUCAAUUUUACCGGUUGAUUACAGCAAUACACGAACUGAAAUGGCAACAAGUAAAUGUGGUGUAGAUAGAGAAAAAAUCUGGUGCCAAUUUUGUAAUUGUUUCUACGUCAAAAUUGUUAUUUUAUCGUAGAGAUAUGCAAAAGAUUCUUGCUUGUAUCGAUUGCAAUAUGCAAGUGAUUAAACUAAUGAGAAAAUGCAACUUAAUUGGAACUGUGAUUUUUAUACAUCUUAUUUACAGACACUAUUUAUAACCCAUAAUAUUACAAACCUAUGUGACAGUAACAAGUCAAUCACAGGGAAACAAAUACAAGACUCCAAAUAGAGAUAAAACUAAAACAAAAAAAAAAGCAGAAGAGGUUUAGGGGUCUAUCUUGAUCAUCAAAUCCCAUCCUUAAAAGCCAUAUUAAGAUAACUCAAGAUGCCUUCAUAGAAUUCGAUAUCCUAAUGUGGUACUACAGCUAUCCUGACACUUUCGAAUGUCAAGAAAAGGAAUUUUUAUUGGUAGACGGGAUGCUAUAACAACAUAGAUUUCCUGACACUUUUGAAUGCUACGAGCCUAUCCCAUAUUGGAGGGGAUGACACUCGUCCGAAGUGUGAGGAAAGCUAAAGUGUUAAUUUAGAUUAUCUAUACUGACAACUGUAAAUGCCGUUAAAGGUCAUUUUUGUUGUAGUGCAUGUUCAAGUCCAAGAAAGUCCCAUGACCUGGUUGUGUGUAACUUUCUUGGUUGUUAAGAACACUGAUAAAACAUCCGGAUGUUCUGAAUUGGAAUGAAAAUAUUAAAUCCAGAGUUGUGCACAUUAUUGAAUUUAAAAAGCAGCCCACACAGAAGACAAGAUGCAGCACUGCAAACUGCUCACUAGAUAUCUGGUCAACUUCUGCCUCAUCAAGCCAUCAAUAUGUCUUGUUAAUUGCUUCUUUAAGAGCAUGGACAUAAGAAACGUACCUUCCCAAGAAUGAUCCAAGAAGCACGUAAUGGGAAUCUCUUGCUUUCUCAUAUUCAAUAGCUGAGACUUCUAAUGGUGAAUUACGUGCAUGCAUCAGAUCCCAAGUACACCACAUAAGACUAGUACACAUAAACAGCCACAUCAUUUAACUUCGCAAAUCAUCUUUGAUCAAUUUGCUAAAGCAGUUGUUGAAGGCAGACAAAGUAACAAGAAUACAAAAGUAUCUAUGAUCACCUGCUUCUUAGCAUAAGUGUGACUAAGUUAUAAUGAUGCUAGAAGGAAGACGAAGCAAAUGACUGAAGCACUAGUUUUCAUGGUAUCUCCUUUUGGUAUUUGCUCCUUUUCUUGGAAAAAGGAACUCCUUGCUUCCCUCCCCUUCUUCCGAGUUCUCUCACACCCAAAAAAAAAUUAAUAGAAUGAUUUUUAGAAAAAUAUAGGAUUCUCCCAUGCAGACUUAACAUUUUAAUUAAUGGUAACUUUGUUUCGAAAGAAUAUGAAGGGGGAAUGAUCACUUAUAACUGUCCACAGUAUCUAUCUUUAUCUUUCAAAGUUAAAAUGAAGGAGUUGAGCAAUGGUAUUCGUCCUCCUGAUUGAACUUUUAGGACUUUACAUAUGUGUAGAAGUAGAACACGCCCUUUAUGUCGCAAUUUUGUCCUAGAGGACUCCCCAGUCCAAGAUGUAACCAGGAUUUCCUCACAGGUGAACAAACAAAUGAAUAUGGACAGUAACAUAUUGUUAAUGUCGGUUUGAAGUGGUCUAGAUUUUCCUUGAAAAAGGAACUUGAUUACUCUAAAGAAUCUUGCUGGAAAUGGCCGAGCUAGAAUCUUUUUGAACAUAUUGUCUAAACAUUCAAGUCUUAGUAUUUGUUACAUGUCUAAGAGGAAUAUGAUCCAACUAGUGCUAAUUGGUAUUAGAAUGUAGUAAUUAAAGAAAAUGUAAAUUUUCUUUUAGCUCAAUCAUGCUUUAGCAUUUUUUCACUCAAUUCUCUUGUACAUCAUUAUCAUUACUAUAUAAAAAGUAUGAAUGUUGGUAUUGGGUAGUGCAAGUGUAAGCACUUUUUUAUCUUAGUUUUUAUAUUCCUAAAUUACCCUCAUGUCUUUUAAUUAGAAUUAUUGCAUUUUAAUAUGGCACUAAUUAAAAGAAAUAAAACACUCCAACUGAUUACAUUUUAAUAGUAUUGGUAAUUAUAAUUAAAAAUUCCUCAUUAAAAACUAUUUACCUACCCUUGGACUCCAUCUCCUAUUAUUAUACGUAUCAAAAUUUCUUAACUGAAGCAUGAAAAAUUUCUCAUUAGUCAUUUGUUGAGAUUAUUAAAAAAAAUCAAUUUCAAAAAAUAGAUACUCUCUAGAAAUGGAGAAACAUACAAUAACAAGAAAACCCUUAUUCAUCUGUAUAUCUUCACACAAACAUCAUAAGUAAAUUUUACAAUUAUGCACUUUUGCCAAUAUGAAGAAUUUUUCAUGUUGCACCCAAUUUCAAUAUACAAAAAAUGAUGACAUCUUUAUAACUGAAAUAGCAGUAUUAAACUAGAAAAAAGAAAUCUAAAAUAGCACCAUACAAACCACUAUUAUUAUUAAUAGCAACUGAUCAAAACAAGAAAAACUAAAAUAAAAUUGAAAACUAUUUAUAAAAUGGCAUAAAGUAAAUAGCAAAUUAAUUAAAAAACUAGAAUACAAUUCAAAUAAUACCAAAGACAACAUCCAAAUCACUGAUAUCCAGGGGAAGACAAAUAUUGUUAUUGACAAUAAUAUAGUAAUGCUUCAUUUGUAUUGGUUUGAGCAAACCAAAUCCAUCCAUCAAGUCAGAAACCAUCUCCAAUGAUAAAAUAAGGAUUAUAAUAAGAAUAAAUAUAAAAUGAAGAAUGAUAAAAUAAAAAUGAUAUCCAAAUUGUUUUUGGUGAUAUCCAAAAUAUCCUUAUUUUUCUAAUGAUUACAUAUAUUUAUUGUAUUGCAAUAUUAGUGAAUAAUGGAAGCAAUUAUGAAAUGAAAAGUUUUAAAAUUAAGUAAAUUUCAUUUAUGGUGACAAUUGUAAUUAGACAGAUUUAAUGCAUUCCAAUAAUUGAUAAUAAUGAUACCGGUUAUAGAUUAAAAGUUGGCAAUUAAAAACUAAAACACUGCAAUAUACAAAAAAUUAAUAUUAAAAUUAUUAAUUAGCCACAAUUCUCAUCCCAAUUUCAUGAUCAUAAAAAAACUAAUAUUAAAACCAAACAUAUUGUCCUCAUAUGAAAAAAGUAGACUUGUUGCUCUUGCUUCACAUUGGAUUGUGCUAAAAACAUGAAAAAAAAAUAGAAAAACUCCAACUAUCUCUAUCCAUAACAUUUCAAUUGUUAGAAUAUACAAGCCAAAAAAACUUUACAUGGUGGAUCAUUUAUACUCCAUUAUUGACAAAAAUAGAAUUAACAUAAUACAAAAAAUUCAAAUUACAUGUAUGUUUAUUUUUCUAACUUAAUUAUAUUCUUCGUUUAUAAAAAAAUUUUGAUGAUUGUGGUUUGUAUGCAAUAGAGUCAUGAAUAAACAAUACUUUUGGUAAAACAUGAUAUUAUCAAUAUUUGAUAUGUUAGAGUUCAAGUUAUAAAUCAAAAAGUGUUUCGUUCAUAUUUCAAAUUCAAUCCCAAGGGAUGUGUCAACUACAUUGGUAUGUUUUGUCUCUUUUCAUUUAAUAAAAUUUUUAAAAGUAACUAGCUUAAAAAAAUAAAUAAUAUAAAAAUACUAUAUUAUGAUGUUGAUGAUCAAAUUUCAUAAAAAAUUUUUAAUAUUUGAAAAAUAAUAUAUUUUAAGAUAUAUCAAUCACGUGCAAAGCACGUGAACUAUUACUAGUUUAAUAAAAACGGCACUAAAAAAUUAAAAAUAGCGCCCCCUUCUUUGGACUAAAGUUGCACUGUUAUUUUUUUGAUAAAAUUAACAAUAAAAGGUAGAUUUGGUAUUUGAUUUUUUCCCCUUUUUUGACUUUUAAAAUUUGUUUUGUACAUGUUUUCUCAAGUCAAAUUGCUAGAUUUUUACACAAAAAAAAAAAUGAAUGGGUCAGUUAGAUUCUUCAAAAGUAACCGGGUCAAGGUGAUACCUUUCAACAACUUCUGUCUCACCCAAGCUCCCCUCGUUCUGUCUCUUCACCUUCCUCAUCUAUUUUUCUCUGAAUUCUUCACUUGCUUUUCACCCUCUCUCCUACCUUAUCAAGAAUAAUUGAUGGUCAGAUACCAAUACUGGUAAGGAUAUAGUGAAAUUACUCUGAAAAGAAUGUAAUGUGUGGGAUUGAGGGAAAGCAUGGAAAACAAAGGAUUUGAUGAGGAGAAAGAGUUCAUAGAUCAAUUGUCUGGGAAUUUUUCAAGGAAAGAAAGGAAGGCAAAUGGGAAAAUCUUAAAUACAACAUUUGUCCCUUAAACAUAUUUCGAAAAGAUUAAAAAAAAAGGGAAGGACACAUAAAGUCCAACAGCAAUGACAUUUUCUAUCCGCAAAACACUUGAGAAAACUUGGAGAGAAACCCUCCUCUUCCUUCCUAUCCUUAUCACAAAGGAAUGUAUAGUAACGAUGAUAUUCCAUAAUCUAGGCAUCAUUACCUCAUUCCUGUAAAAUAAUGAUUUCUGAUAGUCUCGACUCUUAAUCAUUGUUCUUGUAAUGGGAUUCUUUUUCCUUGCUGGACUUGUGAUGAAUCUGCAAAAGUUUUUGUUGAAUUCAACAGCAUAGAAGCUUAAUUAGGGUACAUGUUGGAGGUCUUUCCUCAUCCUGGAUAUUUGCCCAAAUUCAUAUCACAAGCGGGAUCAUGGAUUAUCUUGUGUUCGGUUGCCCAUGUUUUGAACUUCUAAACGUUGAAGUAGAUUUACAAGUCUCUUUGUAAAAGAGCCCCGCCUAUUCGUGUUACGACCUCCAAAACGGUUCAUGGUUUUACGUAAGAAAAAGACUUGCUCAGGGUCGAUGCAUGAAACACCUUAACUUACUAGCUAGCACCUCCCAAUUCCCAAAAGGCCCAACUUUCAUAUCAAGAAUUAAACAAGCUCAUCGUUAACGAUGGGAGAUCUGUCACCUUAAGCGAGACCUCCUAAAACACCAAAAGUAAUGCUACAGAACAAACUCUUUUUUUUUUUUUGUUCACACAGAAAAGAAUAUUUGAGCAAUGAAGAGCGAAUAUAGACAGAACUUUCCCAUUAAAGACUGAGCUUUCACUGAGGACUAUGCUCCGAAUUUAAUGUUGCUGUUUAAUUUCGAAGCUUGACAAAUUUACGCUUCUAUUAUUGGUGGCCUUAGAGACUACUAUUGUCCACCAGUUUUACUAUCAUUGGUUCUUCCUUCUGAUCAAACCUUAUCAUAAAAUAUCUCAAGUAUCCAUUGCUGAGUUACGCUAUAUGUGCCACUAGUGCCAAGAUAUGACAAUAACCCCUGAAGACUAAGAAGUAGUUUAAGAUUUGUGGAGUAGAUAUUGUUGCAAUGAAAGAAGAUGCAAUUUCUUAGAAAAUGUAGCUGCCCUUUUCAGAAGAAUAUUCAAACCGGCCAAGAGAAGCAACUGUGUAGUUUAUCCAUUCUUACAAUAUCAUAAACCAAAAGAUUAUGUUUCUUACAAGUAAAGUUGACUCUUCAUAACUGACAGUGAAAACAAAGGCUCACUUUGACAUCUUAUAUAAGGAUGCAUAUUUUAGUUGUUUCACGGGAUAAACAAAGAAACAUAGAAAAAUUGAAAAUGGCUAGACACUUGUUUAUGACUAGUAUUGGCAAUGCAGCUAGUCAAGUUGCUCUGAUGCAGCAUGAGGGUUCAGGGCUCAUGGUCAUGCUCGGCAUGAUUGUUAUGUCUGUUUCAAUUAUGUCUCUGAUCAUCUUUGGUUGCGCAAAUUGCGCAGACGGUAAGCCUGGUAAGAGUGGAGGUAGAAGACGAUAUUAUGGUGGCGCUGGAGGUGGUUCUGCUUGUGGUAGUGGUAGUGGCGGGGGAGGAGGUGGUGGUUGUGGUGGCGGGGGAGGAGGCGGCAGUUGUUAAAUGAUCAUUUACUAACUUGGAUUCGGAGUACUUCUUUGGAGUGUGAAGGCGUAUUUUGCUUCAUUAAUCAGUAAGAGUUGUAAAACCAUCUAUGUUGUUUAUUAAUCUUAGUUUAUUGUCUAGUAAUAAAGGCAUUACGUAAUACUAAUAUAUAGUGUAAUUCCUGUGUACAAACUGCUUGUUCUAUAUUCCCAGAAAUACGCAUCUACAUGGUUUCAUCAUUAUGUGUCUUACUUUCAAGAACAUCCAACUAUCUAAACGUGCAAUCAAACACAUCAACAAAAGUCACACGAAACCCUGUUCUGUUGUGAUUUAUAUGAAGCAGUGAUGCGAUAAAGAUAGUCUAAAUAAGGAGUCAACUUUUUCCAUGAGCUCAUAAGUAAUUUAAAUGAAGAGUUUGACAAUUUAUACACCAGCUACAGUGUCCUUUCAAAAUGAAAAAAAUAGUCUGGUAUAUACUAGUUUAAAAUUUGUCACCUUUUGAACCCAAAAGAAAAGGAAUAAAAAUAAUAAUAAUGUGCUGCACAAAGACAGUUGCUGUUCCGAAUAUGAACAUGAUAAUUUUCCUAUAAAUCCUUGCCUACACUAUUUAAUUGUCCUUUUGCUACAACUACCAGGAAAAGUUAGGUACAGGAUGGGUCUCAAGACUCAGGGCCAAGGAGAUAAUAUAGAAAGAAUGUCAGAUGAGUUGAACUGUGGGGAUGUUCAAUUGCAGGCUUGACAGUAUUACACUUCUAAUUUUGGCCGUAGACAUUACUGUUCACCAGUUUAGCCAGUUCUUCAUUAUUGAUUAUUCCUUCCAAUGGAACCUGAUCUCCAAACCCCGGAAAAAUUCAUUGCUUAGAUACAGGGUAUCAUACUACUAGACAAAAAUGACAACCUCCAGCUAAGUCUAAUAUUUGAACUGGUAGAAAUAGUAAAACAAACGAUGCAUUUCCGUGCUACUUUUCAAAAGGUUUGCCUUCGAAGAAUUGAUCAAGAAGAGCAACUACAUUUUAUCAUCACAAACUAGAGUGGUAAUAGUUCUUUACAAGCAAUGGUUAGCCAACUUAGCUGAGUCCGAUACGACCCGAUCAAGUCAUAAUUGAAAUGAAAGAUACUGAUAUCCGAAUCAUGAAUAAUUUUAUAUUAACGGUAAUUUAUUCUGACUCAGUUAAUAUUGGGUUAUUUGAAUCUACCAAAAUAUCUGAAUUAAUUCGAAGUCGACUCGAAUAUUUUUUUUUUCUAUUUUUAGUAAUUUUUUUAGAUUUUUUGAAAUUUUUUAUGUGCAAAAUGCAUAUCACUCGAUAUCUAACUGAUAUGCCAGUGGAACAACCAUGACGGCAAAUAAGACUGUCAUAACUGAGAUACAUGAACCGAGGUUUUUACAAAUUAAUUAUAUAAGGAUGCAUUUUCACGACAAACUAGUGGAACAGAGAGAUUGCAAAAUGGGUAGAUAUUUAGUAUGAAAAGUGUUGGCAGUGCAAUAAGUGAAGCAGAUAUUAUGCAGCAGCAUAAAUGUUCAGGGCCAAUUUUCAUGCUUGGCAUGAUUGUUAUAUCUGUCUCAAUCAUUUCUCUGAUCAUGUUUGGCUGUGCAGACGGGGCUAGUAAGCCUCGCAAGGUUGACAAGCCGCAAAAGACCAAGGAAAAGUGCCAAAAGAGCAGCAACCGUGGUGGCGUAUAUGAUGGUGGGAUGCCAGCUGCGGGUGUUUAUGCUUCUGCUUGUGGUGGUAGCAGCACUGCUGGUGGUGGUGGCUGUGCAUGUGGCGGAGGAGACGGAGGCGGAGGCGGUUGCUAAAUCAGUUGAUUACUUGGAGUUGGGAAGAGAUCACUUCACUAGAAAAACCAUCAUAAUAUCUGCAUGUUUAUAUAGUUGGAAGUUAUUAUCAGCUUUCAAUAUCAAGAAAAACCCUAGUACUAGCCUAAGUAAAUACUAGGCUAUUAGCUCCAUAUGUGAUGAUCCAUGUGUGGAUGGGGUUCCAGAAGUUGAACCCCAAGUUCCCUGUGUUAGGUCUGGCCCCAAGAAAUUGACGAAAAGGUUUUUGGCAACCCCAAAAGACAAAUAAUAAAGUAAAAAAUAAAUAAAACAGGAACACAGAAAUUUACGUGGUUCGGUCAAAUUGACCUACGUCCACGAGUGGAGGAGGAGCAAUAUUUUACUAUGAAGAAAAAAGUACAAAAGAUGCCUUAGGAAAAUGUUUUUAGACCCAAAACACCUAAUACUAAAAACACAAGAGAGUCCAAAAGUAUUUAACUAAUCAAAAGGUUUAAUGAUCCAAAGACCCAAAUAACCCGCUAAUGCUCUCUUGGUUUUGGUGCACUUAACCCCAUCACAGACCCACUAUAUUUAUAGGCAACUAAGGGAAAGAUUCCCUUAUACAAAAGCCGAUGUGGGACAAUGCCACAUUAACAAAUCUCCACUUUGGCGUGUCCCUAACAUCAACAAUAGCAAAAUUGCUCCACUUUCUCCACAUAAGCCCCAAUGGACCUAAAUCAGCAACAACGAAUACCAACCCAAUUCAAGCAUUCCUUGAACUUGUAAACUGGAAGAGGUUUCGUGAACAUAUCAGCAGGAUUCUCCUUGGUACUAAUUUUCUGAACAAGAACUUUUCCCUCAGCAAUAGUAUCUCGAAUGAAAUGAAAUUUCACAUCAAUGUGUUUCGUCCUCUCAUGAUACAUCUAGUCUUUAGUCAAAUGAAUGACACUUUGACCAACACAGUAAAUAGUAGUAACACCUUGAUGCAGACUAAGUUCGCCAAAUAGACUCUUCGACCAUAAGGAUUCUUUGAUUGCCUCAGUCAUGGCCAUAUAUUCUGCCUCCGUAGUAGAUAAAGCUACAACGGGUUGUAAAGUAACUUUCCAACUAACUACACAACCGCCAAUGCAAAAUACGCAACCUGACAGUGAUCUUCUUCUGUCAAGAUCUCCAGCAUAGUCGAGUCUACAAAACCAACCAAAGUGUCAUUAUUUCUUCCAAACUCUAAACUACAAUUUGAAAUCCCUCGCAAGUAUUUGAGAAUCCACUUCAUAGCCUGCCAAUGUGCUUUUUCAGGACACGACAUAUACCUGCUAACCAUGCUGAUUGCUUGUGCAAUAUCUGGACGAGUACAAACCAUUGUAUACAUAAUGCAACCAAUUGCGUUGGAAUAAGGAAUCCGUGCCAUAUACUGUGCUUCUUUAACUGACUGUGGUGAUUGAGUAGCAGAUAGUAGAACACGAUUAGCAAGAGGAGUAGUCACAAGUUUAGCAUCUUUCAUGCCAAAAUUCUCCAAGACCUUUUCAAGAUAAUUUUCUUGAGUCAAGAAUAAUUUUUCAGCUCCUCGGUCUCUUUUGAUCUCCAUGCCAAGAAUUUUCUUAGUUACUCCCAAAUGUUUCAUGUCAAAUUCACUACUUAACUGCAACUUUAAAGUGUGAAUUUCUGACAAAUUCUUGGCAACAAUGAGCAUGUCAUCAACAUAAAGCAGCAAAUAAAUAAAAGAACCAUCAUCUAACUUCCGGAAGUAAACGCAACUAUCAUACAUGCUCUUUGAAUAACCAUGACUCAACAUAAAAGUGUCAAACCUUUUAUACCACUGUCUUGGAGACUAUAAGGAUUUCUUUAGCAAACAAACAUGGUCUUCCUUUCCUCCAAUUUCAAAUCCCUGAGAUUGUUUCAUAUAAAUUUUUUCUUCAAGUUCACCAUGCAAGAAAGUUGUUUUAACAUCAAGCUGCUCAAACUCCAAAUCAUAUAUGACAACUAAAGCAAGUAAAACAAGAAUAGAGCUAUGCUUAACAAUAGGUGAAAAUACUUCAUUAAAAUCAAUAUCUUGUAUCUGACUAUAGCUCUUUGCAACCAAACGUGCUUUGUACCUUGCAUCUUCAACUCGUGGAAUACCUUUUUUUUUUCUUGAAAAUCCAUUUGCAUCCGACAAUUUUCUUACCUGGAGACGGCUUCACAAGAAUCCAAGUUUCAUUUCGAUAGAGAGACUCAAUUUCUUCAUUCAUCGCAACCAACCACUUAGCAGAAUCAUCACAAGAAAUCGCAUUUGAAUAAGUAGUAGGCUCAUCAACUACAUCAGUUUCUUCUGCGAUAGACAAAGCAUAUGCAAUCAAAUUUGCAUAUCUUUGUGGUGGUCGAAUAUCCCUCCUUGGUCUAUCUCUGGUAAUGAAAUAUUCUUCUUCUUCUGAAUUAUUUUCAUCAGUAGAUUCAGAUGCAUCUAUUGGCACUUGUUGAAUAGAAGGACCAGAACUACCAAUCUCAAGCUCCACCUGCUUCUACAUAUUAUCAUCUGUUUAACAAGAACUAAAAGACGCCUUCUUGGAAAAUAACAUAGAAAAUUCAUCAAAAGUAACAUCUCUACUGAUUAUAAAUUUUGGAGAUUUGAAAUCAGGACACCAUAAUCUGUAUCCUUUCACCCCUCGAAGCACACCCAAGGAAAGUACACUUUUUAGCUCGAGGUUCUAAUUUUUCAUCAUUUACAUGCAUGUAUGCUGGACACCUAAAAAUUUUAAAAUCAGAAUAAUCAGCAGGAAUAUCUAACCAAAGUUCCUCAGGAGUUUUGAAAUUAAGAGCAGCAGAAGGAGCACGGUUGACAAUAUAACUGGUCAUAGAAAUUGCCUCAAUCCAAAAAUUCUUUGCCAACCCUGCGUUAGAGAUCAUGCAUCUCGCUCUCUCCAAAAGUGAUCUGUUCAUACGUUCAGUCACACCAUUUUGUUGAGACGUCAUCCUGAUAGUGUGAUGCCGAACAAUUCCUUCAUUUUUACAAAAUUCAUCAAAUUCUCUUUCACAAAAUUUCAUGUCAUUAUCUGUUCUAAGCCGCUUGAUCUGUUUACCUAUCUGUCUUUCAAUCAAAACUUUCCAUUGUUUGAAAGUGAGGUAAACAUUAUUCUUAUGUUUAAAAAAAUAAAUCCAAACUUUUCUUGAAUAAUCAUCAAUGAAAGUCAACAUAUACCUGGCACCACCCUUAGACGAAACACGAGAUGGAUCCCAUAAAUUUGAAUGAAUAUAAUCAAGAGUACCUUUCAUCUUAUGAAUUGCUGGAGAACUGAAGUUAACUCUUUUUUACUUUUCAAAGAUACAAUGUUCACAGAAUUCCAGUGAUCCAGUACUCUGACCGCAAAGAAGUCCCCUUUUACUUAGUAUGCUCAGGUCUUUCUCGCUCAUAUAUCCCAAACGCAUAUGCCAUAAUUUGGUGAUGUCAGAAUCAAACAAAGAUGAUGAUGACGAAACUGCAACCGAGCCUGUGACAGUAGAUCCCUGCAAAACAUAUAAACUACCAACCCUGCAAACUUUCAUUACAAUGAGAGCACCUUUAGAAACCUUUAUAACGCCAUUUUCAGCUGCAAAUUUGCACCCAAGAGCCUCUAGGGUGCCCAAAAAGAUGAGAUUCUUUUUCAAAUCAGGAACAUGUCUAACAUUAGUGAGCGUCCUCACAAUACCAUCAUGCAUUUUAAUUCGAAUUGUACCCUUACCAGCAGCAUUACAAGCAGCAUUAUUACCCAUCAAAACAAUUCCACCAUUGUAAGAUUCAUAAGUGAAAAAUAAAUUUCUAUUGGGACACAUGUGAUAAGAGCACCCCAAAUCUAAAAUCCAUUCAUUUUUAGACCUUGUCUUGUCAUCAUUCACAAAGAAAAUACUUCCUUCAUUCUCAUCAGCUGCAACACCAGCUUUGGUAGUCUCAAAAUUUUUCUCACCAGGUUUCCCCUUUUGUUUCAAUUUAUUUUUCAAUUUGAAACAAUCUGUCUUAACGUGCCUCAUUUUAUGACAAUAAUUCCACUCCACAUUUUUAUGUCUGGAUUUAGAUCUACUUUUAUCAAAUUCUCUUCUCUCAGUUCUGCCCUUAACAACCAGACCUUCUGCAUGGCCUCCACUAAAUUCCCCAGUAAUAUCCCUGUCUAUCUGCUCCUUAGAUUUUAAUGCAGAUUUAAUUUUCUGAUACAAAAUUAUUUCUUUUCCAUAAAUUAUAGUAUCACGAAAAUAUUUAAAAGAUUGGGGAAGGGAACACAAAAGUAAUAGGGCCUGAUCCUCAUCAUCAAUUUUUGAAUCUAUAUUUUUCAAAUCCAUAAUAAUAGAAUCAAAUUUAUCAAGAUGUGAGAAUAUAGAUGUACCUUCAGUCAUGCGAAGCAUAUAUAAACUUUGCUUUAAAUAAAGCCGAUUCUCAAUUGUUUUCUUCAUGUACAAGACUUUAAGUUUGUCCCACAUGGUCUUUGCCGAAGUCUUAGUGGCUACCUCCCGCAAAACCCGUCAGAGAGAUUUAGGAUAAUACUGGACCUUGCUUUCUUAUCCAUCUCAGCAAAAUUUGCAUCUGUCACACCCUCUAGCUUUUUCUUAAUUCUGUGUAUCGCUAGAUCAACUCCGUCUUGAACCAAAAUGGCCUCCAUCUUAAGUUGCUACAUCCCGAAAUUGACAUUCUUGUCGAAUUUCUCGAUGACAGUCUUUAUUAUUGUCAUUGUUACCACAAAAUUCAAAGCCUCCGAAGAAGUUCUGAUACCAGUUUGUUAGGUCUUGCCCAGAAAAUUGACGAAAGGAUUUUUGGUAACCCCAAAAGACAAAUAACAAAGCAAAACAGGAACACAGGAAUUUAUAUGGUUCGGUCAAAUUAACCUACGUCAACGGGCGAAUGAGGAGCAAUAUUUUAUUAUGAAGAAGAAAGUACAAAAGAUACCUUAGGAAAGUGUUCCUAGGCCCAAAAUACCUAAUAUUAAAAACACAAGAGAGCCCAAAAGUAUUUAACUAAUCAAAAGGUUUAAUGACCCAAAGGCCCAAAUCGCCCACUAAUGCUCUCUUGGUUUUGGUGCACUUAAUCCCAUCACAGACCCACUAUAUUUAUAGGUAACUAAGGGAAAGGUUCCUUAUACAAAAGCCGAUGUGAGACAACGCCACAUUAACACCCUGUAUAUAAUAUAUAUAUGAGUCGAGUGUAUACAUGGUCAACUACAUAACAUAGCUCUAUCUUUACUAGUACAAUUGAGUCUUCCAAGUUUGAAGUUGCUUUUAAAAUAUAAAAUUUAAAGUGGUUUUCUUUUCUAUGCCUAUUCAGCAAUCGGCAGUGAUCCUUGGCAUGCAAGCAUUACUUGUACUUGAGUUGUCAAAGAAUCUUCGAAGGACGCUUUUUUUUGGGGGGGGGGGGGGGGGGCAAUUUAGACCUGCUUCGUUUUUGUUUUUAGAUGUAGAAAAAAGUCUCCAAACAUUAAUAAUUGUGGAUAAAUAAAAGAUGUAGCAAAAUUUUCUGAAUCUAAUUAACUCUUGUAAAUUUAAAAUUGUGAUUGACUUUGGUUCCCCAAUCUCAUACCUUAAGGGUAAAGGGUAAUUUGCCCUACCACUGAUUUCUAAUCUAACUAUCUCGAAUGUGAACAAGAUAUUUUGUUUAGCAUGCUAGGAAAAGUAAGUCGACGGUUCUGGGGCUGGACUUGGGAUAGAAUCUACAUAGAAUGUUCCCAGCAAUUACUUAUAAGGUUCCCCACUUUAAAUCGACGGGUCUAUGAAAAUUCUUGAAGUUUGAACACGGUAGAGAUGCUAAUCGAACAAAUGCAUUAUCCUAACAUACAUGACUGUUUCUCAAACGAAAAUUCAAGUUGACCAAGACGUCGAAUCGAUCAACUAGAAUUAUUCAGACGGGAGCAGAUUGGCAGAAACGUCCCUCGCAAGUAACGAAGUUGACCGUGACAACGAUUGUUUCUGACAUAUCAUAGUAUAUAAGGAUGCAUGUGUUCAUUCGCAGGACAAACAAUUGAGCAGCAUACUGGAAAUUUAAAAUGGCUAGAUUCUCAUUAAUGACCGCUGUUGGCAGUGCAGCAAGUGAAAAAGGUUUCAUGCAUGAAGGUUCUGGGGUGAUCUUGAUUCUGGGUAUGAUUGUUAUGUCUGUCUCGAUCAUGUCCUUGAUCAUUUUUGGCUGUGCUGACAAGCCCCGAAAGAGUGGCGGCCGUGGCCACGGUAGAUACAGUGGUGGGGUAUUUUAUGGCGGAGCAGCUGCUUACUCAAAUGGUUCUGCUUUUGAUGCCGGAGGUGGCGGUAAUGGUGGUUGUGCUUGUGGUGGUGGUGGUCAUGGUGGUGGUGGUUGUGGUGGUGGUCAUGGUGGUGGGGGUGGAGGUGGAGGUGGAGGUGGCUGUGGUGGUGGGGGUGGGGGUGGUUGCUAAAUGAGUUUACAUAGUGAAUAUUUGUAAAAGGGUAAAUUAUUUAUAAUCCCUGCUUUUGCAUGACACCUUUUUACCCUCUGAAGUUGCUUUCCCUGCAAUUUUCCACUUUACAUAAAAUUAGAGGAGGGAGGUGAUGUUCAUAUUAUGCAAAAGCAAUGGGGAACUAUGAGUAAUUUACCCUAUGUAAAAUAUGCAGAAUACAGCAUAUUACGCUUAAGCUAGGAAAGCUGAAGCAAUCAGCUGUUACCUAAUUGAUGAUACGUUUAUAUAUAUGUGGCAAUCAUGUAACACAUAAAACUGUUUGAUUUUUUUACCAUUUGUACUCUUUAAUCAUGUUUUGCUUACAAUAGUGCCAAUAAAGAACCUUGGAAGGCAGCUUAGAUUUUGGAGGCAUGGCAUCAUUUUGUUGUAUGUGCGAUUUCUUAUAAUCUCGUUGCAUCAGUUCAAACUCUUUCUUGUUUUACAUAUUUAUAAUUUGUCGAAUUACAAGUGUCUAUGAUCCCACGAGGGUACUGAUGGUUCAGAAUAUUCGUUUAGCUUGUCAUGGAAACGGCCCUGGUAUGAUUCAUCUGUUAGAUUGUUCUUAUCAUACUACUACGUAUUUUUCCGGACAGAUGAGUACCUGCUGUGUCGGAUUGAAGUGACCUCAAUCGUCAAGAUCAGAUUCGUGAUGAGUAACUUGAAUUUGGGCCCUCAAAAUUCAAUUCUCAGGAUGAGAUAGCAAGGGGGCCAUCGAUGAUGUCCUGCUAGUGCUAGUCAUAUGUACUGAUAAUUUCUAGUAAGUUACAUGACAAUAGUGCCCAAGAUGCGACACCGUAAUACAAUUAACAAAUUAAUCUACAAAUGAUGGAAAUUACAAUUAUCAUAAUUCUAUAACACUACAAUCAAAUCCAAAGUAGGAGAAUAAACUCACUUGAAUGCAGGACUAGGAUCUCAACCUUAACCACUAUUUGCUAAAAGAAAAACAAGGUUUAUUCCUUUUUCAUAUCAAGACGUCCUAAACCACUAGCAUAACAAGUUGAACACAUUAAAUUAAAUGUGGUGUAUAUUUUGAAAUUUGAACGCCUUCUUUCUUGUAUGAACCUUAAUAACGGAAAAGACCAUAUGUAUUAGGGGUGGGCAAAAAUACCCACUAAUUCAAAAAUCUAUCAUAUCCGAUCUGAUCGGAUUUGAAAAUUAGAGUAUCUGAUCCGUACGAUUUGACCAGAUCAAAAGAGGGCCAGGUACUCAUUUAGAUGGGAAACGGGUUAGGAUCACAUAAUUAAAAAAUCAUGGAUAUCCGACCCGCACUUGUAUAUAUAUAUAUAUAUAUAUAUAUUUUAAUACACAUACUAUAAAAUAAUAUUUUAGAUUUAAAUAAAAAAUUUCAUUGAACAAAUUGCAUCACGAAUAUGGGAGACUGUAGUUACAGGAUUCAUUUGUAGAAGUCAUGAUCUUAUGUUUUUUAGAAAAGAGUUUAAUUAAGGGAGAAUAUAUAUUUAAAAAAAAGGUACUAUUUAUUUCAAAAUUUCAUUGAUUUUGAAUUCUUUUAAUUUUUUUCCUUUUUCUUGAUGUGAGAUUUUUUUGAGAAAAAUUUUUUAUUAAAUCUUAGAUGAAUAUGUAAUAUACAAAAUUAAAUUAGUAUAAAUUUUUUUAAAAAAAUUAAAUGAUAAGCGAGGCGGGGUGAGACGAGUACGUUGUUUAUUCGACCCUAUCUCAAUAGAUACUAGAUUAUCAAAUACCUGCUGAUAUAUGAGGCGAAUAAAGGUCUAAAAAUGGUUGAGCCAAAUGGUGCAUGAGGCGGGUAUCCAAUCCGUGCCCAACCCAAAUGCGUAUAGAAAUUUAUUGGAAAAUCAUCUUCUUGUUAUGAAUUACAAUCAACAGAUAUGGGAAUUCAUUGUUUGCAUCUCCAAACUAAUGAUUGGCCCCUGAUAGUUUGGAGGGUAAGUAGGGAUGGCAAUGGGGGCGGGUGCUCGCGGGGGGCUCUCGGGGCGGGGGUUGGGGCGGGGGCGGGGGGGGAAUUUUUUCCCCCCGCUUAGAAACGGGGCGGGGGGCGGGGAAGUAUACCCCCGCCCCAUCCCCCGCCCCGCCCCCCGCAAAACAAAAAAAAAUAUAAAAAAAUAUAUAAUUAUAUAUAACAUGUAAGUUAAUUAGUUAUAAACUUAUGAUAAUGAUAUUAUUAGUUAGAUAUAUUAUAUAAUGUAUAUUAGUUUAUGUAAUAUAAUUGAUAUUAUCAAUUAUAUGAAUAAUUCUACAUGUUUACUAAUAGAAUUUAUUAAUUAGUUAUACUAAAUUUACUAAUAUAUUUAUACUAAAUUUCUAAUUACACUUAAUAGAAUAACACUUUUUUCUCAAAAAAAAGCACAAACACAAUAAUGAAUUAGUGAUUGCAUUUGUACUAAAAGUGAAAACUUGACUAUUUUAGUUAUAUUUAUUUCAUCAUAUUGGAUUGUAUUCAAAUAACUUCUGUUUGAUUGUUUUUAUGAGUUUCAAUUGUAAAAUUACAAUGAAUAAUAAUUUGGUGAUGUAUUGAUAAUUUAGUACUUGAUUAUUUAUUAAAAUUUAAUUAUAAUAAAAUUAUAUAAUAAAAUUGUAUUAACCCCGCGAGGGAAACGGGGCGGGGGCGGGGCGGGGCGGGGGAGCAGGAGGCGGGGGACGGGGCGGGGGACGGGGGGAACUAAUAGGCAACGGGGCGGGGGACGGGGGAGGGGACCCCCGCCCCAACCCCGCCCCGUUGCCAUCCCUAAGGGUAAGUUACUUAUAACCUCGCAUGGUUUUUACAUCCUUGUUUCCAUCUCCAAACUAAUGAUUGGUCUCGAUAGUUUGGAGGGUAAAUUACUUAUAAUCUCGUGUGAUUUUAUAUAAUGGUAGAUGAUCUUUCUAAAGUUUCAAAAUAGCCACACAAUUCUCAAAAUAGUAUUUAAGUAAAGAUACUAUUGAUAUUUCAAUUAACAGCACUUAGACUAUUUUUCAUCAAAUUUUCAUUUUAUAUAAAACUAUAAAAGAUGAAGUGGACAUUUUAAAACGUUAGCAAUAGACGAAACGACAUGGUUAUAUGUAAUUUACCCUACUUUGGAUGACCUUUGCAAAUAAAUUGGUAUUUGUACUUGAUUUGAAUCAGACAAUAAUGAUGCUAUAGCAUCUUAAUUUGAUUAAGGAGAUUGUUAUUUUUCAAAUUCAUUUCACCUUGAAAAAAUGAGACAGAACUCUUUUUUUUUUUUUUUUGCCUUUUUUGCUUUUCAUAAUUUAUCGUUCAACCCAUGAUCCAACAGGCAAGGAAAAACAAAAAAUCCCCUCCAACUUGGCUCGAAUCCGCACAUUCAUUUCUUAAUUCAAGCGCGCCCAGUCAGCACAAAAAACAAAAUGGCUGUUUACAAAGUAGCUAGCUGGUUACGUCUACGGUGGAAAGUUCACUUUUCUGCCCAUGGUAAGCAGAAGCAAUGCAAGGAGGCCAUAUGGGGGAGCACAAGGACAAACAGCCAAAAAAUGCACCGUGCACCGGAGAAAGCCGGUUUUGAGUGGAUGAAAUAAUGUAAUAUAUUUUAAAAUUAUAAUAAAAAUCCUCUUAUUCAUCAUCUAAUCUAAUGCUCAAUGCUUAGUAAAUAUUUUGUGAACACUCUAGCCGAAAAUGCGGGUUCCAAUGAAAGGAGAAGAACAAAAAAGUGAAUGUCAAAGAAACAUGGAACAAAAGACACGGAAAUGUGGACAAGAUUAUUGUAAUUGAAAAUUGGUGAAAUUUUUAACAUUAGUUAAUGAGUUUUCUACAUGUAAAAGCAAAUGUUGUGGUAGUUUUUCUUUUUCAAUUGAGUUUGAUAUUUGAAAUAAUUGAAGUGUAAAUAUAAAAGGAAGAGUUGGAAACUCAAACAUGAUUAAAAUAAAGGGAUAUGUGUAAUUUUGAUCCCCUAAUGUUUGGUCUAUGAGUUAAAUUAGUCCCUGAUAUUUCGACUCAAAUAAAUAUGGUCCCAAAUUUUAUUUUAGGUAAAUUUAGGACAACUAAUAGAAAACUACAAUAUCUAAUGGUUAAAAUCAAAUUAUAAUUAUAUUUUUUGGUCCCUAAUAUUUGAAAAUUUAAUCAAUAUGGCCCCUUAUAUUUUAAAUAAUUAUAUUUCAAAUGAAAUAAAAUGUGAAUUAGAUUAAAUGCAUUAAAAAUGUGUUCUCAAAUCUCAUAAAAAUCCUUAAAAGUACUCCACGUUAUCAAAACACUAUCAUUUAGUCUCAAGAGCAUCUCUUCGUUAAAUUAAUUACAAACAAAUGACAACACAUGAAUCACAUAUAAAAAAAAUUAGUGGAAAAAAGAGAAUUUUUAUUUGAGUAUAUAGUAACUUUAAUUCUAAACAGUAUAACACAAACUGUUGUAUGGUCAGACAUUAUGAUUACAUUAACAAGUAAAUGUGAUUACCAAUAUGAAUGACUCAUAUGAAUUUUUAAAACAUUUAUUGCUAUUUCUUAUUUUCUUUCCUUCAUAUUAAAUCAAAUAUUUUAAUAAUACAAUUUAAUUUAUUUAUAUUUACAUUCAUUUGAAAUUGAUAAUUUUGUUGACAAUUAUAAAAUCUUUCUUUCAAUUGAAACUUAAUUGACAACUAGUUGAAAUGCCAAAAAAAUUAUUCAACCAAUUCAAUGACAUAUAGUUAUCAUAUUAUAAUAGAAUAUUUAAUUAACUAUUUUAAUUUAUCAAAUAUAAAUAUUGGGCAUUAGAUGAUGAACAAAUUUUUAAGAGAGCUUUUAUUGUGAUUUCAAAAUGUAUUGCAUUAUUUCACCCCGUACAACUGGCCAGUGCCCGGUACAUCCUUUUGCUGUUUGUCUCUGUGCGUCCCCACAUAACACAGUUGGCCCUCCUUGCAGUGCUGCUGCCCACCGUGGGCAGAAAAGGGACAUUUCCACCGUAGACGUGGCCUCUGCAUAUUCUGAUAUAAAUGAUUUAAUCUCAUACUUUAAGGAGCUGACUAUAUAUUUUGUAUAUCGUCAAUGUAAUUAAACUGAUUUUAUGGCUAAUUAUCUCAAUAGGGUGGAUAAAGUUAUUUUUGAAUUAAAUUUUUUUCCUGAUUUUUUAGAAUUGUAAAGACAGAUAAGACGAAAAAGUUGACAAUUAAAGUGUAAAUUUUUUUUUAUUAUAUAAAACUCGCCAAUUCUUAAAAAAAAAAAAGAGUUCCACGAAAAGGAAUGAAGGUGACACUUAAUAUGGAAACCCAUAGGAAACCCAAUAUUGGCAGUCAAUUUUCAUAAAAGAGUUUGUGUUUGUGAACACUUUUAGUUUGACUAUUUGUGUAAGAAUCAAAGGCAAGCACGCACAUUUGGAGUUGAACAGUGAAGAAGGACUUCAAUUGGGGCACCAAGGAAGAAAGAAGCCAUUAGCCAUGGUUGAAGUUGAAGAAACUGAAGAACUAGCCUCUCCUUUGCUCGCAGAUGUUCCAUCAUCAUCAUCUCGAAAAUCCCAUAGAUCCUUUAAGAGAACUGGUUAGUUGAAGAGUCAUUCACCUUUACUGAAUUUUCCAUACUAUGCAUAUCAGUUUUUCUUGUCUUUUUUCCUGCUACUAUGAAGUACCAGACUCGUCAAAUUGAUUUUGUUCUUUUCAAUCAAGAAGGCCUUGGAAUUAACAGACAGUUUCUAUUUUAAGUUGAGUUUAUGCUGCCUAAUAUGUGGUUGAUGUUGCACUACAGAACAUUACUUGUACUUUGGAGCAUUGUCCUUGUUUUAGUUUUCUUGCUUUUCCUUGUAACUCUAAAAUUUUGGUGUCCUCUUUUUUUUUUCCCCUCAAAGGGACUGUAUGGACAGCAAUAGCCCAUAUAAUAACUGGAGUUAUUGGGUCUGGAGUGCUGUCCCUGGCAUGGAGUAUGGCUCAGCUGGGAUGGAUUGCAGGUCCUCUAGGCAUUCUGGUGUUUGGAGUCAUCUCCAUUAUUUCUUCUUUGCUUCUCUGUGAUUGCUACAGAUAUCCUAAUCCUGAAGUUGGCCACAUCAGAAAUAGGUCAUAUUCUCAAGCUGUUAGGUCCUACCUAGGUGAGCAAUGUGCCGUUUGAUUGAGGGUUAUUCAGAGUAGUAUUGAUAUUUUUAUUCUGAGGUUUUACAGGAUAUUGAUAGUGUCAUUUGGUUUCCACGAAAGUCUCGGGGAUGGGAUGAUAAUAUUCCUAUAUGCGUCCGAUCUGCUACAAGGAUUCAUCUAGUUUACAGUAAUGAAUUUCAAAAUACUUAUCUUUUAAAAAUUUUUCUAUUGGAAUUUAGUACAUUAAAUGGUUAUAUAAGAAAGUUUAAUACAGGUUAGAAAGGCAUUCUUUUGGCUUCAAUUUAGGUCUUCUAACUUCUAAGGCAUAAUACAUGAAUUGGACGACUAUGAUCAUAGCAAAGAGCAUAUCAUAUUUGAGCUUCAGUGCCAGUUUGUUAAAUGAAUGUUGCAGGAAAGAAGAGUAUGUAUGUGUGUGAAAUUUUUGUUCAGGAAAGCUACUAUGGAUAUGGGAUUGCCUACACCAUAACAUCAGCAAUCAGUAUGAGGUACACUGUUUUAAAUCCCUGUGCGCUUUUAGUACUGAUAAAGUUUAAUGCUCUAGUGCUUAAAGCACUUCUUUUGUGCACAAUACCAAAAUAUCCAUGAUGAUGGCUGUCUCUAGCUCUUCUCAUCUCAAUCUUGACACCGUCUUGCUGCUCAUCUGUUUCUGAAACUUGAUAUUACCCCUGCUCCAUAUGUUAUAGAAAUUCCUUCUUUGUCAUAUGCUAGAAUCUUCUUCUUUUCUUUUCUGUUUUCCUUUUCUUUUUUCAGAAAGGGGAUUUUAGGUUCAACUCAUGUAAGUUUUGAUCUUAUAGGGCAAUCCAGAGAUCUAACUGUUUCCACAACAAAGGCCACGAUGCUCCUUGUGAAUUUGGAGAUAACUUGUAUAUUCUGCUAUUUGGAGUAAUUCAGAUUCCGUUCUCUCAAAUACCCAACUUUCACGAGAUGGAGUGGCUCUCAAUAUUUGCCGCAAUAAUGUCUUUUGCAUACACCUUCAUUGGGACAGCACUUGGUUUGGCAAAAGUAAUAGGUAUGUUCAAAUUUUGCAUGCAUGUUUUGCUCAGGUCUCACGGAACAAUUUGGAAUUUUAUUAGGAAGAGCACGACCUUCUGCAUCUUUGUCUUCAAAUAGUUUAAGAAGAUUAAUUAAUGGAAGGAAACUAAUCCCCUGUGUUAGCAAAACCACAUAACAGCUCCUCUCUAACUUGUACACCACUAUCAUCGCUCAUCUGCCUCCACCCUGAACCCCUGAGAUAAUAGUGGUUAUAUUAAUUGGAAGAGGGGCUACAGAAGAAAUUGAGAUAAAGUGGAUUUUGUUAAGAUUGAAAAGUAAAACUUUAACUCUUUAGAGUUGCCAAUGAAUUUUCCUACCUGAGUGAAGUAUUUAGUUCAGGAAAUCAAACAAGAGGUCCUGUAUUGGGUUGUACUGGCAGCCAGUUUUCAUCUAAGGUAAGAAGUGAAUCUGUAUGCUGCCCAUUGGAUAAAAUAGAUUCUAUAGGCAUGACCAAAGUAACAUGUUGACUUGUAGGAUUAACAGGAAAAUUGUUUUGACCACCGCAUCUUUGCAAAGAAUAUAUGAGAAAAGUUUAAAAUGAUGCUGUACAAAUAAUGUUGGAUUACCUUUUAUCAUAGACAAAAUUUGAUCAGUUAUGAGCAUGUCUUGCUUUUACUUAUUCCUAUGAGUGUUCUGAAACUGAAAUUGUAGGAGAUGGAAGAAUCAGAGGAGACAUUACUGGUGUUUCUACAACCAAUGUAGCAGAAAAAGUGUGGUUGACCUCGCAAGCAGUUGGGGACAUUGCUUUUGCUUACACAUACAACAUAAUCCUAUUGGAAAUAGAGGUGCAAGACUGAUGCUUUAUAUCUAGAUAACAUGCUUCUGAUGAAUGCCCUGACAAUUUCAUGUUUAAUACUUCAAAAUUUUCUAUCUAAAUUUGCGAACAUGAAAUUUGUGCUUUAAGGAUACUCUGAAGGAUCCGCCACCACAAAACAGGACAAUGAAGAAAGCAUCAACAGCAGCCGUCCUUCUGAUCACUUUCUUCUUUCUUUGCUGCGGAUGUUUUGGAUAUGCUGCUUUUGGUAACCAGGCUCCUGGAAAUAUUCUCACUGGCUUUGGGUUUUAUGAACCAUACUGGCUUAUUGACUUUGCUAAUGUCUGCAUAGUUCUCCAUCUUGUUGGAGGAUAUCAGGUAGAUGUAUUCUCUCAAUAAACUGGCUGAAUAUUCUGAAACUUUAUUAUAAGUUCGUAAACUUCUUCAUGGUUGUCAUGCUGUCCGCUAACACUGUAUGCAACUAUUUUGUAGAUUUUCAGUCAGCCAUUAUUUGCUGCUGCUGAAAGGUGGAUAUCUAAGAAACUCCCCAACAGUGAAGUGAUCAAGAAGAACUACGCCUUGAAGCUCCCAGUGCUACCUGAACUACGGUUGAAUGUCCUACGGCUGUGCUUUAGAACUGCUUAUGUUGCAUCUACAACAGCACUUGCCAUGCUCUUUCCUUAUUUCAAUCAAGUUUUAGGUGUGCUUGGUGCUUUGAACUUUUGGCCUCUGGCAAUAUAUUUUCCUGUGGAGAUGUAUCUGGUGCAGAAUAAUAUAAGAGCUUGGACAAGACUCUGGGUGGUUCUUCAGACUUUCAGAGUACUUUGCUUGGUUUGCACCAUUUUCGCCUUUAUUGGAUCGCUUGAAGGGCUCAUAAACAGCAAACUAACCUAGAGAAUGUUGAUUUCACUGCAUUCUUUGAACAAAACAUUUGUAGAAGACUAAAAAAUUCAAGUAAAAGAGUUUCUUUGGAAGUGUGAAGUUUCAAAUAUCUGAAACUCAGGAGCAUCCUUCCUUAAUACCUUCAAAGGCUGAAGGCAUUGUGCUAUUCUGUGAAAGGUUAAUGGUAGCAAAUCUACCUUCGCACAGAUUUUCAUGCAGUAAAUAAUUACUCCAUCUUCCAUUGACGUAAAUUUUGUGUCAUAGAAGGAUUUUGAUGUAUUCGCAGCAUAAAAUAAUUUGGUGUUCAGGACACAGAGUUGCCGGCUUGGUUUUGGUUUGGGUUUGGUUUAUAAGUCCCUGGAAGGACCUCAAGAGUUGCCGGCUUUUGAGGUUUCUUCUGGGAUUAGGUUUAUAAAAGCCGAAUUUCUAGACUUCAGUUUAGAAAAGGUCAGGGGGGGGGUUCAGGACACAGAGGUUUAUGUAUAUUUAGCAUUAAUUAAUGAUCUAAAAUUCUUCCACUGAUAAAUAUUAAGGUUACAUCACAAAGAGGGCAAAUAUUUGUGACCGAAGAGAAAAUGUUGUAGGUACAACUAUGAGACGGAGACAGAAAGUUCCAGCGCCCUUGUUUGGAUUGUAAUUUUUUUUUUCAGGAAAAUUUUACUUUUUCUGUGAAUGUAUUUUUUAAUUUUUUUUUUACCUCACAUUAGCAAUCCAAAUAUCUUACAUCAAAUCGUUAUAGUAUAUUUUUCUAAAAAAUAGUAAUCCAAAUGAGGUUAAGCAUUGACAUUUUGACGUUCUUAAAAUUUUGAAAUCCAAUUAGUUAUACACAUUUUAUUUAUCAUCCAUUAGUGUGGGAGAAUUGGAUGAUAAGAUUAUAAAACAAUCAACAGGAGUUGGUUUAGGGAUAAAAUAACCAAGAUUAACACUUCAAAAAUUAGGUAUAUAAGGUCAAACUCUACAAUGCAAUGUUGUGUUAGUUUUCAUUCCACCAUUUGUGGGUAAAUAGUUAAAAUUUUCGUCUUUAUACUUGUUACAGGUAACUAGAUGUGAAUCUUAUCCAGAAUAAAAGUAGUAAGAAACAGAAUAGAGAUUAGUCUACUUUCCAUUCGAUUAAACGUAUCAUAAAGCUCUUUAAUACCAUUUUUAUGUAAAUGUCUCUUUGAAUCUUUUUCUAAACUAUGCACACUACAAAUAUGAACGCUAACAUUAUUGUUCCAAUAUUGCAUAACAAGUUACAAUUUUGCCUCACAAGUUACAAAGUUUGCCAGUACAUUGCACAUUGAAUUUGAACGUGGAUAAUAUUCCAGUAUUCUACUGAGUCCUUUUACCCUUUUCCCUUCUUCGAGCCUUAUAAGAGGAAGGAGAGAAAAAGAAAAGUUUGAGAAUCAAAUUAGAGAUAUCACAAUUAGAAGAAUAUUAGACUGGAUCUUAUGGAUAUUAACAUUGGAUUUUUACGUUGCAAUAAUUAGAAGAACAUUAAUUGUUUACCUAAAUUGAAUGUUUUUCACACAAAUACUUAGUUAGGAAGAAAAAAGUAUUUAGAAUAUUUGAUUAACGAGCUGUAGGAAUGAUAUUGUGAGAUAUGAUUUUUUUUUUUUUUGAUCUAAGUGUCUUAAUUUGACCUACAAUACAAACACUAAAUAAAUCAUUCACUAAUGCAGCCUGUAUUUUUUUUUUGGGCUAAAUAUACACCAUCAUAAUUUGAUUUUGCUAUAAUAAGGGUUCAUUUAAACAACAUCCCAUCAUUUAAAAAAUAAAUUUUGUUUGAUUAGAAACAUGUUUUUUAGUCAUUUCUUUUUGCCAAUCAUUUUUUAUUAUUUUAAGAUAUUUUUUUAAAUAAUAUUCUAUCCAAACAUAUGUGACAGCCCCACUUUCCCCUAAGGCGUACCAAAGGGAUUAGCAGACUGCCUGUCCAACUCUCGCCAGAACUAACGAGGUAGUUAAAUACAAUCUAAAACGUUCCAAAAGGUAAUAGCGCGCUCAAUCUAUUCAAAAUUGCAAAAUGGCAAAACGAAAAUCGAAACCGCAAAUGAAUAGUGGUUGCCACGUCACCAUCCAACCAGAAUCCAAUCGAAUAUAGAUAUCGCCAUAUAACUCGGGAAAACAUUUCCAAACCAAAUAGGAUACAUGAACAGGGUUAAACAAUGUUAUACACAUACGUUUGUAAUUUACAAAACAAAAGAAGAUUUUUGGAUCAAAGUACAUUUAGGGUUUUUCCAACUAUCAAGGAGCUUUACAAAAGAAUAUAUUAAAACUAGUUCAACUCGUGCUUCAAAACAUCAUAGUCCCCAAAAGUGGUUCCCUGUAAGGAAAACAAAAUUUAAUGAAGUGAGUUUUCGCCCAAUGAGGUACCAUCACCCAAGUAACAAAGUUCACAUAAGCACAAAGCUAUUCAAUCCAAACACAUCCAAUAAGUGAGUCAAUUAACAUCACAUUUCAAUAAAGAUAUUUAAAAGGAUACGAUCGACUCUCAAGAGCCCUUAUCCCUGCUUGCCGUACUUGAUCUCGCCCCGUUGACCCUCCGUCAACGCUUGAGGAGUAACCAAUACCGUAGACUCCACUUUCAUCGAUUCCUUCCACCUCACAUACUCCUAUCGGGCCCAAACUCCAAUCAGUUCAGAAAUAGUAAUACUCGAGUAUACCGGAAUCAAGAGUCUCAUACUCAAGGAUUUCACAUAAACAGUCCCCAUGACUUGUCAAUUUUCUCAACCAAUCCCUUGCCGACUCGAUUCAAUUGACCACCAAUAGGGUUGAGCUCAGUGAUAAUAGUAAUGGUCGUUGGAUACUCGUCCAAACGACCCCAGUUUAAGUAUGUUCAAGUAGAAUUCAAUUGAUGCAGUAAACAGUCACAUAAGCCAUAGAACGCGAGAGUGAUAAAGUACACCAUCGUUUCAAACAAUCUCAUCUAUAUACAUAAGCAUUCAAGUCAUAAAUUUCAAGUAUAACCAAGCCAUGAAGCAACAAUCACGUGAGUAGUACACUCACCAAGCAAACACAGAGUGAAAUCACAAAUUUCUGUCCAACGAGCGCUCCGCGUCACUGGCACGUCCUAAAACGUUCAAUAUAACACAAUGAGACUCGAAUACGAGUCAUAAACCGAAUCCACAUACUACUAGAGUAAGACCAAAUAGAACGUAUAAGUGUAAAAUCAAGGUAGGACAUGUGCGGAAAUGGAGUUUAGGUUGGAAAACAAAAAAUAAAAUUGACGUUGUUUAGCGGAACGAACACCAUUGAAGUUACACUUAUCGAAUUGAGGUGCAAUUUACACCGUUUCGAAGCUAAGAUAAAGGGCUACAAUUUUGAUGAAGACCACUCAGUCCAGUUUGUAGUGUAGCUAGGUCAAAAUUUCAAUGUACCAAACCAAAAUCGCACAAACAGGUUAGCUAACCGCAUUAUGGUUAAAUGACCAUAACUCAGGCUACCGAAAUCCAAUUGGGGCGUUUCUAGAGCCGUUAGAAAGCUAAGAUACAGCACUACAACUUUUAUGUUUUGGCCAAAAUCUAACUCAGUACGCAUCAGGGCAAACGGUCGCGGUCAGUUCGGGUGAACUGUCACCACUGUCCACCGAAUUCUUACCUAUGGCAGUCUGGGUAUUUCCGUCUUUUCAUAGGCUACCGAGCUCGGAUUGGGUUGAAAUUUUACAGGCAACUAUAAAACAUUAUUUCCUACAAUUUUUAUGUUUUAAUCUAAGGCUAAUUCGGUUUUCAUCCUAUCCAAACAGUACCGGGCAGAACAGGGUUACCUGAAAUCCUAAUCUGAAAUUUUCCGUACAAAGCGAAAAUUUUUCGCAAAUAGCUACAAUUUACGCAUCAAAACUUCAUUCUAAACCAUUCUAAACCAUCAUUCAUGGCCAACCAAUAUUAAACAUAUAAAACAGAAAAAUCAUGAAUAAAAAUAAAAAUUUCACCAAUCUCUACCAAAAGUCAAGAAAUUUUCCACAAAAUCACAUCUUUAACCAACACAAGUCAUUAAUUUAACAUUAUCAAGACCAAAGAUGGAAUUCCUUAGCUACUCACCUUGCAGCCUCAAGAAAAAAAGUUACUUAGUACCACUUUCUUUCAACCCACUUCACCAACUACUUCAAUACCACCUGACUAAGGGUUUUUAUGGAGUGAUUUGAAGUUUUAUUGGUUAGAUUUGAAGAUUGAGCAAGCUUAAGAUGAAGGAAGUUGGAGGUUUUUCUUUUCUUUUCUCCCUUGAGAGAGUCGGCCAAGAUGAUGAUGAAUGAAGAUGAUUUUGGAUCCAAAUUAGAUAUUUAGUAAAGUUAAUGAAUAGUAGUCAAAGUCAAGAUUGAGUAGGAAAGUGACAGUUGUCAUCUUUUUGGCUUAGAGUUAUCCUUUUGUCUCUCCAAUGAUAAUCCAUCUAGGUAACCUCUAAUUAUCCUUAACACCUGAUAAAUUACCUCCGAUAUACAAAACUUAACUUAAUUGGCCGAAUUUUAUUAAAUUUACCGCACUAACGGGUCCCACGCCCGGUAUACAUUCCUAAAUUCUCAUGAACUAACUUAUUCUAGAAAAAUGAUUUUAAAAACCCUAUUUGCUCAUAAAAAUUAUCUAGAAAAUUUUCUUAAGAAAGAAAAUGUAUAAAAGGAGUGCAAUUAAAUAACAUAAAGCCUGAAAAAUAAGAAAAUUUACGGGUUUUUACAACAUAGAUAUUUUUCCAAUCAUUUUUUAAAUAAUUUUCUAUUUUUUAUAAAUAAAAUUUCCAAUCAUUUUUUAUUAUUUUAAGAUAUUUUUAUUAUCAUAUAUAUAUAUAUAAUAAAGUUGUAUCUUCAUACUUAUCCUUUCGCGUUUUCUCUUUCCUACGUGGUUUAAUGAGACGGCAAGUAAUUUCCUACGUGGCUUGCUACUUUUUUAUUUGGAUGUAUAUCAAUUCUUAUUUCUUAUAAGAAUUCUUAAUAUUAUAUGAUUCUUAUUUCCUAUCCCAAAAAGGAACUAAAAAGUAAUUCGAUAUAAAUAAAAGAGACAUAAAUCUCUUCUAUUAGAUAUAUAGAAAUAAAUCAUAAUAUAUAUUUUUUAUAGUGUCAUUUUUUUAAUUUUUUUAUAGCUUCAUCAUACAUCCUUUUUAUUUUAAGAUAAUCUACCCGUAUAUAGAACAACGUACAAACAAUUUAGACAUGAAAAUUAAAGAAAGUUAACCCAAGAAAGUUUUUACAAGACUCACAGUCCCCAUGCAUAAUUGAUGUACAAAGAGAAAUGACAUUUCAUCUUAUUGAAAAUUUCUGGAAAAAUCCAUAAAGAAAAUGUUAACCUUUUUUAUCAAUUUAAUUGUUACAAUAUCUAGAUAAACAUAACUUUUAGAAUAUGUGUAUUUAUACAGGUAUAUGUUAAAAGUUUUAGCAAGUGAUGCAACCGGUAGUGCUUGGUUUGUUAUAUUUGAUCAAGUGGCAGAAAGAAUAAUAGAACACAAACUUUCUUUUGUUCUUGACGAAUUUAACAAGGUAAACUUAUAUCUAAUUUUUAAAAAUAUUUUUAAUAAGAAUUAAUUUUUCCUACACUGACAGUGUAUAUACUAUUAGCAUUGGAUGAAUGACAACUAUGCAAAAUUUGAAUUUAAAAUUCAAUUUUUGCAUACAUGUCAUGAAUCCAACGAUAAAAGUGUAUACACUGUCAGUGUAGGAAAGAUUUACUCUUUUAAUAAUAGUAAACAAUCCGACACUUAUCUUAGCCGUUGACUAUUCUAACAAAAAAAAAAUUAUUAUGCAUUUCAUUUUCAGAAAGGAUUUAACAGUGAAAUCAUGCCAUCAAUUAUAAAUAAGAUCACGUGGAAACCUUUUGUGUUCCAAAUUGAAUCCGGAACAAGGUAGUAAUAGAUUUACAGUGAUUAGAUGGUUCCACUGUAAUUUCGAGAGAGAAACGCAUUUCAUGCUUUCAUAGGUAAUGUGCAAUAAAUUUAUCUUAUAUUUCACAUAUUAUAUCUCACAUAAUAUUUUUGUCUUUAAUUUUGAUAAAUCAUUAUCAGAUUGGUGGAACCGACAACUAAUACCAACCUGAAGUAUUUUCUUCCCAGAUCCCAAUUAGUAUAAUAGAUGAUUCUAAUCAACAACAUUUCAAUACACUUCAUAUGAAUCAUUCAUCAGGGGGUUCAAUAAAAAUCACAGAGGAAGGGAAUCCGCAUAAAAAUAUUUGCAUGAGAAGAUAGAUUUAAUAUAUUAUUUUACUUUCUUAAAUUAUAAUCUUUACGUAUUGUUAUACACAACUUUGAAUGCGAUAAAUCAUUUUUUUCCAGUACUUAGUUAUCCUACUUUGCUAUCAUGCAGCGAUAAUGAAAAAUCAUAAAUGCUGAUUUGCACGGACAGAUCGAGGAGAAUGUUCAAAUAGAAGAAAAACAAAAACAAGUUUAUGAAGAAUAGAAUAUUAUUUGACACUAUUUACUGCACUUUUUAUUUAUUUUCAAAUUUUUUAAUGUUAUGGUAUUAUUGAAUGAUAUUUUUUCUUUUUUGGAAUUAUUAUUCAUUGAAUUAGAUGUUCAAAUUUAUAUUAAUUUUGUAUUACAAUGUGUAUAUAGUAAUAUACUUAAGAUAAGUUAUAAUAGAUUAUACAUUAAAUUUUUAUUUUAAAUCGAUAUUUUUAUAAAAUUAACUAAAUAAUUUAUUAUUUUUUGAUGAUUCCCGUUCGUUGAACGGGUACAAGACUAGUUUCUAAAUAAAUUUCUAUCUUGGUCACCAGUGCGGAAAACUUCUCAGCCAAAUAGGGCGCUGGUUUUUAAAGCCAAUGCCAACUCAUCAGUUGCCACGUGGCACAUCAACCAAGUACUAAUAGGCUGACAGUCACCGCUUCGGAUUCUCUGCUUCCGUGCUUCACUUCAGCAAAGCCAAGCCCUAUUACCAAUCCCCAAUUCCCAAUUCCAAAACCCUAAUAACUUAUGUGCCCCUUUCCAAUCUCAAAUUUUAUCCAAUUUUCGCUCUCUCCUUAACUUCUCGCAAUGACUUUUAGUUUUAAUUUAACCAAUUUUCGCCUCUGCUUCAUGUGUGUACAUAUAUAGGUUGAAGUGAACAUAUGUAGUAGUACUCAAAACGCGGCGCUUUUGGUGCAUUAAUAUCUCAAAACUUGAAAUUUUGCUGCGAUUUGAAGUGGGGUUUCAGUCAUCUGACAAUGGUUAGUUCUCGUCUUAGUCCAAUUUUAAAUCUCUUGUUUUGUAAAUUUACCAUUUUUUCUGUCCAAAUUGUUGUAUUUCUUUUCUUGUUUGAAAAUUUAUUAUCUUUUAUUGUGUUUCUUGGGAAAAAAGGCCUUUUUUUUUAUCACUCUGAAAAAUUUUUCUGGGCUGUUGAAUUGGGCAAUUUUUUUUACAGUUUAUGUGUUUUUCAAAAAUUUUCUCGUCGAUUGUGCUGAAAGAACAAUAGCUGCUUAGGAACUUACUAUUUGGAAUUAGAAGACUGUAACUGAGGUGUUUUGGUUGGCUUUGUAUUUACAAUUGGAAAGAGUUGCAGUCAAGUAUUAAUUGAGUUCAGAAUUCUAAUUUGGUACGCACGCAGGUGACUUCAAGUAAAAUUUGUACUUUCUAAGCUUUUCAAGUGUAUAUGAAGAUAAAAACCUAAGCUCAUCUUUAUCUCCAAAUAUGGUAAUCAAAAAAGGAAUCCAGGAUAGAGAGCGAUAGAGCGUGUAGUGGAAAAGCUGAUAUAUUUGCUGAAAAGAUUGAAAAUACUGUUUCCUUUCAGUGUUUUCUUUCUAAGGUUCACGAAAACUUUUAUUUUGCCAAGUUAAUGCGCUGACAUCCAUGAUGUGUAUACAUAUGUGUUUAACCAAUGGGUGAAAGUCUUCUACUUCUUGGGGACUGGGAAAGGGGUCACGGAACACGGAUAGAGCGCCUUAAAAGUUUGGGGGGUGCUUUUGUGUGAUCUUUUAAAUUGUUAUGCAUUUUAAUUAUGUGAGAUGCGGAUGUUUCUUUUGCAGAGUGGCAGAGGAGGGAGGGACAGAUUUCGUAGGGAACAUCCUUUGAGAUCUGAAGAGAAAAGCCAUCAUGGUCGCAGUAAUCCUCCAUCAAGACAUCUUUGGGUUGGAAAUCUUUCGCACAACCUGGACGAGAGUUCUUUGACCCAUCACUUCUUACAGUUUGGUGAGCUUGAAAAUGUUGCAUUUCAACCUGGUCGAAGCUAUGCCUUCAUUAAUUUUAAAAAUGAGGAAGAUGCCUUUGCUGCCAUGAGAGAACUCCAAGGUUUUAGUGUUGCUGGCAAUCCACUUAGAAUUGAGUUUACAAAGGCGGUUAGUUUUGUCAACCUUUGUCUGAUUUCCUUUAUGGUGCUCCUGUAUAAAGUCCACAGUAAGACAUGUUCGUAUAUAAUAUCAGAUUUUAACAGAUUCCCUCCAAAAUUUGAGAGUUUCCCUGCUUUCCAAAAUUCAUAUGAAUUGGCCAUAUUCAGUCUAUAACAAAUUCAGGAAAAUUACCUAGAUGAUGCAGGACUGUACCUUAAGCAUGUGCAGAUAUAGCAUCAUAUAUUUCAAUCUUAUGAAUUAUCUUCCCUUACAUUUCGUUUGCAAUCUGCUUCCACUCCAUAAGCAGGAGCUGCAUACUUUGGUCAAACAGUAAUUUGGGUUAAUAUCAUGAAAGGACUCCAAGACUUAAAGGAAAAGAAAGAAAAGAAACUAAAAUGUUUCCAGAAUUCAUUUGAUUAGUUUCUUCAAGUGUGGCUAUCUUGAGGAACAGAAAACUCAGAAAAGGAAAUAAAGUUAUGAUGGUUUAAAUGUUGCACACCUUCUAUCAUCCAUAUUAACUACGUUCUACUUUAAACAUACAUUCCAUUUCCAAGCAAAGGAUCCUAUACUAUCAUUGUCAACGCUAGUAGGAGUUCUCCAAUCAUGAGUGACAAGUUGCACCGAUACUUUAUCGCUACCAAAGAACUAAGAUAAUUUGAAGGAAGAACAUCUGGAAUCAAAAGCAAAAUUCCUUCAUUUUCCAUCAAAUGUUUCACUCAACUGUAUCAGAAACAACUACUUGUUAUCUGAUUAUUUUUGUGAAUUUUUGUAAUUGUGUUAUUAAUUGUUAAAAAUUUGAAUGUGGAGCUUUAUCACGCUUGAAGCAUCAUUGACACGUAAUUUCUCUUUGGAUCAUCUGAAAUGGUGACCAUCUUCAACAUGAAAUUAAGUCCCAGUUAGUAACAAGUGGAAAGGUAAAAAGAGCAAGUGAAAAAUUUUACUUGCACUGCUCUUUGUAAAGAAUUGCACUCACCAACACCUCCCAAUUCAACAUCAGCGGCAUGAUUGUCAACAUUAGUCUCAUUGUUAUGCCUCGUGAUCCAUUUGGUCUUUGCAGCUGAUGGUUUACAGGUUUAGUUUGUUUGUUUCAUUUGGUCUUUGCCGGUGGAGGCAUUGCUAUGUCUGUAUAUCCUUUGCAACAUAUACCAGUUCAUUGGUUUGCUCUUCAGCACUGAAUCUCAACUGUCUUUCUAUAGCAUAAUAAAUUAAUGUAAUCCUCAGUGAUAUAAGAUUUGUGCUGUGCAAUGGAAUUUUGAAUUGUAAUUGAGCACCAGUCUAAGUUUAAUAUCAAGCUUUUGCUUUCAAUGUUCCACUCUCAUUGUAGGUUUAGUUUUAUUUGGUCUCAGAUUAAUCUCUAUUUCGCAUGCAAGUUGGUUAAGGUUCCCGACGUUUUUCGGUUCACUGAAUCACUUUUAGUUAGUUUCUUGGAGAAGAAUAACUUAAAUAAGAUUUAGAAUUCUCGCUUAGGUUUAGAAUUUUUGUUCACCAGUCUAGUGCCAUUUACUUUCCAACAGCUAACAAAAAUGGUUUCUUCCAUAAAUUCUCAUAAAACUGGAUAUCUGAUUUAAAAUCAGCCCUUAUUCAAGGUGUUUUUCUCAGUUUUCACCCAGAACCCUGAUGUAUGUAGUAAGUCUCUACUUUUUACACUUUCACAUGCGUCAGGGUUUUUUUUGACAACUCUGCCAGUAUGGAGCUUGUGAUCUGUUUUGGGUGUAACUUGUCCUUCUGCUUGUUGACUAAUUUCUUGAACAAAUGUAAAUAUCAACCAACAGAUUCUUCCAUUUUUGUUAUGAGAGUAGCAAUUGCAUCAUUUCUGAGUGUCUGACAAACAUUAGAAGUAACCAACAAUAUGAGCUGUAUUUCUUUACUGCAGGAUUUCAUAGUAUUUUAGUCGAUUCUAGUUCCCUUUUCUGGUGUAUUGGGUGCCAUUGCCUGCAAAUGCGAUUUGAUGGGUUUAGUGCUGUUAAGUGCAGAGGGAUGAUAUCAAAAGCUUGUAUUUGCUUAUAUGUUCCACGUCAUUUUGUUAUUCAUUCAAGUGAUAUUUCAGGAAUUACAUCUGACUUUAAUCCAGUUAAGAGUGACUAUAUUAGAUAUUUGUACAGGUUCUACUUUUAAGUCUCGAAGGCACAAUAUCAAUAGCAGUCUCAGAAAACUGUCUUUGUGAUGAUUAAGUUUAAAAUGAGAUUCACUUCUACUGAAAAGCAGCCAAAACAUUUUCAUUUACCAGAGUAUGCAAAUAAUGUACUUUGGGAGGCCCAAAUACCAUUAUAUGUGCAACAAAAGGAGCUGUUUCAUUAUUUUGACAGAUUAUCUCCUUAAAUGGAGGACAACGACAACCAGGCGUAUGCAGUUUCAUGUGAAUGAAAUUUUGUUGCUCUUCUUGUUAUGUGAAAUAGUCCCAAGUACAGCGGUCGCUUCACAGAUAUUAUUCAUCGAUCCAUAAGCUUAUAGUCCAAAAUGAAAAUUGCAAACAGCUUCAGUCCUAUAAGUGAUGUAAAGAAUUUGUAAGACAUGAUACAUUAGACGGAAACCACCUUGGUCGAAGAAGAGGAAGAAGAGAGUAGAGAACUGUGGGUAGUUUGAGUCAUUUAAGCAAGUCUGCUGUUCCAUUUCCAAAUAUAGUCCUUACAAGCUUCAGAACUACCACAUUUUGAAUAACCAAGAUGUACACUCAGUGGGAAAUAUCAUUUGAAUUUGAAAUGAUGAGGCAUGCAUGAACUUGCAAGUUGGUUGUCUUAGUUAAAAGUUGAUGCCCUGUUACACGUAUCUGCUGCUGAUAUAUUUUCAAGGAAAUUAAAAGGAGCUGUAAUGACCUCUGAAGAUCUAGAUCCAAAUAUAGGUAGGCUAUACAGGAUGGUGGACUUCGGUGUCUGUACUUCCUUUGUCCUUGCAUAUUUCUGAUGUCCUUCACGAUUCAACAAUUUGGACAAUUGCUCGUUUAUCAUGAUUUAGUGGAAGUUUGCUGCCUUAUAAAUCACAUUUUUGUUGCUUAAUGUAUGGGUGACUUUGUUUUCUUCCCAGAGGGCUCAGCUGGUAAGAGACUUGCUUCCGUGACAACUACGCAAUUUCAAGUCUCUAACCAGUGGCCUUUGGCGUAGUUGUGAAUAUAUGAACCCAAGACCCCCUAAAGGUGGGGUACAUGGCUCAAUUGCCAUGCAGGGUAUCACAGUCAACCAAUUACCACACCCCUGUUUGUAACAUAACAAGACUUCCUUUCAUGAUGAUUGGUGCCUUCUCAGUGGGAAAUCUCAGUCAGUUCUCGCUAAAUUGUGGUUAGAGAAUGAUUGGCUUUAUAAGUCAAACCAUCCAAUUCAACAGUGGCAAAGUUUGUUGCUAUAAUGCUGCUUUGAAAUGGGAACCUUCUAGUUGCUUCUAGAGUAGGCGUACUAAUAUCAAUUAAAUGGUACAAUGUAUCAACCUGUUCAGAUAUUUUGAAUGCAAGGUAGAAUACUUCUAUCUUGUUCUUUGCAUAAUAUUGAGGCUUGGAUAGUAAAUUGGGCAGUUGCAUUGUUCUAUUUUCUGGUUAUUAGAUAGCAAACCCUAACAGUGGGGUAGACUGUGGCUAAUGAAAGCAUAAAUUGGUUACUACCAAACUUUAAUCCAGAUAUCAGCAUCAUUUCUUUCUUGGAAAAGGAGAGAUACUCUGUGCUGCAUAGAACAUGCAGUUUGAAAGUAGAAAAGACCAACAGUUCUCUCUCUCUCUCUCUCUCUCUCUCGUGGGGUGGAGGACUGUAGGCAACUGGUGGGCAGGUGUUGCAAACAGAUGGACACAGAUAUUCUUGGAUUGUCUAGUAGCUUAUUUGAUGCUUAUGUUGAAACAAAAUGCUUGUAUAAGAUUUUGACCAAUGCUUUAUCAUAUUCCUGUAUUAUUCUUUCUGGAGUGUGCUUGGCCUUUUUCCCACAUUUUGGGAGUUAGACAUCCAUGCCAGGGGAAGGAGAUUUAGAGAUUCUGUUCUAUAGAUUGAUAGUGACAUCGUAAAGGCAGAUGGUGUAGCUUUAGUAAUGAUCUUAACGUUCUAAAAGCAGGAUAGCCAUUUGUGUUCAACUUCAUAUCUUAUCUAAAGCUUGCUUUUGACUGUGGAAAAUCUGGAAAUUCUAAUCUCCACGCCUACAAUUGAGAUUGUACAUGCUUUAUUUUAUAUAAGUUAUCCUACCAUGUGAAGUAAGCAUAUGUUUGUUUUUUGUAUUGGUGUUUUGUUGAGCUAUAUAAUUCAGGUACUGUAGGUUGAUGUUGCUUAUGAGUUACUUACCUUCAGAAAUAAUAGCUUCUUAAUUGAUGGUUUAAAGCAUGAGUAUGUGAUGGAUCAACCUUAUUGGCACUUUGUACUUCCUACUAUCAGCAUCAUGUAAUUUACGAAGCAUUGGAUCAUUCAGGUUACAUUGUGGUAGUUGCUUAGAAGUGAGAUAAGAAUAUGUCGAAUUUGUACUACAUGUAUCCUCUCUGGUUAAGCAAGAUCCAGGAAAAAGGUUCUUAUGGACUGUAGGUAGGACAAUAAGAAGUUUUUCUUGAGUUGAAUUGCUUGUCGAGUAACUACUUGGCUCUUGAACAAUCUUUACCUAAUUUUUGGUUGGGUAGGUAGUUUAGUAUUUUUUUGCUUAUCCUUGGAUUUGUGAACUAGUUCUGCAUGGAGAUGGAUCUUAUGGUUAAUUGUUUCUAUGUUCUAUAUUAGUUGUCUUCCAUAUCUACCAGUCAGCUUCAGUUAUUGAACCAUCAAGUUGUAAGGUGCAUCAGACUAUCUGGAGUUUGCCUUAACCUUUAGAAGAUAAGGUCUAAGGCGUAUAGCUAUUUCAGAACUGACUGUGGGGUAGUUAUGCUUUUACCUAGAAUGAAAUAAAACUUAGAAUAUGUAGAUUGUGGUGACUGAUAAAAGAUUUUGAAGGAAAAGAGACCCUUGUCCGAGGAGAUGCAACAAAGAUGGUGAAAAGAAGGGAGGUUUGAGCUCUCUAUCAUAUGGCUGAAACGUUUUGCUCCAGAUCGUGACUUAAAAUUGAGCUAGUAUGUUUUAUGAAGUCCCUGUAGUCCUUAACGUUCAUCAAGAGCAAAAAGAAUCCACUCUGUGGCUAUAGUCAGAGGUUAGCAAUAGCCCUUUGGUUAUCCAAAUACCCCUUCUAUAACUGCUAUUCUGGUAGCCAAAAAUCUGAGUUUGCAAUGACUAUUGUGCUUCUGCCAGAUUCAUCUUGAAUAUUAUGGAAAGGAUGAUUAUUGUGAGGAUGUUCGAAGGUGCAAUCAUGUCAAGGACAGUUUCUGCUCUUUGUAGAGAAUAUUGGUGCCUUCUAUAACUGCUACUCUGGUAGCCAAAAAUCUGAGUUUGCAAUGACUAUUGUGCUUCUGCCAGAUUCAUCUUGAAUAUUACGGAAAGGAUGAUUAUUGUGAGGAUGUUCGAAGGUGCAAUCAUGUCAAGGAUAGUUUCUGCUCUUAGUAGAGAAUAUCGGUGACAUUUAUAUCUUAUCUAAGGUUAACCAACUACAAAGAGAAACACUAAAUUUACAUGUGCUUUAUUGGUUAGCCACUAUUUGAAAGUUCUUUGGGCAAUAGUAGUGUGUUGCAUAUAUUGUCCGGUCAUAUGGAUGCUUGAGAAAUAAAGAAAUGUUGUACGACCCAACAUUUAAGUCCAAAAAUGAAAUCAAUCUUUGCCCAUUGAUUAGGAGGAGUGCAUUCUUGAAACUUCUUCCCAGAUGUGACGUCAGAAUAUGGAACCAUGGGAUGGUCUUUAAUGACAUGUUCUAAUGCACUGUGGAAAUACUUUACCAACUUGUUUCUAUUUGUCAACAGAACAUGUUUCUCUAUAAACCUUUCUUCAUUUUUUUAAAUUGUCAUAAGAUGGCAAAAUAUUUCUACCUAACCUGAUGAUAGGCAACUAAAAAGAGAAUUUAACCUUUGAAAAAAAAUAUCCAUUACAUUCCUAUCUUCAAAGUGUGUAAGAUUCGAAUAAAUGUUAAAUUUCACCAAUGUAAAAUGGUUUUGUAAUCUAUUUGGAGUAAUCCUUUAAUCCCAGACUCUGUUUAUGAUGGUUUGAGAAUCUAAUCUAGAAUGACUCCUUAAUCCUAGGAUGCCUGUCUAGCAAUCCAAUUGCUAGUGGCAGAUUGAUUCAUGUGUUUAUGUUCCAGUUUACAUCUGUUCUCUGGUCCUUAGAUCCAAGUAUGACAAAUAUUAUGUUUAGGAUGGCAAAGCAGAUCACUUUGUUUGGUGAGGAGAAAAUGCUCAGUAGAUGAUUCUCAAUUUUGUUUCUAAGUAGUCAUAUUCAAAAAGGAGAAACCAGAGCAUUGCAAAAAAUGAGGUGUUGUUGGUGGGGUGGAGAAAAAGUUUGAACUUGCAGAGUGGUGGAGCGUUCCUGCUAAAGUUUGUAUGUCCUAGUAUUUGGAGUAACUCCUUAAUCUUUGGUUCUGUUUAUGAUGGUUUUAGAAUCUAAUGUUGAAUGACUCCUUAAUCCUAGGAUGCCCUUUUAGCAAUCCAAAUGCUAAUGGCAGAUUGAUGCCAUGUGUUUAUAUUCCAUUUUACAUCUGCGCUGCAGUCCUUAUAUCCAAAUAUGACCAGUAUUACGUUUUGGAUGGCAAAGCAGAUCACUUUGUUUGAUGAAGAGAAAAUGCCCACUAGAUGAUUCUCAAUCUUGUCUCUAAGUAGUCAUAUUGAAAAGGAGAACACCAAAGCAUUGCAAAUUAUGAGGUCUUGUUGGUGGGGUGGAGAAAAAGAUUGAACUCGCAUAGGGGUGUAUCCUGCCUGCUAAAUCUCGUAUAUCUAUUUUUUUAAGAUGGUAGCCACAUUUUAAUAUUGGUGGCAACGUUUUGGGCUUUAUCAACACUAAUGCUUAACAUUUGUUCGGUAGCUUGAAGAUCAUCAUGAUGUUCAUAUCUAACGUUCAUUUGGUUGCAUGAAGAGUAUUCUGUGUGUUCAAUAUUAUUGGACUUAUAACUGUAAAAUUUUUUUGUAUUGUCUGGAUUCUUUUACAUGACUUGCAUUUGUCCUCAAUAAAUCAUGCUUCUGCAGUUUUAUCUCAUUUUUCUAGUGGUUGGUAGUGCACCUAGUCAUUUAUUAUCAGCCUAUUUGACAUAUAAAUUCCUUCAGCAGCCUUUUCAGUUUAUUCAAGAAGUGUAGAUGGAUUUGUUUUAAAUUGGUUCUUCUUUACAGGAAAAAUCAACCCCACAGCGUGAUGACAACUACUCACAACGUAGGGAUGAGCAGCGUACAGCAGUGAGAGGUUCCCCUUUUUCACAGAGGGACUCAAGAGUACGUCAUUCUAGUCCUGAUUUUCCUUAUCCAGACAAAUCUAAAGUGCAUGAUAAGAACGUGGAACCCAGUGAGGUGUUAUGGAUUGGCUUUCCCGCUCAACUGAAAGUUGAUGAGUUCAUUUUGAGGAAAGCAUUUGCUCCAUUUGGAGAGAUAGAGAAGAUUACAGCAUUUCCUGGCCGUACUUAUGCUUUUGUUCGUUUCAGAAGUGUUAAGGCCGCUUGUCGGGCAAAAGAUACUCUUCAGGGGAAAUUAUUUGGCAAUCCCCGUGUACAUUUAUGUUUUGCCAAAAGCGAAUCUGGAACAUCAAAUAGAGAAAGGAACUCAAUUAAUGCUCCCCAGUCUCCACAAUUCAGGUCUCAUGGACAUGCCUCUGACAGCAGCCGUAAGGACAGGGAUUUUGGUGGCUUAACGGGAGAUCUCAAUGUCAGAUCUCCUAGGUUUAUGUCAAAUUUUGAGCCCGGUGACCCAGAUAUAAUGAGUUUUGGCAGUAAGAACGGUGCAUGGGCCGGUGGGAAUGGUGCUUUUGAGCAGAGGUUCUAUGACUUCGGCUCUGAGCAAGGAAUACCAGGAAAUGCCUAUGAGCACCGUAGUAGUCCUCCAGGGAGCAGGGGUCCACACUUUCGUGAGUUUUCUCCUCUGGAAUUUCCUAGACAAGGUCCAUAUGAUGAUGAUCCUUUUGAUUUGCCUGAAGAUUCCUUGCUUUUUCCUGGAGCUAAAAAACUGAAAACCAGCUCCUUUGCUCCAGAAAAUGAGUUGCCAGAGUAUCCUUUUUCUGAUUCAGCACAAGCAAAACGUGUUCCUUCUGGAGCCUAUAUGGAUUUCCAGCCUGAUGCUUAUGAAAAAAGCAGUGAUUCUGAACCUUUUGGUUAUAAGCAGAUUCAAGAUCACCCUGUAAAGUCAACUCAAAAUUAUGAUGUUAGAAAUGAUCAUUGGAGUGCACCUUAUGAUGGUUUUCAAAUGGUCUCUGCUCCAUUACCUUCAUACCCCGAACGGACAAGAUUGGCACCUGAAUCUCAGCAGUUAUAUGUUAAUAAAGAGUGGAAAUGGGAAGGGACAAUAGCUAAAGGUGGAACUCCUGUAUGUCGUGCUCGCUGCUUUCCUGUGGGUAAACUUAUGGAUAUGGUGCUGUAAGUAUUAAACUUGUCUUUCCAUAUUUUUGUGGGUUUAUUGUUGUCAAUAGACCUUCAGAUUCAGAGCUCAUUGAAUUAUAUCUUCCAGCCAGGUCUUCUACUUAUAUUGCAUCCCAUAUCAAUGCUCCUGCACUUGCUGGGGUGUGUUUUACCUGCUAUAAUUUGUCUGCAUCAAACAAUUGCUGCUUGUUUUUCUGGCAUUGAAGAUUUGAUUGUUAAAUUCAGGAAAUGAAAUCAGUGAUGUAUUUUCAUCUUUAAGAUCAAAUGAAAUUUCAGAAAAAUGAAAUUAGUGAUUUUGAAGUUAAAAAAAACUGAUUAUUGUUGAAACUGACAACUUGAUCAGUGUAAGAAGAGGACCCUUUCAAGGAAUGGUGCACACCUGUAAUAUUUGUACUUGUGCAUAUCAGUUCAUCUUAGUUGCUUUUUCCAUCAAAUUCUAGAAGUUUAACAGUCUGGAUAAUGGCAAUCGUGCAAGGCAUAAUUGAAUUUUGGUUCUGUAAGAAUUGUGCAUGUGUUUCCUUCUUUUCCACAUGCUGGAUUCGUGUAGCAUUCUCAUCUGAUAUCAUUGUCUCUGGAUUUUGUAUAUAAACACGUCAGUUGCUUUUUCUGGAUAAUGGUAAUUGUGCAAGGCAUAAUGAAUGUUGAGCUCUGUGACAAUUGUGCAGAUAUUUCCUUCUUUACCACAUAUUCGACUCGCAGUAUAACAUUUCUCAUCUGAUAUCCUUGUCUCAGGCCUGAAAUCUUAGACUGCACAGCAAGGACUAGCUUGGAUAUGCUUGCAAAGCAUUACUACCAAGCUGCUGGUGCUUGGGUGGUUUUCUUUGUUCCUGCAAGUGAUCCUGACAUAGCUUUGUAUAAUGAAUUCAUGAAUUACUUGGGGGAGAAGCAGAGAGCAGCUGUUGCCAAAUUAGAUGAUAAGAACACGUUAUUUCUUGUACCUCCUUCAGACUUCUCAGAGAAAGUACUGAAAGUACCAGGUAAAUUGAGCAUCUCUGGUGUUGUUCUGAGAUUAGAGCAUCCUGGUCCCAGUUAUGGAUCUAUCCAUCAGCAAGAGAAGAAAAAGGCGAACUUUACAUCUUUACAUGGUAGCACAUCGGUUGUGAAGCCAAUAUCACCCUCAGAGUUGUAUCAUAGUAUGCCAACUUUACCAGACAUUGAUAGACCUCCAGUAAGAAAUACAUCUUUUACUGAGAAUUUCUCUUCAGGACCUCUACCUGCAUCAUUUUCAAGAUCUGAUGUAAGAAAUACAUCUGGCAACUUGUCAGACUCCAUUGGUGACACCAGGCAUGUUAAUGCAUUUCCACAGCACAAAACUAUGGUAGGUCCAAAAUGGUCUCCUCAUGACAUGCAAAAUUUAAGUUCAAACAUCCGGAAUAUUCGAUCACAGACAAAUAGCAUGGUUAAUUCCAUCACUGAGGGGUAUAACCCACAACCUGUGAGCAGAAUUGGCAACCAAGCCCUUCAAGAAAACUUUCCCGCUCUUUCAUCAAUGCCUCCCACCGCUCUCCAGCCUGAGCAACUUGUGCAGUUGGCUACUACUAUUCUUGGACAGCAGAGGCACUCUGGGGCUCUAUCUACAGGCUCAGACUGGGCACAGCAAAACAAUGCACUGCCAAAUUAUCAAGUUGGUCCUGAGACUUCAUUGUCACAAUAUGGACAAAUACAGCAACUGCAGCAGCAGAUUCCAAAUUUGCCUGCAAUGCCUCAAAGAGAGCUUCAGCCUGGUUCUAUGGUGAAUCAACAACAACAGAAUGCUGGACAGGGGGAAGGUGACACAGAGAAACGCUUGCAGGCAACUUUGCAGUUGGCAGCUGCUCUUCUACAGCAAAUUCAACAGGGCAAGGGGACCUGACAAAGUAGCAUCUGUAUUAGGGAAAGUGUUGAAUGAUAUAUAUCAACUGGAAGUAUAUAGUGAAAGUAUUUCAGCUUGAAUUAACCUAUAGAAAUCGAACCAGCCAGAUUUAAAGGCUAUGUUGAUAUUACGAGUUUUGACAUUUUCAGGUCAUAUUCUGGUUUAGCCUUUCUGUGUAUGUGCCAAGUGUGGUUCUUGUUUACAGGUGCAGUUGCCUUGCUAGGGGCUGACCCAAGGAAUGUGAUUUUCUUUAUUGGUUCUUGUUCAGAGGUGCAGUUGCCAUGUUAGGGGCUGGCCCAAGGAAUGUGAUUUUCUGUACUUAUUUUCUUUUCCACCUAUUAGUUAUCGGACAAAUGUGGAGAUCUAACAAAUACUGUCAAAGUUACGUAGCUUUUUACUGAAAUGCUUCUUGAAUUCGGUGAAGCUUCGUUAAGACAGGUACACAGUACUACAAACGUAAACUGCAUUAUGUUUGAAUAUACUAGACCAGAAUGCAUUAUUCUUAAAGUAACGUACAAGGUAGAAGUUGUGCUAGCUCUGUGUCAAAAAGAACAGAAUUUUAGUUUGUGAUUCCAAGAUAGAGAACUGUCACAUAAACUGCAACCAGGCAUUUUCCUCAGAAUGGAGCAAGGAUAAAUUUAUGGUGAUUAAAUUCGUUGUUUAAGUAAUGUAGAUGAAAAAAGGAAAGGGUUUCUUGACUUCUAGUUGAAAUUUAGCCACUUAAGAUUUGUUUUGCCAAAAUUUGAUAGAAAAGGAUCUGGGAACCCUUAUCCUCCAAAGGAGAUAUAAUAAAAGAGUGAGAGAGAGCGAGAGAUUUUUACUAAACUUUUGUUACCACUAUAGACGGCAAAAAGAGAGGGUCAUAUUGUAGAAUGUAGACAAAAGAAAACUUUUUGCUGAUUUUUUCGUUGUUCAACAUAGCUUUACAAAAGAAUCAAUAGUUUACCUACAAAAAAUUGUUAACAAUAACAGAAUUGUCUUUUGACUCGUAUUCAGGUAGUGGUAUGCUACAAAAACUCCAGGUUACCAAUUACGGUCGGUAUAGCUUGAAGUCUGUAAAGAGGCAUAAAGUGAAAAUGUACAUCUAGAAGUACAAAUAUGUGGACGAGUCCAUCCCAUUUGCUGUGUCUCGUGAAAGAAUUGAUCGAGCUUCAGUUAUGGAGCGAGGGGGAUCAAGAUCUUUCUCUUGCAAAGCAUUUCCUUGCAAUCUUUGCAUUUGGGAAGCAAAUAUAUCAUCAAGAACCUAAAAGAUAAAUGCAAAAGAAAAAUGGAUCACUCUUCUGAUUAUUCCAAUCAUUGGACAACAAGACAGUCGUCCAAUCAAACCAUUCUAAAGGCCUGAAGGAAGAUGAAUUGACAUUGUAGAUUUGAAGACCUAAAAUUUUUGAGUUUGGGAAAGGGAAUUGUUGUCUCAUGAAGAAUUUCUGCUUACCCCAAGAGCAUGAUAGGAUCCACUGUACCAGACUCGAUUUUCUUUCCUCCCCUCCAAAAAUUUCACUACAAUCUAAAGAAACAGAAAGUUCCAAUAAGUAACUAGAAGCGAGAAGAUUCUUAAAGGGUAGAAAGUCAGAGGAUUGUUGAAUUCACCUGUCCCAUUUUAUCCCAAAAUCCACGACAAAUUGCAACAAAUAUUCGACUGGUGAACACCUCGUGCAAGUUGGAUAUGGACUCUGAGAGUUGUGAGCUCAACACUUGCAUUCUUUCACGAAUUUCGGCUUCUCCAUCUGUUACUUUUGUUUCCUCCAAGAUCCUUUGCAGCCUUGUGUUCCGACUAGAUUGCAUCUGAAAUAAUCAUUGAUUUGCAUAGUUUCAACAUUUGCGUAUGUUUUUCAAGUCUAAAACUAUAACAAACAACCUCUGUGAUUCUACGAAAUUUUAGUAUGAUCACCAAAUUCUGAAGUACUGUGUAGGGCACCAGAACAAAAUUAUGCCAAUCAACCCAUUACUGAUCCUCCCCCAACCAAAGAAGACCAGAAAGAGAAUCUUAUUUAUCCAUUCUGGAAAAGUUCCCUGAUUGUUUUUUGUUGUCCUUGUAUAUUAGAUAUCCAUCAUAGACUUAAAAAACUUCAAGGUGAACCUAUACUGCCAGCUGCAGGCACAUUUGAAGACAAAAACUCUUUCCCUUCUUCCCAGUUACAAUUUGAUGACGGGGUUUCAGUUCCACAAUAUAGGACAUAAUAGCUAACUCUUGAAGAAGUAAACUGCAAGCCUAGUAAUAAAGUAUCAUGCAUUUCAUGUUGAGUUGUUCUUUGUGAUUUUGCUUUCUACUCUCAUUCAUUUCUUAUGUUUAUGGUUAAGUGGAUGACUAUCAUUCACGUUGUUCAAAAAGAAGUAUUCACCACGAUCUCUGUUGAAGAGAAAAGUAGGCAUAUUGUGCUUACGUUGCUUGCGAGCUUCACCACAAUUGCUUGCAUGUAAUUCUUGUAUUUAGUUCUGAGCAACACAGUAACACCAUUCAUUUGUUCUCCAAAACUUGACUUCUUCUCGCCGUUGACAGGAAGAUAGGAUGCCCAUGCCUUGAGGAAAUCUUCAGUGCUAGGGUGUAGGACAUCUAAAACUCUCUUAAGGGUGUUUAGAAAGGUACCCAACUACCAAGAGAGAGAAAGAGAGAGAUGUUAUUUUAAAUACAAGUCUUGUCCAUGACCAAAAUUCUGUUAGUUGUAGCAAAGAUAUCAAUUCAAACUAAACCGUGAUAACUAGUCGUGAGUGAUGUUUCUAAUUUAUAGCAGCUAAAACAAACCAGCCUAGUUUCAGCAUCUGGUAUUAACCUUAGUAGAGAUGCUAUGAUUACUAAUAUACUUCAUUUAAAAGUUUAGGAACUUUUGGAACCUCCAGCUGCAUUUUAGUUAGCCAAGUAUGAAAAAUAUUGCAAAAUGACUAUGCUAUUAGAAGACUAGGCAUCAGUGUGCACUAACUUGCAGUGGGGCAGAAUAAAGUGCAGUGGAUUGCCUUCUUGCUAAUUUCUGAACUUGCAUCCCGAGCUUUUUGGGAACACUAUCCUUCAAAGGAGUCAAGAUAUCAUUGUACUGCUUUUCCAGUGCUUUUAUAAUUGCUCUUUCGAUAUUGGCAACAGCCUGUGGAAGUAUGAAAAAUGAAUGUUAGCAAAUACUAGGAAGCUAGUAAGUCAAUUUGUUAUUACUUUUUAACAGUUCACAGUUUAGACUUAGUGAUAUAAAUGCUUUAAAUAGUGGAUCAUUUGGUUACAACACAAACAGAUGCAUGCAGUUGUGAUAUUAGCAGUUGUUUGAUUCCAGAAACAAAACAAUAAGUAUAACUUACACUCUCCAAAACCAUUGUGUACUCAGGCCAUCUGUUGAUGACUACUUCAUACUCAUGUAACAUAACUUUGAGUUUCUCAAACAUUUCCUCAGCAAAGGGAGAAGUAGAAUAAUUUGUAAUUACGCCAGACCAAGGCACCUGCCAAAUAGAUGUCAAGUUAUUGGAAUCACAUUUUUACAAUCCAAAAAGAAUCAUUGCUUGCAGUAGCAUUAUUUACCCUCAAUAACUCAACUGCACCACAUGAAAGUUAAACAGCACUUAGGAAAAUUACCUUUUCUGCUUUGCAUUGAUCAAGGAGGCUAAGUUGCAUUUCUUGUAUCCAGACCAUUAUAUAGUUAUGGUACAGAUCUCUUGAGUCCACACCACCCCAAACUGCACUGUCAAAAUCAAAAUACACAACUUCAGGAUGAAAUUGCAUCUUUUACCAAUGAGAACUAAGUACACCUACCAACUCGGCUGGCAACUUGAAUCCAAAAGGCAUUGUGUACUUAAAUAAUAUCAAGGAAUGUGGAAUAUAUGUACCUGAUGUUCCAUGACUCAAGAUUUCUCUCAAAAUCAGCAGUUGCAAUCAAAAGUCCAUUAACAUAUGGCAUGGGACUUGAAGGAGGCCAUGCAGAAAGAAAAGCUCUAAGCCUUGUACACAGCUCGGUACUGUAAACUGUGGCAGUGAUAUUUGCCAGGUCAAUUGAACUAAUAAAAAGGAAAAGAUAUCAGAUAUGUGCUUGUUUUAGAGCUGCUAAAUGCCCACAGAUCAGAAAAAGAAAAUUCUACCAGUGUUUAUCAAAUAUUCAUGAGAAAAUAAUAUAAAUUAGGAAGGUAACAGGUAGUUGUUACUGAAUAACGACCUAGUUGCAAGAAUUUCUUGAAGCUAUUGCCAUUCCAUAGGCAUAUCAGUCUAAGAAUUUAUAAUAUCUGAUACAUAAUCCUGAACUUGUAAACCAUUGACAAGCUUGAUGAAAAGUGGAGGAUCUUGUACCUUGGGAGUAUGUGCUGAUUGUGGAUCUUAAGAUCAGCCUGAAUCUCACUGCUUAUUUUGAAGCAGAGAUUUUUCAUCUUCAAAUAUGCUGUGGUCAUAGUCAUGGAAUCUAUGACAAAACCCUCAGAGUUACUUGACAGAAAUUCAUCUGUCUCCAACAUGUGUUUUCGGCACCUUUUCAUUGCUGCUGUCUGUUAGAAGGUGACAUUCAAUCUAUUGUUCAGUCUUAAUAAUCAAAUGAACUGAAGCAAGGCAACCUACUGUCCAUUUACUAUCCAUAGGUGUCAUACCAGGGGAAUUCAUUGUAUAAACAGAUGUGGGUGGUGCAUUAUUCAACUUAUGAUUCAUUGAGCAUAAUGAACCUAUCUCAGUCUAAAUGGUAAUAUAUAAAAUACUGAUUGAUUUUAGAGGUACAUAAGACUCACUUGUAAAUAGUUUCUUAAGAUUGUCUGAGAAUCUUCAGCCAGUAUAUCAUGAAGAAGUUUGUAUACUUGCACCGCAGGAGCUAGAGAUGGGGCUGCAGAUUCUAAUAUUGGAGCUGACAUGUCUGCUAUACCCGUUGGAGAUUUUUCAUCUAAUGACUUGUAGUUCUGGAACACAUCUGCUAGGAGACCCUCAACUUGGGUCUCACAGUUGAGCAACAUACUUUUCUGCAGCAGAAGAAAUUAUUACCGUCAACAGAAAAGUAACAUCGGAAUUCACAUUAGUAUGCAUGUAUGGUUACACCUCCUUGUACUUCAGUAAUGCACUUUAGCAAAUGCAUAUCAAUGAGUCCUCAAACUUGAUGUAAACAUGAACAUUAUGCUUCACAUUUUGUUAAACUUUACAAAUUUAAGGUUAAGCCAACCUAGUUGUGAUUAUUUUAGAAACAGUCUCCUUCACUGACCCACAGAAAAGAUAUCAAACUGGAGAAAUCUAAAAAGCUUGAACAUUUAACUCUGAAUAAAGCUCUAGAAAGGUGGUGUAGAUCAACUCUUAUAAACUUUUUAAGACUCCUAACUACUGCUAUCUUGGAGGAUGGCACAUGCAAACCCUGAUAUGCAAAAACAGUUUUGGUGAUUACCUCCUGUCUAGUCAAACUUUUCUCAUUUCGAGCCUUGAUAACAGGCGAAAGCAACUCAUAUACAAGCUCUAUACAAUCUUUGGUUGGAGUUGCAACAUUCAUCACGCAUGAAAGAUACCUGUAAAUAUUUGCUAGUAAGUCUUGGGGAAAGUAAUCACAACUGACAAGGAAGUCCAUUGGAGGUUUAAAUUUAAGCACCUGAGUUUGGUAUAUGAAUUUGAAACUCCAUAAUACUCAGAAAACUCAAUGAGUAGCCAUUUCCAGGGUCCAUCUAGAUGUAAAUUACGAGCAUGAAAUUUUUGUGCACGCAUGGCAGCCUCCAUCAGUAGAUCAUAUGCAAGGGUUUCCACAAUAGGUCCAUUCUGUUGCACAAAGGUGAACUUAAGGUGAUUUCAACUUUUAAAAAAUAUCUUUUUAAAUGAAAGGAAUAUGCAACAGUACUUAAACAAUAUUUCAAAUCAAUAAGCAAUUGAUUUCAUUUAAAGAUUCUUUUUUAAGAAGUUGCUCUUACAUAUUGAUUUGCAAUAUGUAUUCAGCAGGCAACAAGCUUUUGAUUUCAGCAUAUACUGAUCCCAUUUGUUGAAUCUGAAUUUCUUAAUUUACAAGCAACAAACAAGAUUUCACCAUGAGAUUCUAUACUGCCCCAAUACGGUAGUUGAUAAUCACAUACCUUUAACUGAGUUGUUUCAUCGUACGUAAAGGCACACGUAAUAGAAAGCUGAACCUUCCCAAUGCACUCGUGAUCAUCAUGGUAAAUAGGCCACCAUCGAAUUUUGUCAGUCUGCAUGUUUCAAGAAAGAUUAAAGGAUGUAUUGAUUGAAAACCAAAUGAUGUAUAGGUGUCUCUCCUAUAAGAUAAAGGUACAUACUGGAUUGUCUGCCAUUGAUGAAACUGGAAUUGUAGCUUGACCUUGAAUGUUUUUUUUCAAAUCAUGGACUUCAAGUAGAAUAGAAUCUCCUUGGUGUUCUGGAAAACUGAAACAGAGGUUUACACGAACACAUCAACAUUAAAUGGGAAAGAUGUAAGAUCCCCAUAAAGGUCAUUAUUAUUUCCCAGUACGGCAGACCACUAUAGGUCAACAGAGCAUCAACAGUCAAUAAAACAUAAGACAGAUUCAACACAAUUCAGCUAUUUUACAUAGCACAGGAGGUCUAGCAAUUAUUUUUUGUACAGAGAAACCACAACUUUUAUAUAUAAAAUGAUAAAUGGGAAGAAAGUUAGAAAAUGUCAUAUGUACAAUCUUAGUUUUCUUUGUGGAAAGAGAGGAAAGUUUUCUCAUUUGUCUUAGUAAAUCUGCCACAAAACAUACUCUCUUUCUAGAACUUAGAGUAAUAAUAAACACAACUACAAAGACCUUUGAUUCUUUCUACUAAGACAGACAAUAGUCAUUAGGUAUUAGGCCUUCUCUUUUCAUCAUAGAGAGCCAUUGGUACCCACUUUAAGCUAGCUACAUAUGCUUCUGAAAGAUAUAUACUCUACAAACAUAUUGAAGUUGUAAAUGCCAUAAACAGAAUCCCCAGAUAAGCUGAAUAUACACAUCAGCAACUUACAAAUCAUGGUAAUCACCAGUUCCGGGCUGCAAUGAAGUGGUGGAACCUGUUUCAUCUUGAUUUUCUUCCAGAGAACUUUUCAACUUAAGUAAGCAUGAUAGUGAUUCUGCAAACAGUGAAGCAAUCAGUUAAACUAAGUACCUCAGAGAAAAUAUUAGUUUAAGGAAAGCAAAUAGAUGUUGUCACAUAUAUUGCAAAUGAUAAAAGCUGCAUAAGGCUUUACAAUUGAUUCCAAACUUUUCAUGGAGAGCUGAUGUUAGUUUUUUUUUUUUUCUAGUAUUAGCUUUGGAAUUAAUUGUCUUCCAAAACUAGUAGAAAGACUUGAUUUCAUGACAAACCUUCAGUUGGCAAAGAAAAUGAAGCAAGUCUCAAAGAAUUCAUGCCACUCUUUACUAGUGAUGAAACAUGCCGGACAUACUCAGCUCCCACUUGCAUGUACAUUGCACCUCUCAAUGAGUUUGUGCUUUUAAGCCUCCUCCUUGGUAUUAUUCGGAGUUUUUUUACUGCCAGAAAACAAUUACUCAUAUCACAAGAGAAUUUUCAUCAGUGAGUUCUCAGACAAAAUAAAUAACAUUGUCCCUAGAUAUUACGCUGCAUGACAAGGUAAUUUUCAUCUUUCAGUAGAAUUAGUUGGCCCAUAUCACCAAAUAUUGAGAAUAAAAUUUACCAAAAGAUCCAGAGAUAUUUAACUGAUUAUUCAGAAGUAGCAUGACAUGUACUUAUUAUGAAACAAUUGAUUUAGAGCAAGUAAACAUGAGUAUAUCCUAUUAUUAAAUUUGUUUGAUGAUUAAUUUCUGUAAGGAGUUGGUGAAAGGAGCCUGUCCAACAAAAGAAGCAAGGUUUUCUUCUUUCCUUGCUCAAUGCUAACUUCAAUCACCUACCAAUAGGGAUCGCUCCCAGAAAGCACAUAAAGCAAGACUUUGUUGCAACAAUCUGAGUAUAAAAAUUACUGAAGAAACUAGCAGUUUAACUUAGAAUGAUGAAAUAUUGCAAAUCAAAUCUGUUCUGAAAACCAACACACGGUUUGAGGUUCUUCAAAGUGAGAUGCAUCUGCUUUGCAAAUAAUUAGCUGAAAAAAUCAUUGUUCUGCUCAUUAAUUAGAAGAGGUCAGAGGUACCUAUCUCAUUAUCCAUGAAAUUAUAAUACUAAUAAAAUCAAAUCAACCAAAAUUCUUUUAGUCAGUGUGCACCAGAUACAGACCAAGUCUACAAUAGCAAACCUGACUCUGUCGUCCAUCAUUAUCUCAGCUAAAAGAGAACAAAUUGAGCCUCAAUCUAUCAAGCUAAUGGAUAAACCUUAUAAAAAGUAUAGAUGCCAUACCUUCCACACGAAUCUUUCCGGCAAUCUUUUUUGGUUUCAACGGCAAAGCUUGUUCUAUUUUCUUUCUUGUACUUUCUACUGAUUGUGUGCCUUGGGGUUGCAAAAGGAACUUGUGCAGACUAGGAAUAAGAAAAAAGCAGAAACUCAUCAUUUAGAAACAACAAGUGACAAGGAUUUUCUUUAUUCUAGUGACAUAAUAUGGUGAAUGUGGGAUUGACGGAAUGCAUACAUACCCAAACGCAUUGCGUAGAAGCAGACACUCAUCUUUUAGAAAUUCUGGUGCUUCUGCACAACCUCUUGCCCAUGCAUUUAAGCAUAAGCGAAUGCAUGCAUCAUAAGCUAUCAGAAUUUGCCAGGCAUUUUGAUCACUGUAGCCAAAGGUUUGAUUUUUAUUAGAUAUUUAAUUGGUUAGUGAGCUUAUUAAGCAAAGCCCCCAGUAUUCAGAACUUAUAAGAAUGUGCAAAACAUGCAGCCUACUGCUAUAUGCAUAAUAAUUAGAUAAUCAGUAGUGAAUCAACAGCUUAAGUGCACUUCAUUGCCAAAAGAUGUGAUAUGUGCUAGUGAUACAAAAUUGUCCUCUAUCUACAAAUUUGUUCAAGCUGCAUCAGGUUGGCCAUUUACAAUAACUGUACUGAUCAUAAAAUUUCUCGACAUCUAUUUGCAUACUUAGAAGUUGCUACUGAUGCAAACAUCCAACAACAAAAAAAAAAAGAAAAGGAAACAUAUAAAUUUCACUUGUAGGAAUCAGGUACGAAAGUUAUUAGUAUCAUUUACUAGCCUCAUCUAUUACACAGUAGUAAAAUAUUGAACUAGUACAAUUGGUUGAGGUGAUAUUAAUUGACUAUUACCUUGCAUCAUAAUAUGGAGAGCAAUUCCUUGGCUUUGUUUCCCAAGUACCCUUCAAUGCUUCCAUUUCCGCUGGUGUCAUCCCAUUCUUGUCCCUGCAGCUAAGACAAAUAUUAGGUUUACUUGAAGUAUCAUAGAGGCAACAAUUUCAAGCUGCUCUUUCAUCAGAAAAUUGGCGGUUACUGACCAAAGUACGUUACCUUUCCCCAACUUCAUGUUCAAAAGAUUCUUCAUUUUGAUCUGGAAAGACAUCUUUAAUACCAGCAUGCUGCUUUGCUGAUUGUGUAGACACAUUUGAAUCCUCAUUUGUCUGAUCAAAUUCUCGCACAGCACCUGAGCUUUCACUACAUUCACUUACAACCUCAGAGCUCUGCCCAUCUCUUCUAAUCUCCAUAAUAGGUGGAGCACUAGGAGUUCCUAAGUCAACCACAUUACUUAACUUGCCAACUGGUGUAGCCUGCAUCCUCAAAUAAACAACAAUCGCUAUUAGCAAUAGAAUCAUUAUCAAACAAUCAACAACAAAGAGAAUCUUCCAAGUCUAACAAUUAGUUUAGUUCAAAGGAUUAUCCAGUCUUACAUAUGUGCUGUGAGGUUGAACUACUACUUUUCGCAAAUGACAACUUCCACUGGAAGCUGCAUUUCUUCGGCCACAUCCAUCAAAACCCAACUCAGUAUCAGUAUAUCUUCUAGUAUUUUCUGGCACUUCAAUCCGAAGACUUUGUUUCGACCCUCUGUUCAACAUAGCCCUAUAUCGGACCCCUGUUUGUGUUCCUCUAAUAUGAUCCGAAGUUGUACUUCUUUGCACAGUGAACAUUUCUUCAUUACACUGCAGUGGAAUUGGCUUAUCAAAUUCUUCUUCAUCAGAACAAAUUCCAUCAAGCUCGUCAGGCACAGAUGCCACACUUUCGCUGUCAACAUCACCACCAUCAUCAUCACCAUAUUCAUCUUCACUACUAUCCAAACUUAGUGCCACAGGCUUGUGGGGCCCCAGAAGGCCAGAAUGGAACUUCAAAGGGGGCAGUGCGUGAGAACUACCAGAACUGUAUCCCAAUGGAGAUCUGGGAAUUGGGUAUGUUUUGUCAUACUUUUCAGUUAAUGGUGAUCUCAUCUGAGAUUUUUCAGUAUCUGAUCCCUGCAGACACAGUUCUUAAUCUUGAAUUGCAGUUGAAACCAAUACGCAAGUAUACACCACCUCGUGUUGGGAAAAGAAGAAUUAUAAAAUAUUGGAAAAUGGACAGUACAGGAUAAUAUUUAUAGGAAAGAUAAAGACAGAAGCAACAAAAAAGGAACGAAAUUUCUCGUGUGUAUCAAAUCCAAAAUGAAGAAAAGCAGCAACCUUUCUGCAACUAUUCCGUUUAAAAUUUGCAUAGUUCAGAAAAAAAAAAGGCAAAGUUCAACUUCGUGCUAAUUAAGUUAAGAACUUGAGGAAAAAAUGAACUCUAGUUAGCGGUGAAUUGGCAAAAGAAAAGAGAAAAGCACCAAACUUUACACUAUUCUGACAACGCAUAAAAUAGUUUACUUUCUCACAUGAUAAUCAGCAAAUUUGAUUCUGUCAGUGGCUAAUUCAAGAAAUUGAAAAAAAAAAAAAGAAAAAUCUGGAUUCUGUUUAGCUGGGGGCAUUUUACCUGCUUGAUCCAGUUGAUUGCAGAUUCAUCCAACCCUUCAGUAAACAUCAUUUCAACUGAAAUGCACACAGACGCACUGAAGCUGAUGAAAAGAAAGGUUGACGAAAUGGGAUUCUGGAAAAUGGUGAAAUUAAGCGAACGAUAAAUGAUAUACUGAUAGUUUAUAAGCUUUUGGUAGCUGAGAAAUGCAGACACGGAGGAAGGAGCGCUGUUUCCAGUUGGACGAGGCCAGCAGCACUUUCAUAACGGCUAGUUUUGACGAAAUGUAGGAAGGCAUGAUUUGAGAAAAGGUCCGAAAUCCAAACGUAAUACGGGUUGUCUAGAAUGCCCGAACCGUAAUCCAAACCCAAGUUGAUCUUUGAUAGUAAAAAUAAAUAAAUAAAAUAAAAUCGGCAUAUAUUAUUCAUCAUGUUACGUGGGGUGAUUUAAAUCUGUUAGUUGUAAAGAAAAUGAAAAUUGUACGCUGAUAAUAGUAUAUAAAAAAUAAAUUAUAAUUUGAUAUUUCUUUAACAUUUUGUUGCUAGUACUACAAGGUGAGCCAUUGAGCUAAGAUUUCUAAACUUGAAUUACUAACUUUUGCCUACAUUUAUCAUUAUAUAUUAUUCACGCCCCACUAAUUUUCUACAAAUGCAUUUCGGGAGAGUUUUAGGCAUUCAAAUAUUUAAAAUUUGUCUAGCUGUGUUUAGGGAUGACAAUGGGGCGGGGUUGGGGCGGGGGAGCCCGCCCCGUUGCCUAUUAGUUCCCCCCGUCCCCCGCCUCCCGCUCCCCCCGCCCCCGCCCCGCCUUGCCCCACGGGGGCACCCGCGGGGUUAAUAUAAUUUUAUUAUAUAAUUUUAUUAUAAUUAAAUUUUAAUAAAUAAUCAAGUACUAAAAUAUCAACACAUCACCAAAUUAUUAUUCAUUGUAAUUUUACAAUUGAAACUCAUAAAAACAAUCAAACAGAAGUUAUUUGAAUACAAUCCAAUAUGAUGAAAUAAAUAUAACUAAAAUAGUCAAGUUUUCACUUUUAGUACAAAUGCAAUUACUAAUUCAUUAUUGUGUUUGUGCUUUGUUUUGAGAACAAAAUGUUAUUCUAUUAAGUGUAAUUAGAAAUUUAGUAUAAAUGUAUUAGUAAAUUUAGUAUAACUAAUUAAUAAAUUCUAUUAGUAGACAUGUAUAAUUAUUCAUAAUAUUAGUAGACAUGUAUCAAUUAUAUUACAUAAACUAAUAUACAUUAUAUAAUACAUCUAAUUAAUAAUAUCAUUAUCAUAAGUUUAUAACUAAUUAACUUACAUAUUAUAUAUAUAUAUUCAUAUAUAUAUAUUUUUUGUUUUGCGGGUGGCGGGGCGAGGGUAUACUCCCCCGCCCCCCGCCCCCGUUUCUAAGCGGGGGGAAAAAAUUCCCCCCCUCCCCUGCCCCAACCCCCGUCCCGAGAGCCCCCCGCAGGGCGGGCGCCCGCGGGCACCUGCCCCCAUUGCCAUCCCUAGCUGUGUUUGGAUCAAGAGGUUUGUUUGAAUUACUCGGGAGAUAUUUUGGUUUGUAAUCCAUUAACUAUUUGAUACAUUCAAAACCUAAAAUAAUUGGAGGAGUACAAAUCCAAACAUAUAUCUUCCAAAUUAUCUACACAAUUUAGAGAGAUUUGAAAUUUUUGGUCAAAUUUCUCAAUCCAAAACACAGCAUAAAGUAAAAUAUCUUUAGCUAAUUUUUUUUUUGGGUGCGAUUAUUUUAGCUAAUAAAACGUUAAACAGGGUGUCAAAUCUAAUUCCACUAUAUUAAAACUCUCUGUAUGUUUUUAAAAACAUAUAAGUUGAGCUUCUAAUCAUUUGACAUUACCAAGUAUUAACUUUCGUGGAUUAAAGCUAUGAAAUAUUUUGAGAAGAACCUAUCUGGAUCUUUUCAUUAUUAUUAUCUUCUUCUUCUUCUUCUUUUUUCUCUUUUUUUUUUUUUUAAGUUUUGACUCUUUCAUUUUUAAAGUGUUCCUUUCGUGCCAUGUUUGUGUUUAAAACUUUAGCAUAAUUAUUGCCUUUGUAUGUGAAUUGAGGGCAACUACAAAGCGACGAAUGUACCAAAAUCCCUUGCCAAAAAGCUAUUUCUACCUCAAGAAACUGCUUAGAUGGGUAAAGAUAUCAAAAUUUACAAGAAACGACAUAAUUUUUUGACUAUGCAAAAAUAAAAAAGUUUUUGAAGUUAAUUAAUAAGCCAUUCAUAAAUUUUGUGUCUCGGAAUAGGUUGCUCAACAUGGAGAAUUUGAGGACCAUCCAUCCCAUCCAAAUAACCAUGAGCUAAAUUAAGUUCCAAACAACAAUGAGAUAUAAUUAGUUCCUCAAGAUUUUUAAUCCAGGGAAUUCCAUCUCACAAGGUUUCAUUUUCAUCACUUCUUGCAUGCUUCAUAUUUCAUAUAUAUAUAUAUAUAUAUAUAUAUAUAUAUUUUGCAUGCAUAAAAUCUUGGCAACUUAUUAGUGAGAAGAAAACGAAAUUUACAUAAUUAAGCAGACCAUCAAGAUUAGACCCUGGAUUACCUUCACUUCAACAUCAUCAUCAAGAUUAACAUGUUUGAUAACUACUAUGAAACUCCAAAUUUUGGUACUGAAAGACUUUUUUGGUUCCAUAUGUACCCAUUUAACUUUAAGGACUAAGCAUCAUUCCAAAGUGCCAAGCCUAGAACCAACAUAUAUAGCAGAACAAGGUCAGCUUUCUCUAGGUUCAGAGCUAAUAAUGCAUUUCCACCAUAUAUAGGCAGUUUUCACCCAAUCUUACUGAAUGCUUGAUGAUCUUGCUUAUAGUAGCUCAUUUGACGAGGCUUGUCUGGAAUUAGAAAGCAAGGCAGCUGAACAUGGAUUCCCUGAUGCAAGAUUGUCAAAAGCUUUGGAUUGGAAUUCUUUCCCAGAUAUUACCAUCAAGCAGCUGAUAGUUUGUUUGUUAAAAUUAAAAAAAAAAAUGCACUUUUGAUGAAUUUGAAUUAUGGAUGUAAAUAUUAUCAGUCUUCCUCUUAUCUUUAAUUUGUUGUAUUUAAAGGCUAAUAAGCUUCAUCUAAUGUUAUUUUCUUGUUUUUCCUUCAACCCCAAGAAAAAAAAAAAAGAAAGAACAAGAAGCUAUAUAUGUUUUUAAUUGAUCAAAAUUGAAAAGAUCAGAUGAUAAAUACGAGUGUUGCACCUACACGUAAAGAGCACUCCCAAUCUCCUCUUCCUCUUAAAUUCUCCUCUUCCCCCUGAUUUUGUACCGUCUCUAUGCUUCCCUCCUCUCAGCUUUCUCCUAAUAAGUUUAUGGGUUAAUUACAUUUACCUCCCCUGAGGUUUGACCAAAUAACGAAUCGAUCCCUGAGAUUUGACCAAAUAACAAAAAGGUCCCUCAACCGUUAGUCUUUGCCGUUGACUGUUAGGGUUAAUUACAUUUACCCCCUUGAGAUUUGACCAAAUAACGAAUCGAUCCCUAAAAUUUGACCAAAUAACAGAUUCCUCCCCCACACUAACUUCUGUCACUUCAUUUAUAUAAUAUAGGAAAAGUAUAAGGAGUUGGUACAUUAUGGAAAGAAAAAAUGCAUACUACAUUUUCAACCCUCUUAUUUGCUAGAAAUUUUAAUUUUACUUUAUCUUUUAAAUAAAUUAUUUUUUGAAAAAAUAGGUACUUUGUUCAUAUAAUUGGGAAAAGUCGUAAAGCACUGGUAUUUUAUGGGAUAAUGGGUAUUACCCUAUGUAAUCCAAAAUUUGUCACACUAUUUCACCAAAUUACAAAAUACGUGUAUGGCAAAUUUUGCAUUACAAGGUCUAUCAAAAUUUACUCUGAUUUUAUCUGUUAAAUAAAUUAAUAAUUUGUUGGAUUCAAAAUUUUAUCUGUUAACCAAAAUUUUUUUCUGAAAACACAAAAAUCGAUAGGUCAAAAAUUUGAUGGAAAUCAAUAAGGGUUAUUCAGACUUUUGGCUAUUUCCGUUACAUAUAAGUGAUAGAAGUUAGUGUGGGGGAGGAAUCUGUUAUUUUGACAAAUUUUAGGGAUCGAUUCAUUAUUUGAUCAAAUCUCAGGGGGGUAAAUGUAAUUAACCCUAACAGUCAACGGCAAAGACUAACGGUUGAGGGACCUUUUUGUUAUUUGGUCAAAUCUCAGGGAUCGAUUCGUUAUUUGGUCAAACCUCAGGGGAGGUAAAUGUAAUUAACCCUAAGUUUAUUUCUUCUUCUUUUCAUGUUUUUUUUUUUUGUUGCUUUUAAUCCCAUCCAUGUAUAGAAAAAUGAAAUGAUUUUAUAUCUAGUAGUAAAAAAAAUAAAAAUUUCAUCCAAAUCUUCAUACAAAGUCUUUGUUUUAUCUAAAUCUUUGCACAAAAACUUUUGCAACAUAUCUUUGCCAGGAAAAGCUAUCAUACACUAAUGUAUGUGUUGGAAUUAUUUCCUCAUUUAGAAAAUUUGCUCUUUUUUUUUUUUUGGCACCAGUUGUCUUACGCGUAGAACCCAGAAUUCACUAAAGAAAUUCUCUAACCAAAUUAUUUCACUGAUUUUUCAUUAAUUUGCUUGUGGCACUUCUCUUAGACGUAGGAUAGAAAUUCUUCCAAAUUUUUUUAGCAUUAUUUUUAGUUUUGAAAAAAAAAAAAAAAAACUAGAUACAGCAGGUAUGACCAAUAUCUCAACAUCAAACAGAGGGGAAAGCCAUUUCAGUUUGCUGAAAGAAGUCGAAUAGCUCAUUCCUUGACGCCCUUAGGUCAUACGUACAACGAGAUAGCAUGAAGGGCAUCUUUCAUGGUUGAUUGCUACGUCAACCUUUGUGGUACUUCCCUUAUAAAUUAUUUUCUUGUGCCCUCCCAUCUUUUAAUCCCGAUUAUUCAAGCAUUGGCCAUAGAAUUAAUUUGUAUUACAAGUUAAUUUUUUUUUUUUGAAAAAAAAAACCCGCUAGUUGCACGUGGAGAUUAAUUGUAUAGGCUAAACAUUGUGAAGCCAAUAUGGAAUAUUUGUGAUCUUUCUUUCAACAAUUGCAAUUGAGCAUUUGACCUUCAAAUAAGUUGUCAUUUUCUUAUACUUACAUUUUUAAUGUGAAGUAGUAUUCGAAGAAAUAAAGAGCAUACUUUUAAAAGUUUAUAGUGAUAAAAUGUGACGGUCCAAGAAAUCACGACACAAAAUGUGAUUAACCUAGCUACAAAAAAUUUUCUUUUGAAAGAGCAGGAAAGACUAAACAGAGAGUUGUACCAUAGGUUAGAGGAGGAUUGGAUUGGAUGAUGAAGUGGGAGGAGUGGUAAGUAGAACGUUCUAAUUCAAUACCUUCCACUUAAAAAAAAAAAAAAAAAUUGUACUAUAGGAUGAUUUUGUAUUUCUCUUAUUCCUUAGUGGGAAAGCUACAACCAUCCCCAAAAAAUUGGACGUUCAAAAUGAUAAAAAGCACCUUUUCUGCUCUUAUAAAAAAAAAAAAAAAUCUCCAAUUCUCAAGAAAAACAAGUUAAAACGGCUAGAGGUCAAACAACAACAAUAUUGAACAAAGGUGCUCUUGCAAAAGUAGAUAAAAUUUUUUUUUUUCCAAGGACCUGCAAGAGUAGAUUUGAAACCAUUUAUGAGAUGCAUGCCACCAUUAAUUAGGUUGGUCGGCAAUAAGCUUGCAUACCUUGCAUUUUGCCCAAAGACACAGGAUCUGAUAUGACCUUCUCAAAAAAUGGUACGCAUCUCGAGAUAAUAUCCUGGACGGUCUCGUCUCGGUUCCUCUAGUCGAUUCUAGUCACGCCAUUGGAGGCAUACAAUUUCAUCCAUGCAAAAUUUUCCUCAAAAAACAAUUAAGUGAAUACAAAAUUAAAUGCCAUAAUUUAUCAACACCUUCGUGCCCGCGCACAAUUGAACUGCCAGUUUAACAAAAAGGUGCCAUUUACAGGAAGUCAUGAAUGCUUUGAAGAUUGCUUCAUCCCUUUCAACAGUUGCAGAUAGAUUCAAACGACUUCGGUUACUUUUACAGCACAAAUGAGAGGACAUCAAUAUACGAUCAAAAUGGGAAGAUCCAAAAAGGACUACAAGGGGUGGGGAAUAAGUAGGGCAAUUAACAGACAAUGGCGGUACAUAAGAGAAUGAAAAAUCUAAAUCACAAAUUUGAUACUUUCGAAACCCUAGCCUCAACGAGCACGUGAAAAAGUUAUACGCCUUCAAGGCACUAUAAUGACAACAUGAGAGCCUCCUGGUAUACAGUAUGGUGCAGAAAGAUUUUGUAGAAAGAAAUACAAUGAAAAAAGUCGAACUUCCUCCAGCUACAGUACUACUACAGGCCACUGUUCUCCAGCUGCUAGCAAAUGAUGAUCGCUCCAAGGUACCUCUUCA